AGCGGACCUCCGUCUAUUUCUAUGUAUCGAGGGGCCUCGAUGGAGGCAUGCGCACACACUUCUGCCAUGACGAGACGCAUUCGUCUCGUGCCAAUGACAUUGUCAAGAGGGUUGUUGGCAACACUGUGCCGGUGCUGAACGGUGAGGACCUGUCAGUGAGGGUGCUGGUGGACCACUCCAUCGUAGAGAGCUUUGCAAUGGGCGGGAGGUCCACGGUGACGUCACGGGUGUAUCCGACCGAGGCCAUCUAUGCCAACGCUGGGGUGUACCUCUUCAACAACGCCACCAGCGCCCGUGUCACUGUAACCAGCCUCGUCGCCCACGAGAUGGACUCCUCCUAUAACCAGGCCUACGUCGCCUCGAUGUAGAAUGAAAACAGAAAGAUCAUAUUUUUGAUAGCAUAUACAUAUAUGUGUAAUUUCCUUUCUGAUUUUCUCCUCACUCCCGCUAUCUUUGUUUCCCUUUUCAUUUUUAUUAUGUCUAUUCAUUGUCAAGGUCUUCCAAAAAGUUGUAGUUGAGCUAGUGGAAGAUGCCAUGAUAUGCAAAGCUAGAGCUGUAUAUGUACUACAUCAAUCAAAUCAAUUUUUACAGAAGUUUGUUUUCUUUGAAAAUUUCAGUUGGUUCCAUACUGUCUCACAGGCUACGUACAAUUGCAGAAGGACAGUGUCUAUGUAUACACACAAGCAUGAAACUGAAUUUAAUCAAUUGCUGAUGAACAACAGAACCAUGAUGUUGAAAGUGGCUGUUAAAUCUGAAAAAGCCCGAGCGCAAGUUCAGCCCUGUCGGUAUUGCUCUGCCCAUCCUUGAUGGCACCAUAGUUCUUCACUGACAUAUAUAGAUACAAUUGUUCCAGAAAUACGGAUUAACUGCAUUGAUGUCCCAAUGUGGCUUAUUUUUCCUUACAAAAUCUUAAGAGUAAAAUAAGAAUUGGUCAUGAAAAGUAAAAGUCACUCAUGUAUCAUGACAAUCCUUGUUAUGUAUAUCUCAACCGACAAAUAUGUACAUGACCCAGAAUUGAAGUCUCGUGUGAACAAUAAUAACAUGGUUUAUCAUACUGACAUUGGAAAUUGACAACAUAAUACACUAAUACUAGAACAUUCUAAAAACAAUAAAAUACUCCCUCUGUAAAAAACAAUAUCAGUGUUUGGAUCACUAAGAGUAGAUCACUAAAGUCUUAGAGAUCUAAACGCUUUUCGUUUUUUUGUUUUCUUUUUUUUUUCUAUUUUCUUUCCGUUUUUGAAUUCAUUUUUAUUUUUUCAUCAAAAGCUCAGAUAUUUAAAAAAUAUUCGCGUUUUUAUCUUUUCUUUCAUUUUUUCUAAAAUGUUUCAGUUUUCAAAAUUUCAAAAAAAUGUUCUCCUUUGAAGUUUUGUUCACAAAUUUGUUAAAAAAAUUGUUUCGGGAAUUUCAAAAAAUACUCGUGUUUCAAAACAUCUUUCAGUAAUUACAAAGUUUUGAUUAGAAGUUAAAAAAUGUUCGUGUUUUAAUAAAUGUCCAGUAAUCCUAAAAAAUGUUCUCAUUUUCAUGUUUUAUUAUGUUCCUGUUCUCAAAAUUUGUUCAGGAAUUUAAAAUAUGUUCCGAACAAGUUUUGACAUUUUUCAUAAGUUGUGAAAAAAACUGCAAUCAUUUUAAUUUUAGAACAUUUUUAUGAAAGAAGAACAUUUUUGAAAUUUUAAAAAUAUUUUCAAACAUGAACUUAGUUUAUAAAAUAACCUUAAAAAGAAAUAAAAAAAGAAUAAACAAUAGAAAGUAAAAAAAAAGUAAAGAAAGAAACAAAUAUAGAAAAUUAAAAAAUCAAUAAAAAAUCUUAAAACCGGUUCAAGAACCUCUUAGAAGGUUUUGAAAAUCGAUGGUAACCCAAAUUGGGCCGGCCCAAAUCUUCCCGGGGGUUGAGCGGAGCCUCCCCUAUUUGCCGUAAAAUGCGGCGAACAGGGUUUUCUCUAAUUGGUACGUAUGGUAAGUCACCGGUUGUCAGGAAUAAAGUUUGAUUGUGUGCAAUUGCAAGAUGCAGAGGCAAUAAAAGUGACAUUUUAUUUCAUCGUCUAAAAGCACAUGUACAUUGUGCUACCACCUUUAAGAAAAUGAAUUGCUACAACAUUUUUUUCUUUUUUACUGUGAAGCUGUGCUGGGAUGGCAAUGGGUACCCAUCACUCGUGUACCUUGUGGAUAAAAAUUCUAUUAAGGCAAGGGUAUGAGCCAAACAAAUACACGUGGGUACAUAAAUGGAAAAUUUUCAAUACCCAUCGGGUAUAGUGGGUAGGGUAUGGUUUAGUAUAACCCAUACCCGUGUACCCAUAUACCCGCAUAUAAUCUAGAAAUUAGGCAUUAAAUAUUAUUUAUCCAUAUAUUAGACGUAUUAUAAGUACAUAAAUCCCCCAACUAGCCAACAUCCAGAAUGUGUUGUUGUUUAUGAGUAUGUGUUUCAGUUAGGAAGUGUUGUUUAUAAAUUAUUAUUAUGAUUUGUAGUUUAUGACUAUGUUGUACUCAAGUUGACGUGUUUCAAACCUGAGAAAUUUUAUCCGCGGGUAUCCAUUUACCCUCACGGGUGACGAGUAUGGAAAAAAAUUAUACCCAUCAACGGAUAUGUGUAUGGAUGAUGGGUACGGUUUUGGGUUGACGGGUAAGGGUAUGAGAUGGCUCCACCCAUAACCAAACCCGACGGAUGUCAUUCGUAGCUAUGUAGGCAUGGUCAUAGGAGGACUACUACUCAUGGACUACGAGGCUGGUGGCUGUGUCCCGGACGCCUGUGGCAUUCUUGAAGAGGUAUAUCCUUGCACUGGCAUAGAUAACCUCGGUCGCGUACACCCUUGAUCUCGCCGUCCACCUCUUACCCAUCGUGAAGCUUCCAAUGAUGGAGUAGUCCACUAGAACUCUAAUGGAUAGUUCCUCGCCGUGGAUCACUGGUACAACAUUCUGGUCGACCCCCUUGACGAUGUCGUUGGCAUGGGAUGAGCACGUCUCAUCCUGGCAGAAGUGUGAGCAAGUCAUCGUCGAUGCCUUUAGCCGAUAAAAGUAGACGGCGAUACAAUCUGCGUCACCCCGGCCCGCCGCCACCACUUGCGUUGCAUUUGUUGCUGACAACAACAUCCUUAGCAGUGGAGACAUAUAGCGGAUCAAGGCAGAAGGAGGCCCCAAUGUCAAGUUGUGUGGCAUGGUCAGGCCCGGCCCUGAGGGGGGGGGGGGGGGAGGGGCGGCCGUCCCGGGCCCCCGGAACCUGAGGGGGCCCCAACUCAGGUACGUGUGAGCACCCAACCCCCAAUCUGCCGAAGAUGCCAUUAGAGCAGUUAGAGAGUAGCUGCGGUAUGGCUCGAGGAAGAAGAAAGCUGAAACGGUGUUUCUUUUAGCUACUUGGGCUUUGGGCCUUUGUUUCCUUUUGUUAAAUUGUGGGGUUAAGUGGUGGUGGGCUUUCCCUGAAAAAAGUAAUGGUGGGUUAUGUGUAAGAAAAAGUAAUGGCAGGCCACACCAAGCUAGAGGAGGGAGACGAGCACAUUUGUACAAAACUUAUAAAUUAAAAGAAAGAAGAAGCUUGGUGAUUAAUUGACAUGCUUGCGUGUUGCCUGGCAUUACAACCCUGACAAACUAAUAUGUCUUUCUUUUUAUUGUAAAAUAAAUCUAUUUUUUUAUUUUACAAGCAUAGCAAACUAAUAUUGUAUCUCGAUAAGAAAAAUAAACAUAUCAAAUUUAGUAUAUGUGUGGUGUCCAUAAAGAAAAAUAUCGUAGCGGAGAGCCAAGAGCAGCACACACGAUGACGACAGACUGACGACAUGGAUGUGCACUAUGGUCAUUCUGUAUUAUGAAUUGAGAGUUGACUGUUCUACUUUGGUGUUAAUAUUCAUAAGUGUGAUUCUAAUUGUUAUUUUGCUUCUAUAAGUUUCGUAUAUAGGAAAAAGUUUUUUCACCCAUUCAGUUUCUUCAUACAUAAAAUUUAGUGUGUGCUCUGUCACCAUGUUUCCACGUAAUUUGGGUGCAAAUGGAUAAAUGUAAUUUUGAUGAUCUCUAGUGCCUCGUUGUGGCGACAAACUCUUGAUAUCAUGUUGGUCCCGGUCAAAAAUGACCCAUCACCGCCCUCAACGAGUCCUAUCAAGAUGCAGCUACAUCAUGCACAUUAGCCCCCGCAUCGACAUGAUCUCAUAGAAGAUAUGCAUCUGAUUCUCUUUUCAUAGAUAUCAUUGAUAAAGAUCUUGUGUGCAAAAUUACUAGAAUCUUUUUGGGAAGCUUCUUUUCUAUCUCCCGGGCCCCCGAAAUCAUAGGACCGGCCCUGGGCAUGGUGUAGGUUGAGAGGGAAGACGAAGCAGUGGUCGUUGGUGACGCUACCGAGCUCGGUAGAGUUGGUCCGGAGGGUCUCCAUCUUCUCCACGGGAUACUAAAGGAGAUUGGUCCCCGUCUUGUAUCCAGCACCACAGUUCAAGGGAUCGGCUGUGACAGUAACAAAAUGGUAAGGGCCACGUUCGUGGACAGGUCGAAAUUACAAGUACUCGUUGAAGAAAUCAAGAAGAUGGUCAUGGAUGACCUUAGGGAGAUUUUUAUUACUGCUAAUAGUCGUUCGAAAAAUAGAGUUAGUCAUGAGCUCGCUGCAUAUGUUAGAAAUAUCCCCGUACUGCUGUUUGGCUGGGUUCAGGCUUAACCAAUAUUCUUGUAAUGGUAUGGCGAUUUGCCUCCUUGAGGUAAUAGAAAUCUUCCUCUUUCCCGCAAAAAAAGAAAAGGAUUAAUAGUACAAAUUAGUUGGAUUGUGUUUUGCAUUGAGUUUGUUGGUAGUACAAAUUGCUAAUCUUUGCAUGCCACUAGACCACAUGGUAACACAUGAUCCAACCGUGGGUACGUAUGUAGAGUUUGUUUGCAGGACACAAACAACUAUAUAUACUAAUUUUGAAAGGGAAAAGAUAACGCCCACACAUGUGAACGUUUGCAAGCCGUCUAUAUGCAUGAAUCUUCGUUCGUUUGGGUUACACUAAUUUUGGCAAAUUUUAUAUGUCAUGUAUGACCGGGUCGGUGUGUGAACGUUCAUCCUCUUCGCCCGCAUGCUCACUGUCUCUUGGAUUGCUUGCAGUGCCAGGCCUGCAUGUGGAGGGUCGACUGUUGCGCCCGCACGCCGCGCGCUCCCCCUCCACUACUGCAUGGCAACUACAUGUGCAUAGUUGUUGUUCAAUCUGCAUGACAACUAUCAUGGAAAUUGACGGUAACUGCCAGCAAAGUGGGAUGGCAAGUGCUCUUCAUUUCAUCUUCUCUGGCUGCUCGUCUGCAUGGCAACUACCGAACGUGGAGGACAGCGUGGUGGGAAGCUAGGGUCGUGCGGGCGACCGACCCAGCCACUCGGAUAGCAACUGCCAGCAAGGUGGGAUGGCAACUGCUUUUCAUUCCAUCUCUUCCGGCUGUUCGUUUGCAUGGCAACAACUUUCGCUGCAUGGCAACUACCGAACGUGAAGGACAGUGCGGUGGCAUGCCAGGGUUGUGCGGAUGACCGGCCCAUCCACCGAUCGUGCGGGCUGCGGGUUGAGACGCCCGAACGUGGGCGUGCGGAUUGACCUGGGUGGAUGCCACACAGGACGUGCGGCAAGUACCUUUCAACAUACUCCCUCCGUUCCUAAAUAAAAGCCUUUUUAGAUGUUUCAUUACGAAACUAUAUACGGAUGUAUAUAGACACACUUUAAAACUCUAGUAAAAUCUUUAAAAAUAUAUAUAUUUAGAGACGGAGGAAGUACACGGAGUGUGCAUGCAUCAGGGCAAGAACCGGUGGCAUGGGCCAGAGGAAGGAAGCAUCAUCCUGGUGCCAUGUCAGCAACAGUUGGAAGAGACAGAUAGUUGUCGCGGGCGGCAAAUAAUUCCUGCCGUCAAGUGGGGGUGGGUGGUCAGGGAGACAGGUAGAGGUAGGUGAAGAUCCAGAAUCUUAUCAUAAUCAUCCACCGUGGCCUCACUGAUUCGCAGUGCCCAUCUUGCUAGCUAGCUAGGCACACCACAUGGCUACCAGCUCAAAGCUUGCAGUCCAAUCUUCCUCUCUCUAUCCAUCAAAUGUUCUCCCUGGGAUUGAGGUCGGCAUCAUAGACACUUGUCUUGUCUAUGACUGUUGCCCCAAUAAUUUCUUUAUUUAUCAAAUAAUCCCCAUUAGUUUGUCUAUGCAAGAGUGGUGUAGAUUCUCUGCGAUAAUUGUUCGCCAAUAAUACACUAUUCUAAACUAAGUAACUGACAGAUAUGUAUGUGGACUUGUGUCUUGUGCCCAGUCUCGGGCGCCAGCUCGCUGGCAAUGUAAUCAUCAGCACAUGCAUGGAGAAAAUGCACAUGCUUCCUCUGUUUCUAAACAUAAGUCUUUUUAAAAAAUUCUGUUACGGAUAACAUAUAAAGCAAAAAAGAAUGAAUCUACAUUGUAAGAUAUGGCUAUAUACAUCGAGAUGUCAGUUUGGUCCAGGCUAUCAGCCUUGCCGGUGCUGCGACACCACAUAUUGAUGCAACAUACUCUGUAACUGGACAUGGCACGAAAUGAAAAGGAAAAAAAUAAUAUAUACUUUCUGCGAGUUCGUGCAAAUUCUAGUAUCCGUUCAUCGAAUCAAAUUUUUGAGUUCUACUCACGCAUGUAUCUUUGUUCCCGUUAAACUGCUGGCUUUGCAAAAUGCUUCGGCGACAAACCUAGCUGUAGACACUACUUAGGUUUGCAUGCGAAAAAGUUUUUUAGAUUUAUUUUCCAGGGAACUGUAUUUUCAGAUGAAAUCACAUGAACUUAGCAUCUACAGUAUCUAGUGUCCUGGGACAAUGAAAAAUAAACUAUCCAUCAACCAAACUAGCUAAUCUAUUGCGAAUACAUGUGAAUUCGAAAUGAUUUUUCUAGAAGAAUUAUCUAGCAUUGAGCACAACACUAUUAUUCCUUUAUAGAAGCAUCGAACACACAACUAAACAGAAAAUCAACCAGCAUAUACAUGUAUGCAUCAGGGCAACAAGAACCGGUAUGCAUGGCGACAGAGGAAGGAAACUGCUGCUUCUUCUUCUUCCUGAUGGCAUAACUGCUGCUUCUUCUUCUUCCUGGUGGCAUGUCAGCAACGGGAGAUGCGACAGAUCGAUGCCGCAGGGAGCUAAUAAUAAUUCCGGCCGUCAGGUGGGUGGUCAUGGGACCCAGAGAAGAUCCAGAAUCAUACCACCAUCCCUUGUGGCCUCACUGAUUGGCAGUCCACAUGGCAUUGCCAGCACAAAUCUUCAAUUCAACUCCAAUCUAUCCAGCAAAAUACUCCCUUCGUACCUAGUUCUUCACAACUAUAAUUAUUUACAUACAGAAGAAGUAGUUGGUACUGUUAUAUAUAUUAUGACGACGCGGAAGAUGGGUGCCGGCAGCAAUCAUGAUUGACACUCGUCGUAGGUGUACGGUGUACCUCCAAUAACUCAAAUUUGUUUAUGCAGAAGAUGUUUACCUAGAUUAUGUGCCAUGAUUGCUCACCCGUAAUGUACUAUUCUAAACUAGUUAUCUGGCGGGUAUGUCUGUGGUCUUGUUGUGCCCUGUCUCGAGUGCAAGCAAAGCAAGCAGGCAAAGCUAGCUAGAAAUCAUGUGCAGAUCAUAGCAGAAAAGAACAAGAAUACGCACAUGCACUGAAAUCUAAUAAAUCAGCCACCGCUGAAGAAGCCGGUGACGCGGAGGAAUCAGCCACCUGCUCUCUACUAUGUUUCUCAUUUUCUUUUUUGAACCCUAGUUCUGUGAUGGAUCAUGGAUGAUGCAUUCCUGGUUCCAAUUUAAAUUGUACCUGGUGAUCUUCAAAAAUAGGAAAAAUCUCCCAAGCCUAGACUCCAACUGGUGGAUCUGGAUCCUGAAAACACCAUUGGUUGAUGCAAAAACAUAAAAAACUGUAACUGAACAUGGCAUUUUGGAUUAGAAAGACAUAAGCUCUUGCUAAUUAGAAGUUGCGGACGGACCAAGUCCUCCUAUUCCAUGCGUUGUAUGCGGAAUAUUGUUUAGGGGAAAAUAUCGAGCUUUAUUAAUCUGAUUUUGCUACAAAUCAGAUCUCAUAUUUAUAAGCAUGACAAAUUUAACAUCUAGGAUUUGAAGUUAUGUUGUCGCGAGCAUGACAAUUUCUUUCAGCAAUCAUGGCAAAUCCUUGCUAGGGUUAGCUUUUUGUCAUGAUUUUUCAUUCUUGAUGAAGGGAAUUGUCUUGCUUGCCACAAUAUACUUGCCAUUUCAAACAUGAGAUUUAUUGCAAAGAGAGCCUUGGCUCAGUGGUUGGGCAUGCGCUUGGUAUUCAUACUAAUCUGGCUGUAUGCAUCCCUAGUUGGUGCAGAGGCCGGGAAGUGAAAUUCUCCCUAUUUUACAUGUGAUAGGGCACCGUUGGGAUGACUGGCUCCACUUGGUGAGGAGACUCAUGGAUGUCCAAUUAUCACAUGAAUCGGAUAGGGUACAUUGGAAGCUCACGAAUAACGGAGUUUAUUUGGUAAAACCAAUGUAUCUUGAUCUUAUAGACACUACCAUCAUCCCCAAAUCUAUUAAUAUUUGGAAAGUCAAAGUUCCCUUAAGGAUCAAAGUCUUCAUGUGGUUUGUACACAAGAGGGUGAUCCUCACUAAGGAUAAUUUGGCUAAACGAAAUUGGGAGGGGGGGGGGGGCGGUAGCACUAAAUGUAGCUUCUGUGAUAAUAAUGAGAAUAUUACACACCUCUUUCUCCUAUGUCCACUUGCCAGACUUAUGUGGCACACAAUUCAUAUAGCCUUUAACAUAAGGCCUCCAGAUAGCAUCGACACGUUAUUUGGAACGUGGUUUCAUGGAGUUGACAAGACGAUUGCAAAACAAAUUCGUAUAGGAGUUUGUGCACUUCUUUGGGCUAUAUGGAAUUGCAGGACUGAUGUGGUUUUUAACAGAUGUAUCAAUAUACAAUUUCUACAGGUACUUCACAGAGCGGCGGCCUUGAUCCGUACGUGGUCAUUACUCACCCCUGCGGACACCAGGGAGCCUUUGGUUACUGGGUCUAUCCGAUGGGAGAUGGUAUCGCGGGAUAUCUUCAACCGGUUUGGAUGACAGUCCAGUAAUAGGAUAGAUGGAUAGGCAUCUAGCUCUAUUUUGGCCGGUUGUGGCUCUUUUUCCUUUUUAUCUCAGAUUUAUUGUACUAUCGGAGACUAUAUGAACCGUUUCUUUUUUGCAAUAAAGGGGCCGUAUGCAUCGUGCUGAUGCAGAGGCUGGAGGUAACCCUCUUUUUCUAAAAAAAAAUAUGACGUGGGAUUUGACAAGGCCUUGUCAACCUUGUCGACGGCUCAUCUGACAUUGUGGGCAUUUUGCUACACCUUGUAGGACGGAAGAUGCCGAGAGCCCAUUGUCCUUCACCUAGCGUUCGCCAUGUAUAAAAGGUUUAUUAAGAAUCUCUUCAAUAGUCGUGUUAAUCAUGUCCACCUUGAUAACCUAUAUGCAUAUGGGAAGGUACAUCGGUUCAAAAUUGUAAACUAGCUAUACUCGUUUUUUUUCCGGGAGAAACUAGCUAUACUCCAUAUUAAUAAAUAAUACAAACAAAUUUCUAAACUAGCGAUACUCCAUAUUAAUGAAUAAUACACACAGUACACCACUAGUGGAUGUACACGCAAAUUCUCAUGCAUCACCAAUCAAGCUUUUUCUUAACUUGGCUAGUUGAGCAUGCAUAUAUAGUAUUAUGUAAAAACGAUACACAUACACGAUGAGAAUUAGAUAAUGGAAGUUUAGCUUAUGCACAAAAUUAUAGCAAUUGAAGUAUAUAAAAGAUAACAAUGGUUAUUGGUAAGUAGAAAAAUACCGCAGCUGGGAUGAUUAACUGGUCGGAUCCAUCCCAGUGCGAGAGAGAGGAAGAGGGUAAUCUUACUAACUAGCAAAAGGACCCGUGCGUUGCAACGGAAAAAAAAUAUUACACACUCUUAAUUUACAAAAAGUGAUCUACAAUUUCAGUAUUUGUAGCUACGACCCAAACAAAGUUGAUAUUAGCCUACAAAAACGUAGUUCAAGAUUCCAUAGGUCUUUUAUUUAAAUAGGGCUUGCAUGUAUAUUUAAUAUGUAUAAAGAAACGGUCAAGUGAUCUUCAAUUUCGUCUCUAAUCCAGAUUUUGCUGACAUGUUGAUCCAUAAUCCAAAUGAGUACCGGUUUGAAAACAAACGGAUAAUGCAUUAUUGAUUAAGAUUGCAUCCUAUAUAACAUUUUUAAAAUUAUUAACAUGUUAUAUUUGAUGUUACGGUUUAGAAGAUAUGAGUAUUUAAAAAAUUAUUUAAUACUAGUUGUCAACCCGUGCAGUUCUAUUAUAAAUAUAGAUAUCAUAGAAACCUAAAGAUAGAUUUUUGAUAUAUCCUAAACUGCACAAAUGCAAAUUAUCAUAGCAGCCUAAAAGUAAAUGACAUGUACUAAUUAUUUGACCUGGUAUUAAAUAUAUAAUGCAUAUUAUAUUUGACAAAAGUUCAAUGAGUGGGAAACAUAUAUCUAGUGCAUCCAUGUUUCGAGAAAACAAUCGCCGUUUUAUGGCAGUAAUUAGACAAACAACAUAUAGACAUCUUGUGCAUGAGUGAAUGGCUAACAAACCUGUAUGUAUGUUGUAAAUAGGAAAGGAGUGGCCAUAAAUAUAUUGAUAAAUCAUCUCAAUUUGUAAUUGCUCAUCCAUUAGUAUUAUAUUUUGAUUAGCUCUUCAAGCGCCGACUGGUCAAGUCUAUUUUACGUGAUGUAGGGUAAAGUUGUUGCUCUCGAUAGUGAAUGCUAGUUUUCACUAUUUAGUGAAUGGGGCAACAUUGGGCAUAAUACCCAUUUCUUACAUCAUGUAGUACAUAUACCACUGGAUUCGCACAAUAGGUACAUACCUAUGUUUAAUUAGUAUCCCGUCUCUCUUCACGUAGGAUACUGGUCCAAGCAAAAGUAAUACUCCCUCCAAUUGAAUUAUAGAAGUAGUACUAAGUGUGUGUCAAUUAAUUUGAAUCAGAGGGAGUAUAUAUAAUAUAAUAGUAAUUAAUGUAGUGUUGAUAAGUACAAUCUAAAAGUUAUGAUAAACAUAUUUUCUACCGAGGAAUAAGUUAUCUAGCAUAGUUUUUAAGUAUAUAAUUUUCAAUUGUAAGAGAAGAAAUUAGUCCUUGUGAAAUGGUUUUUAAGAAAUAGGGAGAGUAAUAGGGAAAUAUCUAGGAAACUUCAGAACAACAAAUUCGUUAAAUGGAGUGCAUAAUAUCCAUAGGAAAAUAUGGUUAGAACACUACAACUAUCAAAGCCUAUGUAAUUUUUUUAUCUUCCGCUCUGCCGCGUAGAUCUUCUGUGUGUUCUUGUAAAAAAAAACUAUGUGACUUGAAGACAUGAUGACUUCUUUAAAACAACUUAUAUAUCCUAUGAAAAAUGACAACAAUGAAAGCUAAAUUAAAACUAUUUAAGGGAUGAUUUUCGAUCAGACCACUAUAAGUAGCAAUACUACUAUAUGAUUUUUGCAAUUUAGUAUGUCGAGAACUGGAUUACCCAAUACAUUCAUUGUGACACCUCAUUCUUCUUUAGCAAUUCAGGUCGAAGGGACUUUGCAAUUUAGACUUUUGGUUCACACAACUGAGGUAUCAACGUGGUUGGAAUAAAUCACUUAAAUAAGUCAAAUAAUAAGUUUGUUACAUAGAGCAAGUGAGAGACAAAUAGCUAUCAUACGGUGUAUGCUCUUUUCGGUUUGGAUCGUUAUCCUUGUAAACCUGGAACCACCAUGUAUCUGGUCCUCUGUUCAAGAAACAGACAAUUAAAUUGCAGGCAAAAAUAAAGAAAACUAUAGUAUGUACUCAUUGAUUAGAUGGCAUAUGCAGUUGUAAGCUUAUAAUGAAGUGAACGUGGGAACUUAUACAUCAUAUUAAAGCUUUAUAAACUAAUAAUUUUGAUGUAACGAAAAUUAAGUGAUGUACUUACACUAAAUUGGUGGGUACACUAAGCGUCGUACAGCUUAAAUAACUCUCUUAUCGAUUGCAGUUGCAAGGAUGCAUGAAUGCUGUGUAAGCAUAUGCUUGCAUGUACGUCAUCCGUAUAAGUGAUAUAAAUGAUGGGUAUGUCCAAACAUGUUCUUUAAGCAUGGUGAUUGAAAAAGGCACGAAGCUGGUUAAAAACAUUGAGUUCACAUAGGAGAGAUAGUAUGCAUUACAUAGCUUGCAUCUUCUCUUGUGCAGAAAGUCUUGCCGCUAUAGCAAACCGCAUAUCGCACUCAACCAUUGGCCUAUCCAGGCUCCCGGUUCUCUCUCUACUUGUUGGUACUGAUGAUCCUUUGUAAAGAGCCUCUUUCUGCUAGUUCUUACUACUUAGCGUAAGGAGCCUCUUUUUUACUGUUGAUCCCAGGUAUCCAAAUGAUGUGCAAAUUGAAUGAUGAUCCUAGAUACCCAACGCUCUAGCCCAUGUUCUUCAUCCUUUAUUGAUGAUCCUAGAGGGUCAACUGAUCCAGAUAUCCGUUGAUGUGCAAAUCGACUUACACGGUUCUGAACCCAGAGGGUCAACUGAUCCCAGAUAUCCGUUGAUGUGCAAAUUGACUUACACGGUUCUGAAUCCAAAGGGUCAACUGAUCCCAGCAUCUGAUACAUGGUAUGUGCUUGCCAUGAAUUCACAAUGCCCACGAUGCGGGCAGUACGUGAUAUAAACCGUGAACCCUAGCCAUGCUCGGGUUGCCACAAAUUCAUCGAAGCGGACCACGCCUGCAGUAGAUGAUGUAAAUCCUGGACCCUACUACAAAGAAAACAGAUAUCAUACAAAGUCGGAUGAGAGUUCCGGUUGCCAUGAAUUCGUUGAAGCGGACGAUGCCGGCAGUAAAUGAUGUAAAUCAUGGACCCUACUACAAAGGAAACAGAUAUCAUACAAAGUCGGAUGAGAGAAAACAUUAAAAUUUUCUGCUUUAGAAAAAUACAAACUGAAAUAGAAAACUAUGUUUUUUAGAGAUUUACUAAUAUUGCAAUUGGAUGCGGUGGUUGCCGGAUGGACCUGCAGCCCAGAUGAAGACACACGCAGUUGAAAAGGAUGAAGAACAAGGGCUGGAGCACUGGGUAACGUCGCUAUGUGAAAAGAAAAGACUAUGUACGUGAUGGAAAGGCUACAAUCUUGUGAUAAUAAAUUCCAGAUUUUCCCUAGCACCCAUCGGACAGUUGUAUGGAGUAGUUGUCAAAACUCGUUGGAUAUUUUUUCUUUUUGACAGCUUGGAGUGCAUUGGUAGAAUAGAUCUGUAGAGAGGACGUGGGACAUUGGGUGAGGACUCUUAAACCUCAACCAACGGUUGUAGAUAGUUAAUAUCAUGAUCAGAUGGACAACUUUUUUUUGCCAAGGAUUUCAUUGAUUGAUCUCCAUCGUUAUAAUUCGGCCCCACCAGAUAAACGGCUGGUAAUUUCUAAUUAACGUGGUAAUUUUUGGGGAGUCAAAAAUUAGUAUAAGUAUAGAUGUAUUACGGGUUUAAUAUCAGAAACAUCAAUGGGUUUUCCAUAAAAUAGCAUGACGGAAUAAGAAUUUUUUUUAGGGUUGUAAUAAUGCUCACACGUGUGGUGGGAGAAACAUCCGCCCAUACACCUAUAACACAUAUAUUGCGUCACGUUACCGCAUGCAUGCAUGUGAGGAUCUUUUUUUAUUCCAGUUUUUAAAAUGUUUUAUCUCUUCAAUGAAAAAUCCAAUUAAAGAUCCGUUUUCACCAUUAAAUCCAUCGCGUAGAGAUCUUCAAAACCAGAUCUCAUAUCAAUAUGUUUCGAUGACUUUUGUUGGGUUAAAAGUUGCCAUGUCUAUUGCACAUGAAUUACAAUGGUGUUUACACUAAUGUUGCUAUGCUUGUUUCAGGUAUUUUUUUCUUCUACAUUUAAAAGUAAUUUUCAUGAAGUACUAAGAAUUGCCAUGAUCCAUGCAUUAAAUUAGCAAUGGAUAAUUAAUAAAAAUUGCCAUGGUCAAUUAAAAAAAAUUACCAUAAAAAGUAGUUGAAAAUAUAACGGUAGCUUUAAAUCUAGAAGAAAAAAUAAAUAAAACAUGUCAUGGCAACUUUAAUGUAAACACUAUGGCAACUGCAGCGUAAACAACACAACUUUUGGCCAAUUUUUUUCAUCAAAACAUAUCAACAUAGGAUCUAGUUUUGAAGAUCUCGUCGAGAAGGAUUUAAUGGUGAAAACAAAUUUUAAAUUGGAUUUAUUAAUUAGGACAUAAAACAUUUUUAAGCCAAAAAUAGAAAAAGAUGGGUCCUGAUAACGCCCACACGUGUGGUGGGAGUAACAUCCGCCCACACGAUUAUAACACACAGAUUGCAGUCACGUUACCGCAUGCAUGCAUGUGGGAAUUUUUUUUGAAUUCUAGUUUUUAAAAUGUUUUAUCUUUUAAAUGAAAAAUUCGAUUGAAGAUCCGUUUUCACCAUUAAAUCCAUCACGACGAGAUCUCCGAAAGUAGAUCUCGUAUCAAUAUGUUUCGACGACUUUUUUGGAUUAAAAGCUGCCAUGUAUAUUAUACAUGAAUUGUCAUAGUGUUUACACUGAAUUUGUCAUGAUAUGUUUCAACUAUUUUUUCUUCUACCUUUAAAAGUAAAUUUUGACAUGGCCAUGAUGGAUCACUAAAAAUUGUCAUGAUCCAUGCAAUAAAUUUUCCGUGUUUAAUUACCAAAAGUUACCAUGGUCAAUAAAUAAAAAUUGCCUAAAAAGUAGUUGAAAUAUAACGGUAACUUUAAAUAUAGAAGAAAACAAAUAGAUAGAACAUGUCAUGGCAAUUUUAGUGUAAACACUAUGACAACCACUGUGUAAACAUCAUGACAACUUUUGGCCAAAUUUUUUUUCAUCGAAGCAUAUCAACAUAGAAUCUAGUUUUGAAGAUCUCGUCGAAACGGAUUUAAUAGUAAAAACAAAAUUUUAGUUGGAUUUUUUAAUUAGGAGAUAAAACAUUUUUAAGCCGAAAACCAAAAAUAUUUCUGCUGAUGUGAUCUGUUUUGACGUGGCAAAAUGGAUGAUAAUGAAGGCAUUUGGGUCAUGUUGCUUCGUGCCACACGCGUGGGCGUUGACUUUUUCAAAAAAGAUUUCUACUAAUGCCAUCUGUUUUAACGUGGUAAAAUGAAUGAUAAUGAAGGCGUGUGGGUGAAUUACAAACACCACACGUAUGGGCGUUAGUUUUUGGGUUUUUAUUAAUAGGUAUAGAUAAAAGAUAAAAUAAUAUCUUCUCUAAACGUGCCCCAUAAAUGGACACGAACCCAUUACCACCGCUUGAGUAGGCCCACUGAUUCAAUCUAACAGCAAGCGUUAAUCUUCUAUUAAACACAAUACAGAUGCAAGUGUUUAUAUACACGCGCAUAUACUCAUUCCUAUGAACGCACAAACGUACACCCUAUCUCCACUAGUGGAAAACGGGCCAUUGGCCGGGACCCUUUAGUCCCGGCCUGCCUCCGGGCCGGGACUAAAGGCCCGGCCACGUCGCCCCAAUUCUCAAUGCCUCCCUCGAGGCUUUAGUCCUGGCCCGUAAGGAGCCUUUAGUCCCGGUUCAUGUCCCAAACUGGGACUAAAGGGCUACGCGAUGGGCAGCCCGCAUGUGCGCCACCUUUAGUCCCAGUUUGUGUCUCAAACCGGGACUAAAGUCCUCUGCCUAUAUAUUGCACAACCCCCCUCUCCCCUCUUCCUUGCAUUUUUCUUGGAUGGAGGAUUGUGGGUGUGUGCUAGCUCUCCACUUUUUUUGAUGCACUAGAGGUGUUUGUUGAAAUGUGUGUUAGAGCGAUGCCGCUUCAGUUCACCGAACACAACUACGAUAUGAGAUGCCUGAGCCACGCUUAAACCUCUUCCUCUUUAUUUCUACUUAUUCAAAAAGGUUAGAAACUAUAUUUCCUCGUUUAGACCGUGCGGUACUAAUUUUUAGGAUCGUGAUUGUAUUUGAUAUACUGUCGUAUAACACAGAUGAGCCAUCCAUGGAUGUACGGUGAUCGACGCACAGCCGCUUACAGAGAAGGCGUGCAUUCUUUUUGAGAUGCAGCCGAUGCGAACAAGCAUGGUGGUGGCUAUAUGUUUUGUCCAUGUGUUGAAUGUCGGAAUGAGAAGGAUUACACUUCCUCAAGAGUCAUUCAGAGCCACCUGCUUCGGUCCGGUUUUAUGUCGGGCUAUAAUGUUUGGACCAAGCACGGAGAAAGAGAGGUUAUGAUGGAAUACGACGAUGAAGAAGAAGAGAACGAUGAUGACAACUACCGAUCUAUGUUCCCUGAGUAUGCUGUCGCAAUGGAAGACAAUGAAGAAGAAGAUCAGGAUGAAGAACGGGAACCAGAUGAGCCCGCUGAUGAUCUUGGCCGGGUCAUUUCUGAUGCACGGCGAGGUUGCGACACAGAAAAGGAGAGGUUGCAGUUCGAGCAGAUGUUACAGGACCACAACAAAUUGUUGUACCCAACUUGUGAAGAUGGCCAGAAGAAGCUGGGUAGCACAUUGGAAUUGCUGAAGUGGAAGGCAGAGACCGGUGUGACUGACUCGUCAUUCGAAAACUUGCUGGUACUUAUGAAGAAGAUGCUUCCAAGAAAGAAUGAAUUGCCCGCCAGCAUGUACGAAGCAAAGAAGCUUGUCUGCCCUCUAGGAUUAGACGUGCAGAAGAUACAUGCAUGCCCUAAUGACUGCAUCCUCUACCGCGGUGAGAAGUAGGAGAAUAUGGAUAAAUGCCCGGUAUGCACUGCAUUGCGGUAUAAGAUCAGAAAAGAUGACCCUGGUGAUAUUGAGGGCGAGCCACCCAGGAAGAGGGUUCCUGCCAAGGUGAUGUGGUAUGCUCCUAUAAUACCACGGUUGAAACGUCUGUUCAGAAAUAAAGAUCAUGCGAAGUUGUUGCGAUGGCACAUGGAAGAUCGUAUGAAAGACGAUAAGUUGAGGCACACCGCUGAUGGUCGGCAGUGGAGAAAAAUCGAGAGAGAGUUCCCGAGAUUUGUAGCUGAUGCAAGGAACUUAUGGUUAGGUCUGAGUACAGAUGGCAUGAAUCCUUUUGGGGAGCAGAGUUGCAGUCACAGCACCUGGCCAUUACUCUAUGUAUCUACAACCUUCCUCCUUGGUUGUGCAUGAAGCGGAAGUUCAUUAUGAUGCCAGUGCUUAUCCAAGGUCCAAAGCAACCCAGCAACGAUAUUGAUGUGUACCUAAAGCCAUUAGUUGAUGAACUUUUACAGUUGUGGGCCGAACCAGGUGUACGUGUGUGGGACGAGCACAAACAAGAGGAAUUUGACCUUCGAGCGUUGCUUUUCGUAACCAUCAAUGAUUGGCCUGCUCUUAGUAACAUUUCAGGACAGUCAAACAAGGGAUACAAUGCAUGCACGCACUGUUUGGAUCAGACAAAAAGUAUAUAUCUGGACAAAUGUAGGAAGAAUGUGUACCCGUACAAUCGUCGUUUUCUUCCACCCAAGCAUCCCUUAAAGAAAAAAGGCAAGCAUUUCAAUGGCAAGGCAGAACCCCGGGGGAAGCCUGUCAUCCGUACUGGUGCUGAAGUAUUUGAUAUGGUCAAAGAUUUAAAAGUAAUCUUUGGAAAGGGUCCUGGCAGCCAACCUGUUCCUAACGGCCCUGAUAAGCGCGUACCCAUGUGGAAGAAGAAAUCUAUAUUUUAGGAGCUACCCUACUGGGAAGUUCAUGAGGUCCGCUCGGCAAUCGACGUGAUGCAUCUGACGAAGAAUCUCUGCGUGAAUAUUCUAGGCUUCCUAGGCUUGUAUGGGAAGUCAAAAGAUACACCGGAAGCAUGGGAGGACCAGGAACGUCAUAAAGGAAGAUAUGGCAUGCAUCCAGGGCAGUUUCAAGGGCGUGCCAGCUACGCUCUUACUAAGGAAGAGAAGGAAAUCUUCUUUGAAGUCCUUUUCAGUAUCAAGGUCCCGACUGGCUUCUCGUCGAAUAUAAAGGGAAUCGUAAAUAUGAAAGACAAAAAAUUCCAAAACCUAAAGUCUCAUGACUGCCACGUGCUGAUGACGCAAUUGCUUCCGGUUGCAUUGAGGGGAAUUCUACCGGAAAAUGUUCGCCUGGCAGUUGUGAAGGUAUGUGCAUUCCUCAAUGCAAUUUCUCAGAAGGUAAUCGAUCGAGAAAGUCUAUGAGGAUUACAGAUUGAUGUGGUCCAAUGUCUGGUCAGCUUUGAGUUGUUAUUCCCGCCAUCCUUCUUCAAUAUAAUGACACACCUCCUAGUUCACCUAGUCGAAGAGAUUAGAAUUCUCGGUCCUGUGUUUCUACACAAUAUGUUCCCCUUCGAGAGGUUCAUGGGAGUCUUGAAGAAAUAUGUUCGUAACCGUGCUAGGCCAGAAGGAAGCAUCUCCAAGGGCUAUGGAACAGAGGAGGUCAUUGAGUUUUGUGUGGCUUUCUUCCUAACCUUAAGCCGAUUGGUGUUCCUGAAUCUCGGUAUGAGGGUAGGCUGACAGGAAAAGGCACACUAGGAAGGAAAGCAAAAGUAUGUAUGGACGGGCAUUCUUUCUCUCAAGCACACUACACAGUUCUACACAAUUCCACCAUGGUGGCUCCGUAUAUCGUGAGACACAAGAAUAUUCUACGCUCCGAAAACCCGGGGAAGGCUGACUCUUGGAUUAAAGGGGAACACGAGAAGACUUUCGGCAGUUGGUUGCAGACACAUCUCAUGAAUGACGACACCAUUGGAGAUGAGCUGUACUGUUUGGCCAGGCCACCAUCUUCGACUAUAUGUACUUUCCAAGGGUAUGAGAUAAAUGGGAAUACAUUUUACACGGUUGCCCAAGAUAAAAAGAGCACCAACCAAAAUAGUGGUGUCCGCUUUGAUGCAACAGACGAGAAUGGGUACUGUUUGGAAACAUAUUACGGGUACAUAGAGGAGAUAUGGGAACUUGACUAUGGACCUACUUUUAAGAUCCCUUUGUUUCGGUGCAAAUGGGUGAAGCUGACAGGAGGUGGGGUAGUUGUAGACCAAAAGUACGGCAUGACAACAGUGGAUCUCAACAAUCUUACGUACAUGGACGAACCAUUUGUCCUAGCCAAUGAUGUCGCUCGGGUUUUCUAUGUGAAGGACAUGUCUAUAAAAACGAGAAAAAGAAAUCAGCAAAAGAAGAUAUCGUCCGAUGAGCCAAAACGCCACAUAGUUCUUUCAGGGAAAAGAAACAUCGUGGGAGUAGAUGACAAGACAGACAUGUCAGAAGAUUAUAAUAAGUUUCGUGAAAUUCCGCCCUUCAAAGUGAAAACUGACCCAAGCAUCCUACUGAAUGAUGAAGAUUCUCCAUGGCUACGACCGAGAAGAAAACAGAAAUAAUAGAUAGGAAUAUUGGUGCAAUAAUGUAAUAAUGUAUUAAACCUUUUAUGUAAUGCAUGUAUGGAAUGUACUAAAUUUCAAACACUUUUCAUUUUCAUAGUUUUGUCAAAUUCUCAAAUACGCAAAAAGAAUUUUAAUAAACCUUUGUAAGAGAUGAGUUCUCGUUCGAAACCGUGAUACUUCGAGAGAGAUUGUCCGUUUUGUACACGAAGUGCAUCCAGUUUUUGUCGUAGCCCUCUCAACUUUUUAACACAUGCUAUGUGGGUGAAAUGAUGAUAGCAUGCCAACUUUUAACAUUUUCAGAGUUCAUUUGUAGUGCUUUUCAAUUUCAGGGUCAACUAGCUCAAAAAAAUAAGUAAAUGCACGAAAUAUACCAAAUGAAGUCAGAAAUUGUUGAAAUUUUGUGAUGUGCCUUUGAAUGGUGCAUUUUGAACACACAAAAAGUAUGGAGUUCAAAUAAGUUCAAAAGAAUGAAAUCCCUUUGUAAGAGAUGAGUUCUCGUUUGAAACCCUCAUACUUCGAGAGAGAUUGUCCGUUUUGUACACGAAGUGCACCCAUUUUUUGUCGUAGCCCUCUCAAUUUUUUAACACAUGCUACGUGGGUGAAAUGAUGAUAGCUUGCCAACUUUCAACAUUUUCAGAGUUCAUUUGUAGUGUUUUUCAAUUUUAGGGUCAACUAGCUCAAAAAAAAAGUAAAUGCACGAAAUAUACCAAAUGAUGUCAGAAAUUGUUGAAAUUUUAUGAUGUGCCUUUGAAUGGUGCAUUUUGAACACACAAAAAGUAUGGAGUUCAAAUAAGUUCAAAAAAAUGAAAUCCCUUUGUAAGAGAUGAGUUCUCGUUCGAAACCCUCAUACUUCGAGAGAGAUUAUCCGUUUUGUACACGAAGUGCAUCCAGUUUUUGUCGUAGCCCUCUCAACUUUUUAACACAUGCUAUGUGGGUGAAAUGAUGAUAGCAUGCCAACUUUCAACAUUUUCAGAGUUCAUUUGUAGUGCUUUUCAAUUUCAGGGUCAACUAGCUAAAAAAAUAAGUAAAUGCACAAAAUAUACCAAAUGAAGUCAGAAAUUGUUGAAAUUUUGUGAUGUGACUUUGAAUGGUGCAUUUUGAACACACAAAAAGUAUGGAGUUCAAAUAAGUUCAAAAAACCAUAUUAUGAAAUUAAAUAUUAUCAUUGACGAUUCAUCUCUAUUAUGAAAUUAAAUAUAUCAAAAAACCAUUGCAGAACAUAUGGCCAAAUUAAUACAAGUUCAUCAUCACAUUAAAGCCAAAGAACAGUAGUGAUCAAAUGUUAUUAUUGCAAAAAAUAAAUACAUAAAGUUCUCUCAUAAAACAACAUACAACUAUGUAAAACAUUUAAAUAAAACAAAAAAUGCGAUCAAAAUCGCAACUAAGAUAACAAUUGACCCAACAGCAUAAUGAUACCAAGCCUCUUUAUCAAUGACAUAUUUUCUAAUAUUCCUAAUCUUCAAGCGCAUUUCAUCCAUCUUCAACCGCAUCGCAUCGAUCUUCAUAUUGCGAUCAUCGAUGACAUCGGCGACAUGCAACUCCAGUUCCAUAUUCUUAUCCUCAAUUAUUUUCAAUUUUUUCUUCAAUUACUUGUUUUCUUUUUCAACCAAAUUUAACUUCCCGACAAGAAUUUCUAUGUGGGUUGGAAUUUCCGGUUCACAUACCUCCUAGAUUAAAAAAUAUAUGUCACCUUGGUCGUCAUAAUUGUCAUAAACACUAAAUAAAACAAAUAGUUAUAAAAGAUAAUAUAUACCACAUCCGAAUCAUAGACAGGACGAGGGCCGACGGAGGCGGAUACCAAAACCAUCGCACUAUAUAAUAACAAAAAAUAAUGGAAGUGAGUAAUUUAUACAACUAUGUAUCUAAAUCAUACAAGUAAGAUUUUUUCUUUUAAAAAUAAGAUAAGAACAAGAGCCUCACCACGGUGGUGCUCGCGACGAGAUCGGCGCGGGGCGAUCGACAAUGGUGAGGACGGGCACGGGACGACACCCUACGCAUGUGCAGACUCUAAGAAGUUAAUUUGAGCAUUUUAAAUGAGCUACACUAGCAGUGACAAAUGAAAGGAUGAAGUAGCUAACUUUUUAAAACACUUGUGCAGUUGGUGCACGGCCAAACGUAGACAAAUAUUAAGGAAAAUGGAGCUUGGAGAGGAGAAAGCUUAAGUAGAGUGGCUCGGGCAUUUCAUCGAACACGUCAUGUGCAUGAACUAGAGUGGCAAGAGCAUGGCAUGGUCACACUUCAACAACCAAAAAACAGGGGAGAUGGUGGGCAGGGGCGAGGGUUUAUAUAGGCAACACUUUAGUCCCGGCUUUUGUCUAAAACCGGGACUAAUAGCCUAACCUUUAGUCCCGGUUCUUGCCACAAACCGGGACUAAAGGCCCCUGCUUCCCGCCUUCUGGUCUGCCGAAAAAGGGCCUUUAGUCCCGGGUCGUGGCUCCACCCGGGACUUAAGGGGGUCUUCAGUCCCGGAUCAAGCCCCGAACCGGGACUAAAGAUCCACCUAUAUAAGCGGGAGUUAGAAAAUUUCCAACCCAAAUCGCAUUUCCUUCUCUCCUUCCUCGUUCUCCUGCCCGGUGCGGCACAGCGACGAACUCGACGACGCCGUCAGGCUGCCCGCCGUCCUGCUCGCCGCCGCCUGCCGUCCUCCUCGCCGUCGCCGUCGUCCUCCUCGCCGUCGCCGUCCUCCUCGCUGCGCGCCGCCCUCCUCGCCGCGCGUCGCCGCAUUCCUCGCCGCACGCCGCCGUCCUCCUCGCCGCGCGUCGUCGACACCUCCGGCCGGUAAGCCCCCCGCCCCCUCCUUCCCAACACUCCGGCCAGUAGAAGAAAAGAAGAAAAAGGAGAAGAAAGGAAGAAAAAGGAGAAGAAAGGAAGAAAAAGGAGAAGAAAGGAAGAAAAAGGAGAAGAAAUGAAGAAAAAGGGAAGGAGAAGAAAAGAAGAAAAAGGAGAAGAGAAGAAGAAAAAGGAGAAGAAAGGAAGAAAAAGGAGAAGAAAGGAAGAAAAAGGGAAGAAAAGAAGAAAAAGAUUUUUUUUGUCAUUUAAUUCCUAUUGUUAUUAGGUUUGUGCUAGAUUAUUAGGGUUAGUAAUAUGUAGAAUUAGGAAAAAGGAAAAUAAGAAGAGGAGGAGAAGAAAAGAAGAAAAAGGAGAAUAAGAAGAGGAGGAGAGGAGAAGAAGAGGAAAAAUAGAAGAAGAGGAGAAGUAGAAGAAGAGAAAAAAUUAGAAGACGAGGAGAGGAGAAGUAGAAGAAGAGAAGAGGAGAAGUAGUAGAAGAAGAGGAGAAGUAGAAGUAGAAGAAGUAGAAGAAGAGGAGAAAUAGAAGAAGAGGAAAAAUUAGUUUAGGGUUACAAGAAGAAGAAAUAUUUUUUUGUCAUUUAAUUUUGCUAUUGUAUAGUGUAUAUGCUUAAGUGUUAAUAGUGUUUCUUAGAUUAUUGCUUAAUUUUGCUAUUGUAUAUGCUUAAGUGUUCAUAGUUUAAUUUUGCUAUUGUAUAUGCUUAAGUGUUAAUAGUUUAUUUUUAGCAAGAAAAUUAAUAGAACUAGUUUAAUUUUGCUAUUGUAUAUGCUUAAGUGUCCGGGACUGGGCUCCGCCCGGCUGGUAUUUUAGAGUUUAGGUUCUAGCCAAGACCCGGGACUAAAGGUCCUCCUAUAUAAAACGACACUUCGAAGUUUCCAACCCCUCUUAUAUAGUUUGUUAGUUUAUUAGUUAAUCAAAUGUCUGUUUUUGCAGAACUAUGGAUCCACAUAUCAGGAACCUCGAAGAGGAAGAACUUCUCGAAGAUAUAAUCAAAGACGGCCCCAACGUUGAACCAGCUGAAUCUCCGUCGUCAUAUCUAAACCCCUCCGGAUAUGGAAUGGAGGUCGAGCGACACGAAGAUGAAGCUGAUGGGGCAGGAGAUAGGUCCAAUGAUGGACAGGGUGAUAGCUCCACUGAUGGAGAAGCCGGUGAAGAAAUAAUAAAGUCCGGCGAGGUAUACAUAUGAAGUUCGACAAUCACUUGUAAUAUGUGAAAAAUAUUGGAGAUAGCUCUAUAUUGUAUACAUAUACAUUCAUUUGAUGAAUGUUUCUCCCUCUUAGGCCUCCACAUCGAGCAAAGCUACGAAACGAGGCCCGACUAGAAAGUUGGAUGCACGGACGCAUUACACCUUUGAGGUGAUAUUGCCUACGGGCGAACCCAAGCUUCCUAAGAAUGCCGCUAACACAUUCAAGAAGCAAUGCGGAGUUCUCGUUAGGGAUCACGUCCCGAUCAGCGUUCGGGAGUGGAACAAGCACAAAGGGGCAGCCGAUAGUGACUAUGUCGCCGAAAGGUACAAAGAUAAUCUUUGGAAUGAUCUCAUGUCACAUUUCAACCUGCCAGAAUGUGAGAAUGAAAACACCGCAGACAAACUGAGGGCCAAAGUCAAGCAGUGGACUCUAAAGAAGAUGGCCGAACUGUUCUGUAGCUGGAAGAAGAAGCUAUGGAAAAACUAUCUGAAGACAAAGGAAGUGCCAGUAUUCGAGGGGUAUCUAGCCAAGCAGGCGAAUCACUGGAAGGCAUUUCAAGAGUACAAGGAGUCAGAAGAUGCCCAGGCAUUAUCAGAAAAGAACAAGAUAAAUGCCGACAAGAAGAAAUAUCACCACAAGCUGGGGCCAGGGGGCUAUGAGACUGCCAUCCUAAAGUGGGAUAAGAAAGAGCAAGAUCUGGUAGAUAAAGGCAACGUACCUGAACCACUCCGUGAUGAGUGGGAAUUGAGAGCAAGAAAUUGGUUCCUUGCGCAUGGUGGUUCGUACGACAAAAAAACAGGGGACCUCAUCUGCAGUGACGGCCUUAGGAUACCCAGGGAGCAUUGGAAAAGGAUAGUGAAAGAAAUUAAGGAGGGAAAAAGAAAUUCACUGCAGAUAGAGAGAACGAUUUGCUCACACUGGUCCUCGGCAAUGACGAACAUGGAGGACGAACGCGAGGCUUCGGUCCUUCUUACCCGUGGUGGCUUGGGUUUGCCAGAGACCAAGACACUUACAGAAGCCGAGAGUGAGCAAAGAAGAGGCAGCGGGAUGAGGAGAAUGACAAGUUCAACCAAUUGCUUGACAGGAUUAAUGAGCAAUAGAAGCAGAUUGAUGAGCUUAGAGGAGUAGCGCGCCAGGAAGAUCCUACACUUGAUAUUACCGGCGCCCCAUCUAAGCGGAAAAGCAGUGUGGUUGAAUCUGAGGCCCCGUCGGACGAUGCACGAAGAAUGAUAGAGGGCGGUCCCGGCUACCCCGUGGAUGGAAUCAAGGAGUCAACAUCAUGUGAAUUCCAUCAGAAAUUCAAGAACAUAUCCAUGAAGGUGGCCGUCGGACAAGCUUUACCUUCUGGCCCUGAUGCACGCUGGCCUGGCAGUGAGAUUCCAGCUGGCUUUGCUAAAGUCGGGGUGGAUGAAAUCAUGGCGGGGUUUCAUGAUAUGGAGCUCGACAUAGCUGGACCCGAAGAUGAGAGGACACUCGGAGAAGUACUGGGUGGAAUCAUCCUAUGGGACAAGAACUACAUCAAGCUUCCAGGCUCGGCCCCAAGGACAACACCGCCUCCGAGUCGUCGCAGGUCACCUACACCUCCUUUACCUCCAAGCCCUCCACAUGACGUCGGCCAGCACAACACGAGUCCAUCUCGAUCACCGCCGCCGGACUUGGGUCGUCCGUCUCCGCCACCGCCCGCUCCGGAUACUAAGCGGGAGCGUGCCACCAAGAACGCUCCACCGACUAUUUCUAAGCGACGGAGCACCCCAAAGCGCAAACGGUCGCCCCUCCCAAAGGUACCUCAUGCUAAUCUUCCUAUCAGACCUUAUGAUCGUACCCCCGAGGAAAACGCGAGGAUAGCAAAGGAACAUCAUGAUGCGCAGAUGAAAAAGAAGGAACCCGAGCCCCGCCUGGAAUACACCGAGAAGCAAAUAGUAUUUGCAAAAUACUUCACGACUCUUCCAUCACAGUAUGACUUACACCAUAAGCCUGAUGACUAUACACGCACAUUGCAGAAGGAAGUGAAAAAGAGCAGAUCACGUGCAAGUGCAAGUGGGAGCAAAUCAAGUUCAACUACAAGCAAGAAAAAAUCAGACGUUCCUCAGCUUGGACAACAAGCCAAACAGUCGAUCCCACCCCUCAAGGUGUUAACCGAGAAUGUUCCCCCUCUUGUGCAGGGGCAAGAUUUUGAAAUAGCAAAGAAGUGGGCGGCUGAAUGGGGUGUCUCGGUUGAAGAUGUUCUGGCUUCCCAAGACGACAGGUUACCCAAGGCUGUGGUAGCCCCUAAGCCACAGUUUGUCAUGAGAGAGCCUUUGGUCAGCAAAGAUGAUCUCCCAACAAAUAUGUGUUACUUGCAUACAUGGUACUUAAGUGAAUCAAAGAAUGGGAGAAUGAUGAUCGUGGUGAGUGUCCCGCGGGAGUACUACGACCGCCCGGAAGAAAUCCAUAUCGACUUUGAUGAACUCUUCCAGAUGUACAAUGGCGACGCCCUCGACAAAUCGCUUAUGAGUUGCUAUUGUCUGUAAGUUUUUCAAUUCGUUGUCUACGUAUAACUUGUUUAGUUAUUUCAAUUCAUUGUCUAUAUAUAACUUGUACUCUAUUAUGCAGAAUGAAGAUUCUGGAUUGUAAAAGUAAGAACAUCCUAAAUAUUGGGUUUAUUGACCCAGAUAAAAUACAUAUAGCGACGCUAACUGAUAAACCCAAGGAGACGGAGGAAAACCUCCUAAGGUUUCUAACAGAUCAAAAUUUCUGUGACCACAUACUGUUUCCAUACAACUUCAGGUGAGGGUCUUUACUCUGUUGUGUCCAUUCACUUAUAAGUGUAAUUGAUAAGUUACUGACACAUAUAUAUAUAUACAUACAUGUGCAGCUUUCAUUGGAUUCUGUUGAACAUUCAAAUUGAUAAGGGAAGAGUUGAUGCCUUCGACCCAUUAUCGAGACCCUUGGAACAGUUCCAAAGCCUGCAGGACAUGUUCCAAGGGUAAUUUCAAUCAUUCUUGCGCUCUACCGGUCUCUUUCGAUGAUUUUCUGAUAUAUCAAUUAAUGAAAAACUUAGCAAAUCAUUUUCCUUGUCGGGCAGGGUUUGGAAGCGGUUCAAGUGCGUGACUCCCGGUAUCGAGCCCGAGAAGCUGACCUUUAGAGCGGCUCAGGUAAGUAGUAGUAUGAUAUACUUCUAUUUUCAAUACAUUUAUGAUGCUAGAUUAUUAUUUUGAUUAUAUAUAUUCUAUUCUCGUAAAGUGCGACCAGCAGCCACGGGGGACGCAUCUAUGCGGAUACUAUGUUUGCGAGACCAUUCGCACGUUUACCUCUGAGCACAAGGAUCACAGAUACGACGUAAGCAAUGAACAUUCACACCUCUAUUUUUACCCGUCAUUCUUUGUUAUCAUGAUUGAUAUUCAUAUUCAUCUCCUCGUCUUAUAUAGUACACGGCCAUGAGGGAGAAGUCCCUACCAGAGCAACGCGCGAUUGCUGUUGCAGAGGAGCUUGCGACCUUUCUGAGGACGGAAGCUAUAGAUGACAAAGGACGAUUUAGUGUAGCUAGGGGUCAUUACUAAUGUUGGUCCAUGUAAUCGAAUAGACGGGCUCUAGUCCCGAUAAUUCAGAUCUCCAUAUAAUUAUAUAUAUAUGCUCGCUUGUAAGAUAACUUAAUCUUAUAUAUAUAUGCAUAAUUAUUUCUAUUUAGAAUUAUAUGAAAACUAAUUCCCGAACACCAAACGAGGCAUCACGUUAAUCUCCCGAACACCUAAACCUUAAAACCCUAAAACCCAAAAAUAAAUAAAAUCUGCAGAAACUCUUUAGUCCCGGUCCGUGUUAAGACCCGGGACUAAAGGGCCUGCCCCUGAGGACGCUCCGAGACGCCCACGUGGAGCACCUUUGGUCCCUGCUUGGAACAGGGCCGGGACUAAAGGUUAGGCCUUUAGUCUCGCCCCUUUAGUCCCGGUUGGUGAACCGGGACUAAAACCCCUUACGGGCCGGGGCUAUAGACCUUGUUCCCACUAGUGUAUGUCAGCAAAAAAAAAGGUGAGGUUAUCAUCGCAAAAAAAAUAAACAACGGUGAGGUUAGCUAGCCACGGCCUCCUUGGUGUAUAUGAUGUAGUCCUUCCGGUUCGGUCUUCGUCAGAUUCGUCGUAGCCUCCCAAUACAUAGCUAGCCUGACCCUGUUGCAUCAAAACCAUGCCAUUCUUGCGGCGCUCAUAUUGUGCCAGCCAUAACGUAGCAGCGGACUCCAUCAAUGCUUGAUGUAAAAGCUUCAACUUGUAUUGCACCAGCCGUAACCAAAAACAUGUCAAUUAAUCCAUCAUAGGUGUGGUUAAGUAGCCGCAUCGCGGGUAUUCAGAUCACGCGUUUGCCGGCGGGCCGCAAAUACUCGAAUACAUAUGUACGAGCUUUAUAUGCAUGCAUGUUUGCAUUGGGCUAAUUUUGAUUAGCUGGCCAUUAAUCCAUUAAUAAUUAAAUUGGGCUAGCAAUAGUUCCUGCAAUAUAAGCUCCAUGCACAUGCAAUAUAGAGGCGUACACGUAGGCAUUUCUUGCUUCAUGUGUACAACUAAAUAUUAUUGAUUGAAGCCACCACUUAGACAAACUUUUACCUCUAAAUUCCUCCUCAUUUUGCGUACAAUUCGUGUCGCAAAAAUCUCAUCAAACAUUUUUGAGAUAUGACAUAUGAUAUGUGAGUCAUGCUGAUGAGUAACUGUGCUUUAGUAAGAAUAUUGAUGUUAGGAUUUGUGAUUCCCUAUGCAAGUACGACAGUCAAUAGUUAUGCAAUCAAAUUUAUAUCCUACUUGUGAUGCAUUAUUCGGUGUUACUUAUGCUUAAUGCUUGGGUACGAGAUUUUUCUUUUCUUGGUUGGUCGCUUCUCAAUCUUUUUUGCUAGCCUUCAUUUUACACUAAGUAUGAUCACUAGUUGUGCAUCCAAAAUCCUUUAAACCAGUUUUAUCAUAUGAGUCCACUAUACCUACCUAUAUGCAGUAUUUCUAUGCCGUUCUUAGCAAAUUUGCAUGUGCCGUCUCUAAUUUUCAAAAUAAAUUUCUCUUUUGUGUGCUCAACUGCUCGCGAGGCGGUGAGGGGUGGCCAAUAUUUUUCAUGCUAGAUGUGUUAUUUUCACGUUGAGUGCUUAUUCACUUGUCAUUGCACGAGAGUACGACAAAAGGUAUUAGGGAUGUCCAGUCCCGAAAUAAAAAAAUACUUUUUGUUGUCAAAUAAUAAAUUCCUUGGAAAGUGUUGGUAUGGAGGGCAUCCGUGGAUACGGACAAGCCAUGGAAAGUGAAAGUAAUGGUGGAAAAAAAACUUUAUUUUCUGUUUGGAAACCGCCUAUGAUGUAUCUAGCAUGAAAAGUGUUGGGAGCUCUAAGUCGUUUUCGUUGGUGGGAAAAGUAUGCCUCUCAAAAUGUUUUUAUUUCUCAAUUUUCUCUUUGAGCUCUGGCACCUCAACAAAUCCCUACUUCCCUUUGCGAAGGGCCUUUCUUUUACUUAUGCAAUUUUUAUUUUGAAUUUGAGUCUUCAUCUUCUCUCAUAAAGCACCAACUAAGGGGCACUAUGAUCGUAUUUGAGCUUUGGGUGUAGCUAAUAUUCGAGUGUGUUUCAUGAAUGGAUCAAUGAUUGAGUAUAAUGGGCUAUGGAUAACUUGUUUUAGUGUUGAUAUUUUAAAAGACAUGGUUGCUUGUUGGUAUGCUUGCGUAUUAAAGUCUUCAUGUCAAAACUAGACUAUUGCUUUGAACCAUAUAAAAGUUCAAAUGUCCAUGCUAUAAAGAAAAGAAAUGUGAUGAACAUGUUAGGCACCAUUCCACAUUAAAAAUUCUGUUUUUAUCAUUUACCUACUCGAGGACGAGCAGAAAUUAAGCUUUGGGAUGCUGAUACGUCUUCAACGUAGCUAUAAUUUUUUAUUGUUCCAUGCUGUUAUAUUAUCAUUCUUGAAUGUUUUACAACCAUUUUAUAGUCAUUUUAUAUCAUUUUUUGGUACUAACCUAUUGACAUAGUGCUGAGUGUCAGUUGUUGUUUUCUGCAUGUUUUUACAUCACAGGAAAUCAAUACCAAACGGAGUCCAAACACAGCGAAAGUUUUCGUGAAUUUUUUUGGGUCAAAAGACAUCCAGUGGGCCAGGAACGCACCUGAGGGGAGCUCCGAUGGGAGCACAACCCACCAGGGCACGCCUGGGGGCCCAGGCGCCCCCCGGUUGGUUGUGCCCUCCUCAUUGGCCUCCCGCACCGCAUCUUUGCUCUAUAAAUACCCCAAUAUUCCAGAAACCCUAAGGAGGGGGACGAAAAUCAAUUCCAGCCGCCGAAGAGUACAAAAACACCAGAUCCAAUCUAGACACCAUCACGAAGGGGUUCAUCAUGUCCAUUGGUGCCUCUCCGAUAAUGCGUGAGUAGUUCUUUGUAGACCUACGGGUCCGUAGUUAUUAACUAGAUGACUUCCUCUCUCUUUCUUAAUUAUCAAUACAAUGGUCUUUUGAAGAUCCAUAUGAUGUGAGUCUUUUUUUAUUGUGUUUGCUGGGAUCCGAUGAAAUUUGAGUUUAUGAUCAGAUCUAUUUUUUUUUACUCGAAGCCCAUGCCCAUGCGUUAACGCGAUAUGGGCCCAAGUGCUACGCCCAGUCGAUAUGGGCCCAAGUGCUACGCCCAGUCCUGGCCAAACAUGCCAUGCUUUCUGGGCGGUCUAGAAGCAUGACGGACCGACACACGUUACGAGCCAGGCACGACAAAGACUAAUCGGGCCGUGUCCGCAGUUCGCCUCGAGCCGUGCCUGGGCCUGAAGGCUGGACACGCGAGCCAGCACGGCACGACCCAUUUAUAGUUUUUAUUUUUGUUUUUAAAUUACAUAUAUAUAAUAGCCUAAUAGACCAAAAUCAGUCUAAAACGAUCUCAAAACCAAAUGCCUAAUAAACAACGAGCUUAGCGUGCCGACGAAUCGGUCUGUAUAGGUUCAGUGUCGUGCUUGGGUCUAGAAGCUGCGCACGUGAAUCAAAACGGCACGACCGAGCUAAUGUUCGUGCCUGCACGGACCAUACCGUGCCGGCCCCGUUUGGCACCGGCUACGCCCAUCAUAACUCGCACGAUAUUGACCGCGAAGCGCUUCGCGAGUGAGGUGGCGUUUUUUCCCAGGGACUAGACUUUUUUUAGUCUCAGGGACUAAAGAAAAAAGUCUGUUCAAUAGAGUCUUUUUUUAAUUCCUUAAGGAAAAGUCCCUUAUGUUUCUUUAUCUAGGGACUAAAAGGGAAUUUUUAGUUAGUCUCUGGGCAAAGAAACACCACCUGAGCCCACCGGUUUGCCGGCUCCCGCUCGCUAUGAGCCGCCCGCUCUGCAACCACUACACGGCGCUCCUCUCCUCCUCUGCCGCCGCCGGCGACCGCGAUGGGGUCCGCGUCCCCGGCGCCGUCCACUGCCUCGUCCUCCGGACGCUCCCGCACCCGCCGCCCACCUACGUCCUCAACCACCUGCUCACCGGAUACGCCAGGUCCGGCCGCCUCCCCCUCGCGCGCCGCCUGUUCGACGCAAUGCCCGACCCCAACCUCUUCACCCGCAACGCGCUGCUCUCGGCGCUGGCCCACGCGCGCCUCCUCCCCGAAAUGGACCGGCUCUUCGCGUCCAUGCCCGAGCGCGACGCGGUGUCCUACAACGCGCUCAUCGCGGGCUUCUCCGGCGCCGGCGCCCCCGCACGGGCGGCCGAGGCGUACCGCGCGCUGCUCCGGGAGGAGGCGGUGCUGGACGGCGCCAGGGUCGGGCCCAGCCGCAUCACCAUGUCUGGCAUGGUCAUGGCCGCGUCGGCGCUCGGCGACCGCGCGCUCGGCCGCCAGGUGCACUGCCAGAUCCUGUGGCUCAGGUUCGGGGCGUACGCCUUCACCGGGAGCCCGCUGGUCGAUAUGUACGCCAAGAUGGGCCUCAUCGGGGACGCCAAGCGGGUCUUUGAUGAGAUGGAGGGCAAGAAUGUGGUGAUGUACAAUACCAUGAUGUGGCAGAUUGUGACGCCCUUGAUUUAAUCGUACGCUAAUCAUACACGCAAAUGCGUACGAUCAAACCCAAGGACUCACGGGGAGAUAUCACAACACAACUCUAGACACAAAUAAAAUAACAUCAGCUUCAUAUUACAAGCCAGGGGCCUCGAGGGCUAGAAUACGAAAGCUCGAUAAACACACGAGUCAGCGGAAGCAACAAAUAUCUGAGUACAGACAUAAAACAUGGGGUGCCUUAGAGAAGGCUAGCACAAAAGAUACAACGAUCGAACGAGGCGAGGCCUCCUGCCUGGGAACCUCCUAACUACUCCUGAUCAUCAGCGGCCACCACGUAGUAGUAGGCACCGUCAGGGUAGCAGUCGUCGGUGGCGGGGAUCUCCAUCUCCUGGACUCCAUCAUCUGGUCGCAGCAAACGGAUCAAGGGGACAAGGGGGGAGCAAAGCAGCGGUGAGUACUCAUCCAAAGUACUCGCAAGUCUUACAUCAGAACUAUUCUAAUUAUGCAUCAGUAUCAAAGAAGGGGGUUAUAUGUGGACUGACUGCAGCAAUGCGAGAAUAGAGAGAGAAGGCCUAGUCCUAUUGAAGACUAGCAUCUUCAGGGUCUUGCAGCAAUAGACGAGAGUAGAACACGGGUAAAACAUUAAUAGUCAUAUUGUUGCAGCAAUAUUAAAGUGAGGUCACGCCUAAAGAUCCUCCCUCGACUCCCUGCGAGGAAGCAAUCCCGAGGCAAACUAAUUCCAGUUAAGUAACAAUUGUAGUUGUAAAAGAUCGGGGCACAACUCCAAGUCGUCCUGUAACCGUGGACACGGCUAUCCGAAUAGUUAAUUUUCAUCCCUGCAGGGGUGCACCACAUGUCCCGUCACGCUCGAUAACACUCUGGCCAGACAUACUUUUCUGGGUCCUGCCCGGCCUCGGAAUAUCGACACGUCGCAGCCCCACCUAAGACUAAUCAGAGAGGCCAGCCCGCCGGUCUAAAUCCUAAGCACAAAGGGUUCGUGGGCCCAGUUCCCCUUCACGCUCCUGCACGUGGCGUGGGCGGCCGACGUCAGUCCUAGCAUCCCUUAAUCACAAGCGCGAUGCAUCUCGGGACCACUCGGGCGCGCGCCGCUACAUUGCUGGCAUCUGAAAAGCUUCGAAUGAUACCGCGACGCCGAGUACCCAUAAUUCUUCCCGCGUAGCCGGUUAGUGCGAAAAGGUCUCCGACCAACCCAGAUCAAAUACCCAAAUCCAUUAGCAUUUUAAUUAGGCCAGCAACACAGUCUCACGGGAAUCCACCCGUCUUACAACUAAUCACCAAUGAUCCCAGUAACAUGGUCGAGUAACUUUGUGGUUGUAACAUCGGGGGGAAUCCGAGGUAUCACCCUCGUUGGAUUCCGAACGAUGUACCCGUCAAGGUGGGCUUAGAGGAAUCACCCUCGGGGGUCCCACACUCGCGGGGUGGCACGAUAGAGACGUCAUCGGGAAUGGUGAAAGAGGAAUCAUCCUCGAUAACCAUGACCGACUAGCUAUACUACAGAGAUAUCAUCAGGAGUACUUAGUGAGGUGUCACCCUCGGUACCCGAUAGUAUCUCUGUAGCGUCGUACAACAAAAGGGGGGUGAACGUGUUGUGUCGGGUCUGGCUCGUCGAUCAGAGAUCGAGACUUGAAAACAAGCGAGGCAACUGGACUACGGGGUCAGAGGGGAGGCGACUGCUCCACCUAUACUAGGCAGAUUAAAGGUACAGGACUGAAAGUAGCAGUUCAUCAAAAACAGGCUAUGCAUCAGAUAUAGGAGCUAACUACAACAGUAGCAAAAUACUAAUGCAAGCAGUAGGAAGAAAGACAUAGACGAUAUAGGAAUGAUCAAGGGGAGUUUGCUUGCCUUGCUGCUCUGCGGCAAAGGACUGAUCGGCAGGGUCGUAGAUGUACCCGGCAGCAGCGUCAGUCUCGGGGUCUACCGGUAAGAAGAGGGGGAAGAAACAAUAAAUAAUAGCACCGAUGCAACACAAAGCAUGACAUGGCAAGAUGCAGGCUAGACAUGAGCUAACACAGCAACAUCCGUCAUAGACGGGUCGGAAGAAUAUCUGACGAUAUUUUCCGGGUCUCGGGCUACUACCGGUUAUACUGGAAACGAAGAAAAUGUUCCAUGUUUGCUAUGCUAGGGACGCGUGACAGACGAAUGGACCGUGUAUCCGGGUUCGUCUCGCUUUGCUGAUCAACUUUCAUGUUGAAAUUAUUUCGAUCUGACUUACGGAUUAUUUAAUAUUAAUUUUCAAAGUUUUAUUAAUUAUUUAGGAAUUAAAAACAGAUUUAGCUAUUUUAAAUAAAAUCAUAUUAUGACAUCAUCACGAUGUCAUGCUGACAUCAACAUUUGACUGGUCAACUGACCAGCGGGUCCCGAACGUCAUAGGCACAAGGUUUAAUAUUGAUUAAAUAUUGAUUUAUCAGAUUAAUUUAAUGAGGGACCCACGUGUCAUACUCUAAUUAUUCUAAUUAAUUAACUUAACUAAUAUAUCUAUUUAGCUAAUUCAUUAACUCAUUAAUUAAUUAUUAUAUCUAUUUAUUUAUUUAUUAAAAACAUUAAUUUUUUAUUUUUAUUUUAACUAAUGCGUGGGGCCUCCCUGUCAUAGACAGCGGGUGCAUUGGCCCCACCGGUAAGUGGCCUAAGGCCAUUUACUCAUUUUUUUAAUCACAAAUACAUAACCAUACAAAUGUCGUAUUCCUCUAAAUAUUCAUAUACGCAAAUACAUACAUCGCAUCUCAUACAUACAUACAUACAUACAUACGCGUCUAAUACAUCAUUUAUUUUUAUUCAAUUUCUCUCAAAACUCUCAACACUCAUCUCUCUCUGUGUGUUAACAGAGAGAGAACAACUCUCUGCUAACUAACAUACAAGAACCUAAACUUCAAUCCCUCCUACCGGAGUCUACCGUCGACGGAUCGAGGUCCCGUUUGCCGGAACGGAACCGGGACGGUGAGGAGAUCGACAUGGUGGGAGGAGCCCGAGGAGGGGCUCACCGACGGUGACGAGACGGCCCGAUGAAGCCGGAGUUCGCACGAAGGUGAAGGUGACGACGGUGACGCGGUUCCGGUGGUGAAGGGGACGGUGAUGAUGGUGAUGACGCGCCGGCGAGGGGGAGCCGGCCGGAUCCGGCGAGGUGGAGAUGUCUCCCUGCCCGGUCCCUCCUGGACCGAACGGGAGAAGGCCGACGGGGGCGGGGGGGGGGGGGGGGCCACCGGAGAGGUGAGGGCCGCCGGUGAUGGGCCCCCCGGGGAUGGGGAGGUCGGCCGAAGUGGGGUGGCCAGGGGGGGCCUCGGUUCCUGGGAGGACGAGGGGGCCGAGAGAGGAGCGUAGGUGGGGGGAGGCUCGGUGGGGAAGGAGCCUGUGGGGAGGGAGAAGGAGCCCGCGGGGAGGGAGGGAGACCUGGGACCGGCGAGGUGGGGAGAGCCGGCGGGAUGGGGAGGCGGUGGAGAGGAGGGCUGGUGGUGGAGAAGAGGGGCUCGGCCCCGGGCGAGCAGGGGGGCGGCGUUGGGACCGGCGGGAGGGGCGAUCUGGGAGGCGGGGGGGCUCGAUCGUGGGUGCGGGAGAGGGGGCAGGUCGAGGGGGAAGUGUCGGUGGGGAGAGGUGGGAGGACCGAGGGGAGGGAGCCCUCGGUCGUGGGGCGAGUGACUGGGGGGUGUAGCGCUCGUGGGGUGGGAGCCUCCUGGCGGCGGGCAGAUGGGAACGGGAGGAGCUGGGGUCUUCUCGCUAGGGUUUGGUGAUUGUGGCCGGCUGGGCCACUUUGGCCCAGUCGGCCGGGGGGGCUCGGUUGCCUCUUUUUUUAUAUUAGUUUCUAUGUUUUAAUUAUUUUAGUAACAAAAUCAUUUAUAAAAAGUAGAGGACAUGCCCAAUAUUAAAAAGGCAGUAUUAGGCAGCAACAUAAAAAGUUUAGGGGCCUUUUGAAAAUAAUUGAAACUUACACACAUCAAAAAGGACAUUUAAUAAUUGUUUUGUCAUUGAUAUAAAUGUCUUACAGGCACUAAACCAAUUGAUAAAAUGUUGGUUCAAUUUUUUUGAAUAGCUUAGGGAAUAAUUGUAACCUAGGCAUGAUUUUUAAUUUGAAGUUUACAAAACUUUUAAUUUCACAUUCCAAAUAAUUUUGGAUUGCAUAGGGAUUCGAACGAGAGUUUGAUUCCUACAGCGAUCACACAUGGCUUAGCAAAUUGGAUUAACAUAAAUCUCAGAAUACCGUAGCUUUAUUACAGAGUUUACUGUAGCACAAAUCCAGGGCGUCACACAGAUGCUGAGAAGGUUCACAUGCUCAGCAAUCAUAGCGAGAAGCUUGCAAUUGCCUUUGGCUUAAUUUUUGUUCCGGAGGAAAUGCCGAUCCGGGUUGUCAAGAAUCUGCGUGUGUAUGUGGAUUGCCACAAUGCUACCAAGUUCAUCUCUAGGAUAACCGGUCGCGAUAUUCUUGUGAGAGAUGCUGUCAGAUUUCACAAGUUCAGCAAUGGCAUUUGCUCCUGUGGGGACUUCUGGUAAUUCCAAUAUCUGUUCAGCCAACAUCGCACAUGCUUCAAGUUUAACUAAAUUCAGAAGUGCUACUGGAAGACAAGAAGGAAAGUUGAACAAAGCCAAGCAUGGAUAAUAUUCCCUGGCCAUCAACUGGCUUUGUGUGACAGAGUAAGAACAAAUCAUGUUCCCUGCAGGUGCAGGACUCACAAGAGAUGUGCUUAUGUCAUCAUGAAACUGUAGUUCUGAAAGAUUGUUUGGAUUAACAUUCUGUUCCUAAUUGUUGGUUGGUAUGGAUCUGACAGACAAAGGGCGAAACUGCAUUUGCUAACAGCAGUAUUCAUGACAUCAUAUCCUUAUUGAUUAUUGUUUACCAAAGUGAAGGGGAAAAGGUAUUGCCAUGUUUUGGCAUUCUGUGCACCUAAUUACCAAAUUCGCUACAUUGACAGAAGAAACCACCACUCUUCUGCCUAACAGUUUGAGUGUUGACCUUUUUGUUUCAUUUUAGCAUAACUAGAUUCAUGGUAGUCUGUGCUUAACCUCCUGCCAGAUAAAGCUCAAUCAGCACAAUGUUUUUUCGUUCCAUUUUACAUAAUGUGUAGGACACUUAUACAUGGUUACCAAUUACAAAAUGUGCAGGGUAGUUUUCCGAUUUAUGGCUUGGAGACGUGAUGGCUUUGCACCAAGCAACAAAGAGAACAAAGCGUUGAAUCACCAUCCACUGACUAUUAUUAGUUUGGCUUCCAAAUCAAUAAGACUAUUAUUAUGAGACAGUCAGACAGAAGUGUUUUCGCAGGCAGCCUAGAACAAGACAGUGUCAUACCUGAACCAAUCCCUUGUUGAAUGUUAGUGCCUGGCCAUAUGGGUACAUGGUAUAUUUCUAGCGGUUCUGCUUGGGCAAGCUCAUUGCAAUUCUGUCACCAUUAGCUACUUGAGAACAAGCUGCAGCAACUGCUGGGAAAAACUUAUUGGAGAAAUGCACCUGUAGGACAAUUAUACUGCAAUUUGAAUAUCUGGAACGGCAGAAGUCACUGGCUGCUUGCCCAAGAACCCAAGAUCAUGGUCAGGUGAGUUUAUUUUAGAUAACUGAUAUAUAACACAGCACAAAGUGUUUUCUAGUAUGUGAAGAAUCAUAUUUAUUUCUUGUGCAUUUUAUGGUCACAUAAAUAGCCCGAGACAGUAUUGACCAACAGAAAAAUUUAAAGUAAAAUAAAUUCUCUGUUGAAAUUAGACACAUGUUUAAAUUUAACUAAAGUAAAAAGUGCUACUGGAAGAAAAGGUGAAAAGUUGAACGAAGCUAAGAAUAGUUAAUAUUCUCAGGCCAUCAACUCGCUUUGUGGGACAGAGUAAGAACAAAUCAUGCUCCCUGCAGGUGCAGGAUUCAUAAGAGGUUUAUGUCAUCAUGGCAUAGUUCUGGAAGAUAUUUUUAUUAACAUUUCGUUCCUAAUUGUUGGCUGGUAUGGACCUAGCAGCAGUAGGCAGUUUGAUAUGAAGAUUGUGCAUGGGAGCUAUAUCCUUAUUGAUCCUUAUCUCAUGUUUAAUUCCUUAUUUAGCAAAGUGAAGGAGAAAGAUAGGCCACAACUUUUGGCAUUCUGUGCACUAAUACCAAAUUCGAUACCUUGACAGAAGAAACCACCACUCGUCUGCCUUAACAGUUGUAUUAAUCUUUUCAUCUCAUUUUAGCAUAACUAGAGCGAUGAUAGUUUGUGCUGAACCUCCUGCCAGAUAAAGCUCCAUCUCCACAAUGUUUUUUCUUUUCAUUUGAACAUAAUGUUGAUAUUAGACACUUGUGCGUGGUUACUGAUUACAAAAUGUGCAGGAUAUAUGCGGUUUAUGGCUUGAGAUCUCCCUCAAGUUUGUUGAAGGAAGAUCCCAAUGAUGGCUUUGCGAAAACCAACAAAGGGAACGAAAUGUUGAAUCACCAUCUAGUCUUCUACUGACUCUAUUAUUAGCUUGACUUCCAAAUCUCCAAGACUAUCGUUAGGAGACAGAAGUGUAUUCACAGGCAGCUCAGAGCAAGUCAAUGUGAUACCUGAACCAAUCCCUUGUUGGAGCGUGAACUUCAUGCCUGGUCAUAUCGGUACUUCAUGGGAAUGUGAGCCAUGUAAGGGUAUAUUUCUAAGGGUUCUGCUUGGGCAGGGUCAUACUUCUGUCACCAUUGGCUAUUGGAGGACAAGCUGCAGAGUGCUGGAAAGUGGGAAUUACUCACUGUAGAAAUGCCCCUGAAGGACAGUUCUACUGCAAUGGAAUAACUCAAGCAGAAGCCUCCCCUGAGUUGAACCAACCACAGCCCUAAAAGAUGGCGACCAAGCGACACGCUGCCCAGGUGCCAGGGCCUUCAGUGCCUCUUCUCUCUGUGCCGCCGGACUACUCGCCUCCACGCCGAGGGCCAAGCCCAGUGAACACAUUUGAGAUCCCUCCGGUAAGUAGGAACCUUGAUCCUGCAGGCUGCGGGAGUGAGGAUGCAAUUGGUAGUGCUUGGAUGAACGUAUGCAUAGAGCAUUCUGCUGUAACCUAGAUUUCGGAACUGGUGUCUCUGCUACCCAAUGCUGUUAUGAGAUAGAUGUUUAAAAUGGUGUACAUAACUUACUCUGAAUAUUGUUGUAGCUUCAAUGUUUCUAUUUUGCUGCAAUUUUCAGUUACCUGCAAGCGCCGAUGUUCUUCAGAUAGUUUCUCCAUGGGACAUGGACUGCUAGUAAGGUACAUGUGAAACCUGAAAUAUGCCCCCCUUUAUUAGCUUCUCAGUCGUUUGAUUAUACAACUCUGCCUUCUCAAGUAAAUGAGUCUCAGUGAUUCUCUUUUGUCCUGUUCAAAUUAACGACCUACACUGAGUAAAAGGGGAUUGUUUUUUGUUGCGAGUAGUUUGCAUUUUGCAUAAAGGUGCUAGCAGUACGUGAAGCAUUUUAUAUAGGAGAGCUAAGCAUAUCAUGUCAACUUCACACUACAUUAAAGAGCAGGAAGCGUUGUAAUGGUGCUCUUAUAGAUGCCUUUUAGUACACUAGUAUAGCUCUUAUAUUAAUCUGUGUAGCACAUUUCUCCAAAGCUACAAACAGAUAUGUCAGCCACAUUCCACAAUAUAGUACUAGUAGGGUUACAGUUUGCCCCAUUAGCAUCUACCCUUACUGUAACGACAAUUCAAGUUGAAAUCCAAAUUUGGUUGCCGUACUUCAGAUUUCCUUCAAUCCGAAUGGCUUGAAAGACACAAAAGUUUUUUCAAUCAGCAGGAAGAUUUAACAGUGAGCAUACAUCAUUGCAAUCUUUUAUCUUUAUCUUUCAAUCUUGCAGCUAGCCAGCUGCAAGCAAAGAACUUAUUUCUAUCUUUAGCUAAAGCAAAAGGUAAUCCUAGCAUGGAUCGAGAAUAUAGAAAAGGAAAAGGCAAGGAAUAAAGCCGCUUGCUUAUAGUCUGUCUAAGGCAUUUGUGUGUAAGCACAAGAAAGAAGCUGCUCACAAGGUUAUCCUGUCGUACCAUGUAGUACAGCUGAUUUCUUUCUUGUUUUUGCUCUCCAAUCCAGCCAGCUUGUAGUGGCACCUGAACGAUCUAAUUGGGUUCUAGUAUUGACCUGCAGAUUCUCUACGUAGUGCCAAUUCUUCACUUAACCAGGGUAUGUAACUAGCUCACCUUACACCUGUACUAAAUCUGCUUGUCGUAUUCUUUGGAUUUGUGUAAGCUAGCUUAGUUUAUGGCUUCUAGUUGUUUCUCAAUAUAUAUAUACAGGAAAUCAGGAACUGAUCGCCUACUGUUUGACAAAUUAGAAUGGAGAUUGCUAAAGAUCUGAGGGGUCGAUCUUGAGCCUGAAAAUGACUUCAUCCAGAGUUUAGAGACAGACAGAUCUAAUCGAUUCAUCAUGCGUACAGAGGUACUGUUGCACUUACAAAUCACCUUUCAUUCAUUCUGGAUGUUAUAUAUAUUUAAUUGCAGUAGAUUUUGGGGUAAAGUUUUGUCUAUGCCAGCAGUCGUAGUUAAUCUGGAUCAUGCAUGCGUUUAUUUUGUAGACUAUGCAUGCUCAGCUAGUAGAAUUAAAAAAACUGUUAGUCAUGCAUUAGAAUAUUGCCAACAGUCUAAUACCAUGGGUCAACUUAUUAUGUGUUUUCUUUAUUAGUAUCGUGCUCCAAGUUAGAAGUUUGGACUGGUUCCUGAAUCACCGCCCUGUACACACAUGCAGGUUAUCAAGGCAGACACCAUUGAUGAGGCCGUCAAUAGGCUUCUCGUUGAACUUAGGAAAGACACUACAAGCAGCAGAGAGAAUUCCAUCUACUUUGAUGGAUGGGAUGGUCUUGGGGCAUCUGCUGUCCUGCAAGCCAUAGCCAAACACCUUGGAGUAUCAAAUGAGACGUCAGCGAGGCCUGCAGGGCUGCAGUUUGAGAAAAUCAUCCACAUUGACUGCUCAAAGUGGGAGAGCAGAAGAGCAAUGCAGAGGGAAAUAGCAGAGCAGCUGAACCUCCCCAAUUGGGUGAUGGAUAUGUUUGACAAACAAGACGAGGAUGAUGAUUUCAAUGGGUUGGACCAGGGCUCCCGAACUGAGAUAGCACAAGUUGUCAGAGAGAUCUAUCAAAACACACAGAAUCAAAGAUUCUUAGUGAUUCUGCAUAAUGGAGGCAAUGAGGAGAUCGAUAUAUUCAAUUUUGGCCUUUCUCUAUAUGGAUAUGCUAAUAGCAAGAUGCUGUGGACUUUCCGAGGGAGGUUUCGGCUUGACCCCAAGAUAACAGACAAUGUGAAGAGCACAACAACACAUGUUCUUCUUUCAGCUUCAAGAUCUGGGCGAGAUCCACAAGAGCUUUGGUCUUAUCUAGUUCGCCAUGAGGCUGCACAACUUUUUUGCUAUAAGCAUAACCAUAUCUUCAUUGAUUCAGCGGUUGCUGCUGAGUGUGUCUUGUACAUGCUGAAACAGUAUUGCAUCGGCUCUCACAUCAUUGACUACGACUGGGCUAUACACACCAGUAACUAUUGGGUAUGCGAUGGGAUCAUCCCAUUUGCAGACAUUGACAAAGCAUGGAAAGUUGGUGAUGUUGUACAACACGAGGUGCGGUUGUUGAACAUUGACAAUGGACUUUGUAGUGAUGAAUCAACAAUAGUGCUAUCCUCUCACCUGACAAAGUUAGCCGAGCGCAUGCCAUACUGCAUUUCAACAGCAACUUGUGGAUUUGUACAGAGCCGCUUCAGUGUUAUUCUUGGAAACAUGUCUCAACACUCGCACGGUCUCCGCGUGCUCAAGCUCUCAUGGUGCACCUUCAGUUUCUCAUCACCUCCAUUCCUCUGUUGCCAUAGCUUGAGGUUCCUAUGGCUUGAGCACUGCCAAGAUGAUUUAACAAUGAUUGCGGCAAAUCAUCACCAUACAGAUGCGGACAAAAAGAAGGAUGACUUGGACAACAACAACACCGCUAGAUCGUGCUCAUGCUUUCAAAACUUGUGGGUGCUUGACGUGCGGUACACAGAUUGUGAUCAGAUCUUGUCAGCAAGGGUGAUGGAUCUCAUGACCCAGCUCAGGGAGCUAAACGUGAUGGGUGCUGAAAACUGGGACAUGAGCCAUUUGCAAGGACGGCUGCGUAACAUUCGCAAGCUCCGGGUAACAAACUCCACCUGCUUCUUCAACAACAACGUGUUCUCGGAGAUGGAAAGCAUGGAGCUUCUUGAUUUUUCGGGAAAUCACAUCACACAAGGCAUGACCAGCUUAUCUGGGCCAGCAAGCCUCAAGACCGCCACUAUUGAUGGAUGUGAUGGGUUAAAAAAUAUAUCUUUUAGGGGCUGCAAAGAAUUGGCAAAUGUGAUCUUGAAAGGAUUAUCGAGGGGUCUCGAGGAGCUGGAUCUUUCAGGCACAAGGGUGAAAAUCCUCAACCUCGGAGGAGCGAAAUACGUCCCCAAGCGAAUCAUCUUGCUAGACUCUGAGAAGCUCCGUGCAAUAUUGUGGCCACGGAGUGCGACAGAAAGUGGGCCAGAAAACUGUCCGAAAGUGGUGCACAUUGACACGGCCUCGCCAUCAACAUCAGCUUAUGGAGGGGAGGCACCACUUGCACAUCCACAUGCUGACCUAUCCCUCCACCAGCAAAAAGAAGAAAUAUUUAAGGGUGGAUGGCAGAUUUCUUUCACGGACACAAGGUUCCUUAGGUUGGUUUCUCCUGUAAAAGAAAGUUUUUUAUGGGUGUCAUCCUUACAUAUUGAUAUAUGUACUGCAGCUACCGUUGGUGGUAGCGACAUCCAAGAAACAAGUGACAAACUAGUGCAAGUCCAACAGCAUGCAAGUACCUUGAUGGACUCCAAUUACAGAGAUGCGUUGAAGGAUGGCCCAGUUGCAGCGAUGAUGAUGUGGGACUGCCCCAAGAUUUACACUCGAUCAGUUGAAUACACGUGUAUCAUAAAGAUGAUCAUGCACGGGCAUGGCAACAAAACUUUGGAUGAUGAUCAAGCUGCUAGUACUACCGCGAUAUUAUUUCCUGAUUUUAUAGGUUGGCGAGCUACAUCGAUGCACGUGUAUGACAAUGCGUACAUCACCAAUAUCCUUGAGCCUUCCCAAGGAUGGAGGAGUUUAACAUGGUGCCGGGUGGAGAGGUGCCCCAAGUUACACACGGUAUUUACUGUUCCCCAGGGCAGUGUAUACAACAACCUUGCUUACAUUGAGACAUUCUGGGCAUCCCAGCUUCUCUCUGUACGCUACAUCUGGGACACGACAGUUGAAGGUUUAUUUUUCGAGCUGAAAUUUUUGCACCUGGACCACUGCCCUAGGCUCAUACAUGUGCUCCCCUUGCACCAAAACUAUUGGUGGCAUCCGACGCGUUUGGAAACCCUUGAGAUGGUGUACUGUGGUGAUCUCAGGGAGGUGUUCCCUUUGAGCCCUGAGCUUCAGGAACAGGAUAAGAUCAUAGAAUUUCCCGAGCUGAGGCGCAUCCACCUGCAUGAGCUCCCCAUGAUGCCGCGCAUCUGCGGGCGCAGGAUCUCCGCGCCAAAACUCAAGACCAUCAAGGUCAAGGGUUGCUGGAGCCUCAAGCGUCUGCCGGCCGUCGGACGCGACACCAAGCCACCCAAGGUGGAUUGUGAGAAAGAAUGGUGGGACAAGCUGGAGUGGGACGGGCUGGAGAAAUACCACCACCCGUCCCUCUACGAGCCCAGCCACUCGCUGUACUACAAGGCCCAGCUGCCCAGGGGCACGGUUCUCAGGUGAGCUUUAUAUCUAGUUCCUUUUGUACGUUUGUUCCUCAGUAUAUACAUUGUACUAAUAUAAGCUGAUCUUGUGAUGAACCCUAUUACUACCCUCUAUUAUUUCUAUAUAAAAAAUCAGCCUAGCACUGUAAGUGGUAUGUGUGGUUAAUCAUUCAUGCCAUUGUUGGUUUAUGCUGCAGGUAAUCGAUCUGUUUUGUGGAUUGAUAUUGAGCUUCUUUCAACACAAUGUGCGGCCAAGCAUGCAGUGGUCCGUCCUGCAUAACUAAAGCUUUUCUGCCAUGUGAUUGUGCGUUGCUUGCGCUUCUUCCCGCUUGAUUGGUUUGCGGUGUUCUCUCUACAUCUGCAUUGCGCUGGUUCGACAGUUACCGGUGUGCGUGUGUGCUGCUUGCCUUGCUUCUGGCUUGAUUGGUUUGUGGUCUUCUUUCUACAUUUGCAUUGCCUUGCUGUGGCUUCCUGUUUGAUUUGGUUUGGUUUGAUUAUCUUUGCUCAGAGCUCUCGAGCAAAUGAGAAAUAAAUCAGAGUGGGCAUUCAGCUUAUGCAGCACACAUGAGCUCAUUCUGCAUGGGUGCUUGCUUAUUACUAUAUGAAUUGUCGGUUAUGGGGUGAUUGUUAUUUGUAAACACAAACAAUGAUGGUGAUCGUGUGUGUGUGUGUGUGUCUGUGUUGUUUGUUGCUGUUUAAAAGAGUUCACUUUUCAGAGAUGGUGUGCCACUUGGUUAAAAUGUAUUGUGUUGGGGGCACAGACCCUUAAACAACCCGUCCCUUGCUAGAAUAAACUGCAUACAAUUUAAUUUCUUGGUGUGUUUUUUUUGGUACGGCUUUGUGCAACUUGCAUUCGUAUACUCCAUUCAGGAGUUCCCUCGAUUCGGCUGGCUCGAAAAAGACUAAAACAUUUGCUCAAUUAGCAUGAUGAUCCCGUUCCUUUGCAAUACUAUUUUGUCUUCAUCUUUAGUUACUGCAACAAAUCCCCAAGCUUAGACACUUGAGUCUUCCUUGGAUAUAACCGGGUGCCUUGGACGUCCCCAAGCUUAGGUUCUUGUUGUUCCUUUAGUUACUGCAGCAAAUCCUCAAGCUUAGACGCUUGAGUCUUCCUUGGAUAUUACCGGGUGCCUUGGGCGUCCACAAGCUUAGGUUCUUGUUGUUCCUUAUUCUCCUCAUAUUGGUUUCUCACCCAAAACAUGAAACUUCAAUCACAAAAACUUAACGGAAUUUCGUGAAAGGUUACUAAGAGCAGGCCAAUAAUUGAUGGUUACAAACAGCUACGCUCGUAUGUCAAAUUUCCGUUGUUUGUGCUCAUUCCACACACGUACACCUUUUUUUACCCACAGUUGUAUAAGUUCUUCAACUAAUGGCCUUAGGUACACAUCAAUGUCGUUGCCGGGUUGAUUGAGGCCUUGGAUGAGCACUGGCAUCAUAAUGAACUUUCGCUUCAUGCACAACCAAGGAGGAAGGUUAUAGAUGCACAGAGUCACAAGACAGGUGCUAUUAUUGCUGCUCUGGUCCUCAAAAGGUUUAAUGUCAUCUGCACUUGAACCAAACCAUACGUUCAUUGCGUCAUUUGCGAAGUCCCCCCCCCCACUUUCUCUCGAUUUUCCUCCACUGCGACCCAUCAGAGGUUACUCUCAACUUCUCGUCUUUCUUACGGUCUUCUUUGUGCCAUCGCAUCAACUUGACAUGAUCUUUGUUUUGGAACAAACGUUUCAACCGUGGUAUUUUAGGAGCAUACCACAUCACCUUGGCAGGAACCUCUUCCUUGAGCGCUGGACCUCAACAUCGUCACCAGGGUCAUCACGACCGAUCUUAUAGCACAACGCACCGCAUACCGGACAUGCAUUCAAAUUCUCGUACUCCUCACCGCGGUAGAGGAUGCAGUCAUUAGGGCAUGCAUGUAUCUUCUGCACCUCUAAUCCUAGAGGGCAGAUGGCCUUCUUUGCUUUGUACGUACUGUUAGGCAAUUCGUUGUCCUUUGGAAGCAUCUUAUUUAACAUUUCGAUAAUUUUUCAAAUUCCUUCUCAGAUACACCAUUCUCUGCCUUCCAUUGCAGCAAUUCUAGCGCCGUACCCAACUUCUUCUUGUCAUCUUCGCAAUUUGGGUACAACAAUUUCUUGUGAUCCUCUAACAUGCACUGCAACUUCAACUUCUCCUUUUUACUUGCGCAGUUUCUCUUCGCAUCAACAAUGGCCCGACCAAGAUCAUCAGCGGGAUCAUCUGGUGCCUCUUCUUCAGCUUCUUCCCCCAUUAUAGUACCAUCGUAUUCAGGGAACACACGAUAGAUGUCAUCAUCCUCUUGUUCUUCAUUCUUUUCCAUUAGAACCCCUCUUUCUCCGUACUUGGUCCAACAGUCAUAGCCGGACAUGAAACCAGACGUAAACUGGUGGACUUGAAUGACUUUUGGCUUAGAGUAAAUGCUAUCAUAUUAACGACAUAUUUUCUAAUUUUUCUAAUCUUCAAGCGCAUUGCAUCCAUAUUGAUCUUGUUAUCAUCGACAACAUCGGAGACAUACAACUCUAUUUUCAUCUUCUCUUCUUCAAUUCUUUUCAAAAAAAAAUUCAAAUACUCGUUUUCUUUUUCAACUAAAUUUAACUUCUCAACAAGAGGGUCGGUUGAAAUUUCCGGUUCACAUACCUCCUUGAUAAAAAUAUCUAUGUUAACUUGAUGGGCAUAAUUGUCAUAAACGAGAAAUGCAACAAAUACUUAUAGAAGAGAAUAUACCACAUCCGAAUUAUAAACCGGACGAGGGCCGACGGGAUGGAUAUCAAGACCAUGGCACUAUGUAUAACAAACAAUCAUACAUGUAAGAACACUAUUUAAAUCAUACAAAUAAGAUUUUUUUGAAUAAAAAGGAUAAGAACAAGAGGAUCACCAAGGUGGUGCCGGCGACGGGACGGUGCGGACGAUCGAUGGUGGUUAGGACGGGGACGGGAAGGCACUAAGUAAUCCACAUGUGCAAAUAAGAAGUUAAUUUAAUCUCAGAUUGCAUAUAAAUCAAAUAAACUCCCACAAAAUUAUUCCCCAAACUAAAACCCACAAAUCACUAUACUUAUAGAGCAUUGCACGAGCUAAUCCAGCAAUGAGAGAUGAAAUGACAAAGUUGGUAACCUUUGUGAACACUAGGAGAGAUCGGGUGCCUCAAAUCUUGGCAAAAAAUGGAGGCUGAGCUCGAGCUAAAGGGGAGAACAGAGAGGGGAAUGGAGAAAACAAAGAAAUGAGCUCGGUCUGGAUGAAUGGUUUAUAUAGGGAGAUCUUUAGUCCCGGUUUGUAUAACCAACCAGGACAAAAUGUGGCUCCCUCUAGUCCCGGUUUGUGAUACAAACCGAGGCUAAAUAGGCUCGUGGGGGCCCCAGCCUGACGCCCGCCUGCCACCACACCUUUCUAUAGGUACGAAAUAAACCGGGACUAAAGAUGCCCGUGUGACCGACCGAUCCUACCCGUUGGAACCGAAACUAAUAGUCACAUUAGUCCCGGACAAAAUCAAAAGUGGACUGCGAGAAGCACCUACUCCAGCUUUGGAUCCGACUGGGGAGCAAGAACCACCGACGGGCCUGAUGCCCAACAUGGCACGGAUCUCAUCCCACGACUUCCCGUCCAUCAUGGCAACAAUGGUUUUGCAGACAAGAUCAAACACGCCAUGGUUGUCGAGGUCCUUGGAGCGACGAUGAGGUCGAGGAGCACGGUGAGGUCGAGGCUGCCGGUGUCCCAGCCCGGGUCGACGUGGAUAUGUCUGGUCUCUGGAGCAAUGAAGGAUCAAUGAGAGGGCGGUAGAGACGACGCGGGGGUAGCCUCCGCUUCCUCCGGCUAGGCCAUAGAUGUCGUACCUGAUGAUCAUGUGCUCUGCCACCAGGUCCACGUCGUCCAGGCACUGCAGCACCACCAUCUGCUUCCCAACUUCUUCUAGUUCUUCUUCUUCGGUUGUGUCGAUGAUAACUUUUUCAGUCCCAUAUUCUCCUAUAACUUUUUCUUGCAUUUCCCAUGGUUCUAUUCGCGUGGGAUCGAUGGAAGUUGCCCAUGGCUCCUCCGCAUCUGUUAAUCCGAUGAAGCACGCGGAGUCGCGGGUUAGUGAUCCAUCUAUGUUGGGAGAUUGUACGGGCGACGUGGAGAGAUGAUUAGAUUGACGCUGCCAUCCCUCUUUCUACCAUCGUCCCUUUUCCUCCAUCCUCCUGGUCGCCUCUUUAGGCCUCAGCACCUGGUGCACCUCCUGCGGCGGCGAGGUUAUCGUCCACGAAGGCGAUGCUGCUGUUGUGCGGCGAAGGAGCGCUUGUUGUAUUGGAAGGUGGUGUCUACGCGGUGAAGACAGGGAGACGUCCGGGUUGAGGGCGAGGAGAUCCGAUCGUGAUCAGUUUCUGUUUUUUUGCGUGCAUACAUGAUUGUAGGGGUUUUAUGGCUUGCAGAUUUCCUUUGUGGUGGAGUACAACCAGUCAAUGUAAAUUACUAACUUCACACCACACCACACCACACCAGGGAAGGGACCAGAUUAACGCUCAAUCUGUGGUUGGAUGGUUAGAGAGACUAUGGUAUCCCUCAGGUUUCAAAUCCUGGAGUUUGCAUUGUUCUUGCAUUUAUUUCAAGAUUUUCAGCGAUAUAUUUUCAGUGUGAGGACGACGACGGGACGGCUACGAUGAUUUCGUAAAUCUCAAGAUGAUAUGCCGGCUUAGUCUCUCAAAGAUACUCAUAGAGCACUAGUGGGGACCGGGCCUUUAGCCCCGGCCCGUAAGGGGCUUUAGUCCCGGUUCACCAACCGGGACUAAAGGGGCGGGACUAAAGGCCUAACCUCUAGUCCCGACCCUGUUACAAGCUGGGAAUAAAGGUGCUCCACGUGGGCGCCUCGUAGCGCCCCAGGGGCAGGCCCUUUAGUCCCGGCUCGUUACACGGACCGGGACUAAAGAGUCUCAGAUUUUGCUUAUUUUUGGGUUUUUUUUGAAUGAAAUUAUUUUUGGGUUUUAGGGUUUUAGGGUUUAGGUGUUCGGGAGAUUAACGUGAUGCCUCGUUUGGUGUUCGGGAAUUAGUUUUCAUAUAAUUUAAAUAGAAAUAAUUAUGCAUAUAUAUAUAUAUAUAAGAUUAACUUAUCUUACAAGCGAGCAUAUAUAUACAAUUAUAUGGAGAUCUGAAUUAUCGGGACUAGAGCCCGUCUAUUCGAUUACAUGGACGAACAUCCGUAACGGCCCCUAGCUACACUAAAUCGUCCUUUGUCAUCUAUAGCUUCCGUCCUCAGAAAGGUCGCAAGCUCCUCUGCAACAGCAAUCGCGCGUUGCUCUGGUAGGGACUUCUCCCUCAUGGCCGUGUACUAUAUAAGACGAGGAGAUGAAUAUGAAUAUCAAUCAUGAUAACAAAGAAUGACGGGUAAAAAUAGAGGUGUGAAUGUUCAUUGCUUACGUCGUAUCUGUGAUCCUUGUGCUCAGAGGUAAACGUGCGAAUGGUCUCGCAAACAUAGUAUCCGCAUAGAUGCGUCCCCCGUGGCUGCUGGUCGCACUUUACGAGAAUAGAAUAUAUAUAAUCAAAAUAAUAAUCUAGCAUCAUAAAUGUAUUGAAAAUAGAAGUAUAUCAUACUACUACUUACCUGANNNNNNNNNNNNNNNNNNNNNNNNNNNNNNNNNNNNNNNNNNNNNNNNNNNNNNNNNNNNNNNNNNNNNNNNNNNNNNNNNNNNNNNNNNNNNNNNNNNNAAUGGUCUCGCAAACAUAGUAUCCGCAUAGAUGCGUCCCCCGUGGCUGCUGGUCGCACUUUACGAGAAUAGAAUAUAUAUAAUCAAAAUAAUAAUCUAGCAUCAUAAAUGUAUUGAAAAUAGAAGUAUAUCAUACUACUACUUACCUGAGCCGCUCUAAAGGUCAGCUUCUCGGGCUCGAUACCGGGAGUCACGCACUUGAACCGCUUCCAAACCCUGCCCGACAAGGAAAAUGAUUUGCUAAGUUUUUCAUUAAUUGAUAUAUCAGAAAAUCAUCGAAAGAGACCGGUAGAGCGCAAGAAUGAUUGAAAUUACCCUUGGAACAUGUCCUGCAGGCUUUGGAACUGUUCCAAGGGUCUCGAUAAUGGGUCGAAGGCAUCAACUCUUCCCUUAUCAAUUUGAAUGUUCAACAGAAUCCAAUGAAAGCUGCACAUGUAUAUAUAUAUAUGUGUGAGUAACUUAUCAAUUACACUUAUAAGUGAAUGGACACAACAGAGUAAAGACCCUCACCUGAAGUUGUAUGGAAACAAUAUGUCGUCACAGAAAUUUUGAUCUGUUAGAAACCUUAGAAGGUUUUCCUCCAUCUCCUUGGGUUUAUCAGUUAGCGCCGCUAUAUGUAUUUUAUCUGGGUCAAUAAACCCAAUAUUUAGGAUGUUCCUAUUUUUACAAUCCAGAAUCUUCAUUCUGCAUAAUAGAGUACAAGUUAUAUGUAGACAAUGAAUUGAAAUAACUAAACAAGUUAUAUGUAGACAACGAAUUGAAAAACUUACAGACAAUAGCAACUCAUAAGCGAUUUGUCGAGGGCGUCGGCAUUGUACAUCUGGAAGAGUUCAUCAAAGUCGAUAUGGAUUUCUUUGGGGCGGUCGCAGUACUCCUGUGGGACACUCACCACGAUCAUCGUUCUCCCAUUCUUUGAUUCACUUAAUUACCAUGUAUGCAAGUAACGCAUAUUUGUUGGGAGAUCAUCUUUGCUGACCAAAGGCGCUCCCAUGACAAACUGUGGCUUAGGGGCUACCACAGCCUUGGGUAACAUCUCGUCUUGGAAAGCCAGAACCUCUUCAACCGGGAUACCCCAUUCAUCCGCCCACUUCUUUGCUAAUUCCAAAUCUUGCCCCUGCACCAGAGGGGGGACAUUCUCGGGUAACACCCUGAGGGGUGGGAUCGACUGUUUGGCCUGUUGUCCAAGCUGAGGAACGUCUGAUCUUUUUUUGCUUGUAGUUAACUUGAUUUGCUCCCACUUGCACUUGCACGUGAUCUACUCUUUUUCACUUCCUUCCGCAAUGUGCGUGUAUAGUCAUCAGGCUUAUGGUGUAAGUCAUACUGUGAUGGAAGGUUCGUGAAGUAUUUUGCAAAUGCUAUUUGCUUCUCGGUGUAUUCCGGGCGGGGCUCGGGUUCCUUAUUUUUCAUCUGCGCAUCAUGAUGUUCCUUUGCUAUCCUGGCGUUUUCCUCGGCGGUACGAUCAUAAGGUCUGAUAGAAAGAUGAGCAUGAGGUACCUUUGGGAGGGGCGACAUUUUGCGCUUUGGGGAGCUCCGUCGCUUAGAAAUCAUUGGCGGAGCGUUCUUGCUGGCACGCUUCCGCUGAGUAUCCGGAGCGGGCGGCGGCGGAGACGGACGACCCGAGUCCGGCGGCGGUGAUCGAGAUGGACUCGUGUUGUGCUGGCCGUCGUCAUGUGGAGGGCUUGGAGGUGAUGGAGGUGUAGGUGACCUGCGACAACUCAGAGGCGGUGUUGUCCUUGGGGCCGAGCCUGGAAGCUUGAUUUAGCUCUUGUCCCAUAGGAUGAAUCCACCCAGUACUUCUCCGAGUGUCCUCUCAUCUUGGGGUCCAGCUAUGUCGAGCUCCAUAUCAUGAAACCCCGCCAUGAUUUCAUCCACCCCGACUUUAGCAAAGCCAGCUGGAAUCUCAUGGCCAUGCCAGCGUGCAUCAGAGCCAGAAGGUAAAGCUUGUCCGACGGCCACCUUCAUGGAUAUGUUCUUGAAUUUCUGAUGGAGUUCACAUGAUGUUGACUCCUUGAUUCCAUCCACGGGGUAGCCGGGACCGCCCUCUAUCAUUCUUCGUGCAUCGUCGGGCGGGGCCUCAGAUUCAGCCACGGUGCUUUUCCGCUUAGAUGGGGCACCGUUAAUAUCGAGUGCAGGAUCUUCCUGGCACGCUACUCCUCUAAGCUCAUCAAUCUGCUUCUGUUGCUCGUUAAUCCUGGCAAGCAACUGGUUGAACUUGUCAUUCUCCUCAUCCUGCUGUCGCUUCUUUGCUCUCGCUCGGCUUCUGUAAGUGUCUUGGUCUCUGGCAAACCCAAGCCACCACGGGUAAGAAGGACCGAAGCCUCGCGUUCGUCCUCCAUGUUCGUCAUUGCCGAGGACCAGUGUGAGCAAAUCUUUCUCUCUAUCUGCAGUGAACUGUCUUUUUCCCUCCUUAAUUUCUUUCACUAUCUUUUUCCAAUUCUCCCUGGGUAUCCUAAGACCGUCACUGCACAUGAGGUCCCCUGUUUCUUCGUCGUACGAACCACCAUGCCCAAGGAACCAAUUUCUUGCUCUCAAUUCCCACUCAUCACGGAGUGUUUGAGGUAUGAUGCCUUUAGCUAGCAGAUCUUGCUCUUUCUUAUCCCACUUUGGGAUGGCAGUCUCAUAGCCCCCUGGCCCCAACUUGUGGUGAUAUUUCUUCUUGUCGGCAUUUUUCUUGUUCUUUUCUGAUAAUGCCUGGGCAUCUUAUGACUCCUUGUACUCUUGAAAUGCCUUCCAGUGAUUCGCCUGCUUGGCUAGAUACCCCUCGAAUAGCGGCACUUUCUUUGUCUUCAGAUAGUUUUUCCAUAGCUUCUUCUUCCAGCUACGGAACAAUUCAACCAUCUUCUUUAGAGUCCAUUGCUUGAUUUGGCCCUCAGUUUUUUUGCGGCGUCUUCAUUCUCACAUUCUGGCAGGUUGAAAUGUGACAUGAGAUCAUUCCAAAGAUUAUCUUUGUACCUUUCGGCGACAUAGUCACUAUCGGCUGCCCCUUUGCGCUUGUUCCACUCCCGAACGCUGAUCGGGACGUGAUCCCUAACGAGAACUCCGCAUUGCUUCUUGAAUGUGUCAGUAGCAUUCUUAGGAAGCUUGGGUUCGCCCGUAGGCAAUAUCACCUCAAAGGUGUAAUGCGUCCGUGCAUCCAACUUUCUAGUCGGGCCUCGUUUCGUAGCUUUGCUCGAUGUGGAGGUCUAAGAGGGAGAAACAUUCGUCAAAUGAAUGUAUAUGUAUACAAUAUAGAGCUAUCUCCAAUAUUUUUCACAUAUUACAAGUGAUUGUCGAACUUCAUAUGUAUACCUCGCCGGACUUUAUUAUUUCUCCACCGGCUUCUCCACCGGCUUCUCCAUCAGUGGAGCUAUCACCUUCUCCGUCAUUGGACCUAUCUCCUGCCCCAUCGGCUUCAUCUUCGUGUCGGUCGACCUCCAUUCCAUAUUCGGAGGGGUUUAGAUAUGACGACGGAGAUUCAGCUGGUUCAACGUCGGGGCCAUCUUUGAUUAUAUCUUCGAGAAGUUCUUCCUCUUCGAGGUUCCUGAUAUGUGGAUCCAUAGUUCUGCAAAAAAUGGACAUUUGAUUAACUAAUAAACUAACAAACUAUAUAAGAGGGGUUGGAAACUUCGAAGUGUCGUUUUAUAUAGGAGGACCUUUAGUCCCGGGUCUUGGCUAGAACCUAAACUCUAAAAUAUGUCUAACGGAUUCUCUUAACCUUUAAGGAUUUAACAAAAUGGCGACAUUCUAGAUGUGUAGAAAAUGAUCCUAUUUUUCCUGAUCUCAUCUACCCUUCUAUAUGCCACAUUGUAUAGUGUCAAAGGACUUUGUUGAACUUUGUACCAAAAAAGAAUUAUUCUAUCAGGAACACCGUUCCAAAACAACUUUAGACCCGGGUCGUGGCUCCAUCCGGGACUCCUAGAUUUUUGCAUAGUAUUCAAAGUAGGAGUACUUUUCCAAUUUGAGCAUUCAAUAAGCAAAACCAAAUCGUAAAAUAAAGUAGUAUUCAAAUUAGCAUGCAUUCAAUUAUAAGCAAAACUACAUCAUCUCUUUUGUCCGUACAUCGUCGAAUAUUAUCACUAAUACUCCUCGAAUACUAUCAUACAUAUAGCAUCACUGAUACAGCUAGAACCGUAGCGCCCGACGGGUAUCGUCGCGGGCGGUGGACACCCAAAGAGAAGGAACCAUUACAGGAUCAUAGCUCCAGUGAGAUCCCUGAAGAACCUGCCAGGUAUGCUCGAACCUGCCCUCCAACGCAACCAUGUAGCGACGGACGUGCUCAUCCUCCUCGCUGACACGGUGACGUACCACCUCCGCGGUGUCCGGAAGCCUCGGCACCGUCACUGGCCCAUGCGACCGCCACCAAACAAGGAUCGGGUCAACAACGGGCUGGCUCCUCACCAACCUACGCCCCCCGAAAGGUAGCACCUCCCAAUACCAGCCGGGCGGAGUCCAGUCCCGGACAUGGCCCCUCUGAUCGAGCAGGUGUCCUCCGCCGAGUCGACGACGAGGAUGCGGGAUAGGCAUCGUAAAAUAAACUAAAAAAAUAAACUAGUUCUAUUAAUUUUCUUGCUAAAAAUAAACUAAUUGUAUAUAUAGUAAAAUAAACUAUUAACACUUAAGCAUAUACAAUAGCAAAAUUAAGCAAUAAUCUAAGAAACACUAAUUAAGUAUCUAUAUACGUAGAAAUGUCUUCUUCUUCUUCUUCUUUCUUAUUUUCUUCUCCGCUUCUUCUUCAACUUCUCUUCUUCUACUUCUCAUCUUCUUCUAUUUUUCCUCUUCUUCUCCUCUCCUCCUCUUCUUAUUCUCCUUUUUCUUCUUUUCUUCUCUUCCUCUUCUUAUUUUCCUUUUUCCUAAUCUUAUUUUCUUAUUUUUGUUCAUCUUUCUUCUUCUUGUAACCCUAACCUAAUUCUAAAUAUUACUAACCCUGAUAAUUUAGCACAAACCUAAUAACAAUAGGAAUUAAAUGACAAAAGAAAUAUAGAUUUUGGAAUUUUUUGUCUUUCAUAUUUACGAUUCCCUUUAUAUUCGACGAGAAGCCAGUCGGGACCUUGAUACUGAAAAGGAUUUCAAAGAAGAUUUGCUUCUCUUCCUUAGUAAUAGCGUAGCUGGCACGCCCUUGAAACUGCCCUGGAUGCAUGUCAUCUCUUCCUUUAUGACGUUCCUGGUCCUCCCGUGCUUCUGGUGUAUCUUUUGACUUCCCAUACAAGCCUAGGAAGCCUAGAAUAUUCACGCAGAGAUUCUUCGUCAGGUGCAUCACGUCGAUUGCCGAGCCGACCUCAUGGACUUCCCGGUAGGGUAGCUCCCAAAAUAUAGAUUUCUUCUUCCACAUGGGUACGCGCUUAUGAGGGCCGUUAGGAACAGGUUGGCUGCCAGGACCCUUUCCAAAUAUUACUUUUAAAUCUUUGACCAUAUCAAAUACUUCAGCACCAGUACGGAUGACAGGCUUCCCCCGGGGUUCUGCCUUGCCAUUGAAAUGCUUGCCUUUUUUCUUUAAGGGAUGCUUGGGCGGAAGAAAACGACGAUUGUACGGGUACACAUUCUUCCUACAUUUGUCCAGAUAUAUACUUUCUGUCUGAUCCAAACAGUGUGUGCAUGCAUUGUAUCCCUUGUUUGACUGUCCUGAAAUGUUACUAAGAGCAGGCCAAUCAUUGGUGGUUACGAAAAGCAACGCUCGAAGGUCAAAUUCCUCUUGUUUGUGCUCGUCCCACACACGUACACCUGGUUCGGCCCACAGCUGUAAAAUUUCAUCAACUAAUGGCCUUAGGUACAAAUCAAUAUCAUUGCCGGGUUGCUUUGGACCUUGGAUAAGCACUGGCAUCAUAAUGAACUUCCGCUUCAUGCACAACCAAGGAGGAAGGUUGUAGAUACAUAGAGUAACGGGCUAGGUGCUGUGACUGCAACUCUGCUCCCCAAAAGGAUUCAUGCCAUAUGUACUCAAACCUAACCAUAAGUUCCUUGCGUCAGCUGCAAAUCUCGGGAACUCUCUCGAUUUUUCUCCACUGCCGACCAUCAGCGGUGUGCCUCAACUUAUCGUCUUUCAUACGAUCUUCCAUGUGCCAUCGCAACAACUUCGCAUGAUCUUUAUUUCUGAACAGACGUUACAACCAUGGUAUUAUAGGAGCAUACCACAUCACCUUGGCAGGAACCCUCUUCCUGGGUGGCUCGCCCUCAAUAUCACCAGGGUCAUCUUUUCUGAUCUUAUACCGCAAUGCAGUGCAUACCGGGCAUUUAUCCAUAUUCUCGUACUUCUCACCGCGGUAGAGGAUGCAGUCAUUAGGGCAUGCAUGUAUCUUCUGCACGUCUAAUCCUAGAGGGCAGACAAGCUUCUUUGCUUCGUACGUGCUGGCGGGCAAUUCGUUCUUUCUUGGAAGCAUCUUCUUCAUCAGUACCAGCAACUUUUCGAAUGACGAGUCAGUCACACCGGUGUCUGCCUUUCACUUCAGCAAUUCCAGUGUGCUACCCAGCUUCUUCUGGCCAUCUUCACAAGUUGGGUACAACAAUUUGUUGUGGUCCUGUAACAUCUGCUCGAACUGCAACCUCUCCUUUUCUGUGUCGCAACCUCGCCGUGCAUCAGAAAUGACCCGACCAAGAUCAUCAGCGGGCUCAUCUGGUUCCCGUUCUUCAUCCUGAUCUUCUUCUUCAUUGUCUUCCAUUGCGGUAUUAGCAUACUCAGGGAACAUAGAUCGGUAGUUGUCAUCAUCGUUCUCUUCUUCUUCAUCGUCGUCUUCCAUCAUAACCCCUCUUUCUCCGUGCUUGGUCCAAACACUAUAGCCCGACAUAAAACCGGACCGAAGCAGGUGGCUCUGAAUGACUCUUGAGGAAGUGUAAUCCUUCUCAUUCUGACAUUCAACACAUGGACAAAACAUAUAGCCACCACCAUGCUUGUUCGCAUCGGCUGCAUCUCGAAAAGAAUGCAUGCCUUCUCUGUAAGCGGAUGUGCGUCGAUCACCGUACAUCCAUGGAUGGCUCAUCUGCGUUAUACGACAGUAUAUCAAAUACAAUCACGAUCCUAAAAAUUAGUACCGCACGGUCUAAACGAGGAAAUAUAGUUGCUAACCUUUUAGAAUAAGUAGAAAUAAAGAGGAAGAGGUUUAAGCGUGGCUCGGGCAUCUCAUAUCGUAGUUGUGUUCGGUGAAUUGAAGCGGCAUCGCUCUAACACACAUUUCAACAAACACCUCUAGUGCAUCAAAAAAAUGGAGAGCUAGCACACACCCACACUCUUCCAUCCAAGAAAAAUGCAAGGAAGAGGGGAGAGGGGGGCUGUGCUAUAUAUAGGCAGAGGACUUUAGUCCCGGUUUGAGAUACAAACCGGAACUAAAGAUGGCGCACAUGCGGGCUGCACACCGCGUAGCCCUUUAGUCCCGGUUUGAGACACAAACCGGGACUAAAGGCUCCUUACGGGCCGGGACCAAAGCCUCGUGGGCGUCAUUGCGAUUUGGGGCGACGUGGCCGGGCCUUUAGUUCCGGCCCAGAGGGAGGCCGGGACUAAAGGGUCCAGGCCAAAGGUCCGUUUUCCACUGGUGAUAACGCAGCUCCAUGGCUAGUAUGAAGCAAAGGCUCAUCGGCAAAAGGAAGUGCUUCAUUUUAGUGCAGGCUAUGUAUGGGAGCAAUUUUGAUCAUGAGCAUGUGGUAUACACGUAUUCGGGUAGACGGCCGGCAAGCUCGCGCUGGCGAGCUCGCGUGAGUAUCGUAUCCGAAUACACGUAAAAAGAAAGAAAAGAAAAAAAAAGAAAUGCAUGUCUAUAUGCAUAGUGAAUACACUUUGACUGGAUGGAUGCACAGUUUCACGUGCAUGGAUUGCACCAUGGUCAUGUAUCGCAUGGAAGGUAUACAUAUACGUAUUCGGGUAGACGGCCGGCAAGCUCGCCCAAGUAUCGUACUCGAACGUCCGUUCGUAUGCAUACACCAUAUUUAUAUGUAUUUGGAUAUAUAACUAUAUGCAUUUGAAUACCGGAAAACCGACGGAGCAACGCAUAAUCGGUAAGUAGUAAAAUUUGGAAGCAAAAGCAAUCAGCAUAUAUCAUGUUGGAAAGACAUGUGCCAUGUGAGUAAAAAGAUAUGUAUAAUAUCUAUUUUCUUUUUUAUGUAGACGUGUGUAUCAAGAAGGAGAUUAUGGAUGGAAAUUAAAGGAAGCCUACCGGACGAGGCAAUCCCCAGCAGCCUACAAGCACGCAUCCUAACAAUCCUCGGUUUAUACAACAUCGAGAUACAAACCCUCAAUCACAAUUAUUCAAGUUGAGAUUGCGACAAAAAGUCUCUAGCUACCGCACUGACAGCGGUUUAGUAAAUCCAUCAGCUACUUGAUCUCCAGUUGGAAUGGAACGAAUAUUGAAAAGCUUAUUGGCUACCCUUUCAUGAACAAAGUGAUAGUCAAUUUCAGUAUGCUUGGUCCUAGCAUGAAACACAGGAUUAGCAGAGACAUAAGUAGCACCAAGGUUGUCAUACCAUAACGAGGCUGCCUUUGGAUGAGGAACACCCAACUCAGUUAACAAAUUCUGGACCCAAAUAACUUCAGCACUAGCAUUUGCUAGUGCCUUGUACUCAGCUUUUGUGCUUGAUCGAGAUACAGUAGGUUGCUUACGGGCACUCCAAGAAAUCAAGUUACCACCAAGAAAGACUGCAAGGCCACCUGUGGACCAUCUGUCAUCUGGGCAACCCGUCCAAUCUGCAUCUGAAAAAGCACUAACUAACAUAGAGUCUGAUCUAGCAAGUUUGAGUCCGUAACCUUUUGUUGCUUGAAGAUACCGAAGAAUCCUUUUGACAGCUGUCCAAUGUGAACUAGUAGGAGCAUGGAGAAACUGACAAACCUUAUUGACUGAAAAGGAAAUAUCUGGUCUAGUAAGGGUCAAGUAUUGCAAUGCUCCUACAACACGGCGAUACCUUGUGGAAUCAAUGACACCAAGUAACUCUCCAUCAUGGAUUGAUAGUUUUCAGAGGUGGACAAGGGUGUAGGUGUGUUGGAAAUAUGCCCUAGAGGCAAUAAUAAUUAGUUAUUAUUAUAUUUCUUUCUUCAUGAUAAUCGUUUAUUAUCCAUGCUAUAAUUGUAUUGAUUGGAAACACAAUAGUUGUGUGGAUACAUAGACAAAACACUGUCCCUAGUAAGCCUCUAGUUGACUAGCUCGUUGAUCAAAGAUGGUCAAGGUUUCCUGGCCAUAGGCAAGUGUUGUUACUUGAUAACGGGAUCACAUCAUUAGGAGAAUCAUGUGAUGGACUAGACCCAAACUAAUAGACGUAGCAUGUUGAUCGUGUCAUUUUGUUGCUACUGUUUUCUGCGUGUCAAGUAUUUGUUCCUAUGACCAUGAGAUCAUAUAACUCACUGACACCGGAGGAAUGCUUUGUGUUUAUCAAACGUCGCAACGUAACUGGGUGACUAUAAAUAUGCUCUACAGGUAUCUCCGAAGGUGUUCGUUGAGUUAGUAUGGAUCAAGACUGGGAUUUGUCACUCCGUAUGACGGAGAGGUAUCUCGGGGCCCACUCGGUAAUACAACAUCACACACAAGCCUUGCAAGCAAUGUGACUUAGUGUAAGUUGCGGGAUCUUGUAUUACGGAACGAGUAAAGAGACUUGCCGGUAAACGAGAUUGAAAUAGGUAUGCGGAUACUGACGAUCAAAUCUCGGGCAAGUAACAUACCGAAGGACAAAGGGAAUGACAUACGGGAUUAUAUGAAUCCUUGGCACUGAGGUUCAAACGAUAAGAUCUUCGUAGAAUAUGUAGGAUCCAAUAUAGACAUCCAGGUCCCGCUAUUGGAUAUUGACCGAGGAGUCUCUCGGGUCAUGUCUACAUAGUUCUCGAACCCGCGGGGUCUGCACACUUAAGGUUCGACGUUGUUUUAUGCGUAUUUGAGUUAUAUGGUUGGUUACCGAAUGUUGUUCGGAGUCCCGAAUGAGAUCACGGACGUCACGAGGGUUUCCGGAAUGGUCCGGAAACGAAGAUUGAUAUAUAGGAUGACCUCAUUUGGUUACCGGAAGGUUUUCGUGCAUUACCGGAAAAGUUUCGGGCUCAUCGGUAGUGUACUGGGAGUGCCGGGAGGAGUGCCGAGGACUAUCAGGAGGGGUGUCACGCCCCAAGGGGUCUCAUGGGCUAUGGGAAGAGAUAAACCAGCCCCUAGUGGGCUGGAAUAAGUUCCCACUAAGGCCCAUAAGGUUUGAGAAGGAAAAAACACAAGGUGGAAAGAGUUUCCAAGUGGGAAGGUGGAAUCCUACUCCAAGUAGGAUUGGAGUAGGACUCCUCCACCUCCAGUUUCAGCCAAACCUUUAGUUUUUGAGGCUGCCUCCUCCCCUCCCUCCCUCCUAUAUAUAGUGGGGUUUUAGGGCUGAUUUGAGACAACUUUUGCCACGGCAGCCCGACCACAUACCUCCACGGUUUUACCUCUAGAUCGCAUUUCUGCGGAGCUCGGGCGGAGCCCUGCUGAGAUUAGAUCACCACCAACCUCCGGAGCGCUGUCACGCUGCCGGAGAACUCAUCUACCUCUCCGUCUCUCUUGCUGGAUCAAGAAGGCCGAGAUCAUCAUCGAGCUGUACGUGUGCUGAACGCGGAGGUGCCGUCCGUUCGGCACUAAAUCGGAGCGGAUCGUGGGACGGAUCGCGGGACGGUUCGUGGGACGGUUCGCGGGGCGGUUCGAGGGACGUGAGGACGUUCCACUACAUCAACCACAUUUCUUAACGCUUCUGCUGUGCGAUCCACAAGGGUACGUAGAUCGGAAAUCCCCUCUCAUAGAUGGACAUCACCAUGAUAGGUCUUUGUGCGCGUAGGAACAUUUUUGUUUCCCAUGCGACGUUCCCCAUCAGUGGCAUCAUGAGCUAGGUUCAUGCGUAGAUGUCUUCUCGAAUAGAACACAAAAGUUUUUGUGGGCGGUGAUGUGCGUUUUGCUGCCCUCCUUAGUCUUUUCUUGAUUCCGCGGUAUUGUUGGAUCGAAGCGGCUCGGACCGACAUUACUCGUACGCUUACGAGAGACUGGUUUCAUCGCUACGAGUAACUCCGUUGCUCAAAGAUGACCGGCGAGUGUCAGUUUCUCCAACUUUAGUUGAAUUGGAUUUGACCGAGGAGGUCCUUGGAUGAGUUUAAAUAGCAAUUCAUAUAUCUCCGUUGUGAUGUUUGCGUAAGUAAGAUGCGAUCCUACUAGAUACCCAUGGUCACCACGUAAAACAUGCAACAACAAUUAGAGGACGUCUAACUUGUUUUUGCAGGUAUGCUUGUGAUGUGAUAUGGCCAACGAUGUGAUGUGAUAUAUUGGAUGCAUGAGAUGAUCAUGUUGUAAUAGUUAAUAUUGACUUGCACGUCGAUGGUACGGCAACCGGCAGGAGCCAUAGGGUUGUCUUUAAACUAACGUUUGUGCUUGCAGAUGUAUUUACUAUAUUGCUAGGACGUAGCUUUAGUAGUAAUAGCAUGAGUAGCACGACAACCCCGAUGGCGACACGUUGAUGGAGAUCAUGAUGAUGGAGAUCAUGGUGUGACGCCGGUGACAAGAAGAUCGUGCCGGUGCUUUGGUGAUGGAGAUCAAGAAGCACAUGAUGAUGGCCAUAUCAUGUCACUUAUGAAUUGCAUGUGAUGUUAAUCCUUUAUGCACCAUAUCUUGCUUAGAACGACGGUAGCAUUAUGAGGUGAUCUCUCACUAAAAUUUCAAGACGAAAUUGUGUUCUCCCCGACUGUGCAACGUUGCGACAGUUCUUCGUUUUGAGACACCACGUGAUGAUCGGGUGUGAUAGACUCAACGUUCACAUACAACAGGUGCAAAACAGUUGCACACGCGGAACACUCGGGUUAAGCUUGACGAGCCUAGCAUGUGCAGACAUGGCCUCGGAACACAUGAGACCGAAAGGUCGAGCAUGAAUCGUAUAGUUGAUAUGAUUAGCAUAGAGAUGCUUACCACUGAAACUAUUCUCGACUCACGUGAUGAUCGGACUUGAGAUAGUGGAUUUGAAUCAUGUACCACUCAAAUGACUAGAGAGAUGUACUUUUUGAGUGGGAGUUCUUAAGUAAUAUGAUUAAUUGAACUAAUUGUCAUGAACAUAGUCUAAUGGUCUUUGUGAAUUACGAUGUAGCUUGCGCUAUAGCUCUACUGUUUUUAUAUGUUCCUAGAGAAAAUUUAGUUGAAAGUUGAUAGUAGCAAACUUUGCAGACUGAGUCUGUAAAACCGAGGAUUGUCCUCGUUGCUGCGCAGAAGGCUUAUGUCCUUAAUGCACCACUCGGUGUGCUGCACCUCGAGCGUCGUUUGUAGAUGUUGUGAACAUCCGACAUACACGUUUCUGAUGACUACACGAUAGUUUAGUGCAAAAUACCUAAUGGCUUAGAAGCAAGGCGCCUUUGAAACGUCACGGAACAUAAGAGAUGUUCUAAAGAGAUGGAAUUGUGAUUUCAUGCUUGUGCCCUUGUUAAGAGGUAUGAGACCUCCGACAAGAUUCUUUGUCCACGAAGUAAAGGAGAAAAUCUCAAUCGUUGAGCGUGUGCUCAGAUUAUCUGAGUACGACAAUCGCUUGAAUCAAGUGGGAGUUGAUCUUCCAGAUAAGAUAGUGAUGGUUCUCCAAAGUCACUGCCACCAAGCUGUGAGAGCUUCGUGAUGAACUAUAACAUAUCAAGGAUAGAUACAAUGAUCCUUGAGCGAUUCGCGAUGUUUGACACUGCAAAAGUAGAAAUCAAGAAGGAGCAUCAAUAGUUGAUGGUUAGUAAACCCACUAAGUUUCGAUAAAGGCAAGGGCUAGAAGGGAUACUUCGUGAAACGGCAAAGCAGUUGCUGCACUAAUGAAGAGACCCCAGAUUAAACCCAAGCCCAGGACUAAGUGCUUCUGUUAUGAGGGGAACGGUCACUGAAGCGGAGCAACUCUAGAUACUUGGUAGAUAAGAAGGCUGGCAAAAGUCGAAAGAAGUAUAUUUGAUAUACAUGAUGUUGAUGUGUACUUUACUAGUACUCCAAGUAGCACGAGGGUAUUGGAUACCGGUUCGGUUGCUAAGUGAUUAGUAACACGAAAUGAAAGCUACGGCAUAAACGGAGACUAGCUAAAGGCGAGGUGACGAUACGUGUUGGAAGUGUUUCCAAGGUUGAUAUGAUCAAACGUCGCACACUCCCCCUACCAUCGGGAUUGGUGUUAAACCUAAAUAAUUGUUAUUUGGUGCUUGCGUUAAGCAUGAACAUGAUUGGAUCGUGUUUAUUGCAAUACGAUUAUUCAUUUAAAGAGAAUAAUGGUUACUCUAUUUGCUUGAAUAAUCACCUUCAAUGGUUUAUUGAAUCUCGAUCGUAGUGUUACACAUGUUCAUGAUAUUGGUGCCAAAAGAUACGAGGUAAUGAUGAUAGUACCACUUACUUGUGGCACUACCGCUUGAGUCAUGUUGGUAUAAAUUGCAUGAAGAGGCUCCAUGCUGAUGGAUCUUUAUACUCACUUGAUUUUGAAUCACUAGUGACAUGCAAAUCAUACCACAUGAGCAAGGCCGUAUUUUCAUUGAGAUGAAACAAGAUAGUAACUUGUUGGAAGUGAUACAUUUUGAUGUAUGCAGUCCAAUAAGUGCUAAGGCACGCAGUGGAUAUCAUUAUGUUCUUACUUCAUAGAUGAUUUGAGUAGAUACAUGAGUAUUUACUUGAUGAAUCACAAGUCUAAAAUGUUGAAAAGUUCAAAGCUAUUUUAGAGUGAAGAUCGUCGUGACAACAUGAUAAACAGUCUACAAUAUGAUCAUAGAGAUGAAUAUCUGAGUUACGAGUUUUGGUACGCAGUUAAGACAAUGUGGAAAUUGUUUCGCAGUUCAUGCCACCUCGAACAUCAUAGUGUGAUGAUGUGUCUGAACGUCAUAGCCACGCACUAUUUGGUAUGGUGCAUGCUAUGAUGUCUCUUAUCGAAUUACCACUAUCGUUUAUGGGUUAUGCAUUAGAGACAUCCGCGUUCACUUUAAAUAGGGCACCGCGUAUUUCCGUUGAGAUGACACAGUAUAGACUGAGGUGUAGAGAAAUCUAAACUGUCGUUUCUUGAAAGUUUGGGGCUUCGACACUUGUGUGAAAAAGUUUCAGUCGAAUAAACUCAAACCCAAAGCGGAUAAAUGCAUCUUCAUAGGAUAUCCAAAACAGUUGGGUACAUCUCCUAUCUCAGAUUCGAAAGCAAAGUGUUUGUUUCUAGAAACGGAUCCUUUCUCGAGGAAAGGUUUCUCUCGAAAGAAUUGAGUGGGAGGGUGGUAGAACUUGAUGAGGUUAUUGAACCAUCACUUCAACCAGUGUGUGGCAGGGCGCAGGAAAUUGUUCAUGUGGCGCCUACACCAAUUGAAGUAUAAGCUCAUGAUGGUGAUCAUCGAGCAUCGGACCAAGUUACUACAAGCCUCGUAGGUUGACAAGGUCGCGUACUACUGCAGAGUGGUACGGUAACCCAGUCUUGGAGGUCAUGUUGUUGAGCAACAGUGAACCUACGAGUUAUGGAGAAAGCAAUGGUGGGCCCGGAUUCUGACAAAUGGCUGGAAGCCAUGAAAUCCGAGAGAGGAUCCAUGUAUGAAAACAAAGUGUAGACUUUGGAAGAACUACUUGAUGGUCAUAGGACUAUUGAGUAAAGAUGGAUCUUUAAAAGGAAGACAGACGAUGGUGAUAAGUCACUAUUAAGAAAAGCUUGACUUAUCGCAAAGAUGUUUCCGACAAGAUCAAACGGUUGACUAUGAUGGGACUUUCUCACUCGUAGCGAUGCCGAAAGUCUGUUAGAAUUAUGUUAGUAGUUGCUGCAUUAUUUAUGAAAUAUUGCACACAUGAUGUCAAAACAUUGUUUCCUCGACGGUUUCCUUGAGCAAACAUUGUGUGUGAUACAACCAGGAGGUUUUGUCGAUCCUAAAGAUACUAGCAAGUAUGCAAGCUCCAGCGAUCCUUCAAUGGACUGGUGCAAGCAUCUCGGAGUUGGAAUAUACACUUUGAUGAGAUGAUCAAAGAUUUUGGGUUUGUACAAGGUUUAUGAGAAACUUGUAUUUCCAAAGAAGUGAGUGGGAGCACUAUAGAAUUUCUGAUAAGUAUAUGUGGUUGACAUAUUGUUGAUCAGAAGUAAUGUAGAAUUUCUGUGAAGCAUAAAAGGUUGUUUGAAAGGAGUUUUUCAAAGGAAUACCUGGAUUGAGCUACUUGAACGUUGAGCAUCAAGAUCUAUGGAGAUAGAUCAAAACGUUUAAUAGAAGUUUCAACAAGACGCAUGCCUUGCCAAGUUUUUGAAGGAAUUUGAAAUAGAUGAGCAAAGAAGGAGUUCUUGACUGUGUUGUAAGGUGUGAAUUUGAGUAAGACUCAAAACCCGACCACGGCAGAAUAAAGAGAAUAGACGAAGGUCAUGUUCUAUGCCUUAGCCGUAGACUCUAAACUAUGCCAUGCUGAGUACCGCACCUGAUGUGUGCCUUGCAGGAAGUCUGUUAAGAGGUACACAGAGUGAUCCAGGAUUGAAUCACUGAUCAGCGGUCAAAGUUAUCCUUAGUAACUAAAUAGACUAAGGAAUUUUUUCUCGAUUAUGGAGGUGGUUAAAGAGUUCGUCGUAAAGGGUUACGUCGAUGCAAGCUUUGACACUAAUCCGAAUAACUAUGAGUAGUGAAACGGAUUCAUAUAGUAGAGUAGAUAUUUGGAGCAUUUCCGAAUAGCACGUAGUAGCAGCAUCUAUAAGAUGACAUAAAGAUUUGUAAAGAAUGCACGGAUCUGAAAAUUUCAAAACCGUUGACUAAAACCUCUCUCACGAGCAAGACGUGAUCAGACCCCAGAACUAUAUGGGUGUUGGAUUCGUUGAAAUCACAUGGUGAUGUGAACUAGAUUAUUGACUCUAGUGCAAGUGGGAGACUAUUGGAAAUAUGCCCUAGAGGCAAUAAUAAUUAGUUAUUAUUAUAUUUCUUUCUUCAUGAUAAUCGUUUAUUAUCCAUGCUAUAAUUGUAUUGAUUGGAAACACAAUAGUUGUGUGGAUACAUAGACAAAACAGUGUCCCUAGUAAGCCUCUAGUUGACUAGCUCGUUGAUCAAAGAUGGUCAAGGUUUCCUGGCCAUAGGCAAGUGUUGUUACUUGAUAACGGGAUCACAUCAUUAGGAGAAUCAUGUGAUGGACUAGACCCAAACUAAUAGACGUAGCAUGUUGAUCGUGUCAUUUUGUUGCUACUGUUUUCUGCGUGUCAAGUAUUUGUUCCUAUGACCAUGAGAUCAUAUAACUCACUGACACCGGAGGAAUGCUUUGUGUGUAUCAAACGUCGCAACGUAACUGGGUGACUAUAAAGAUGCUCUACAGGUAUCUCCGAAGGUGUUCGUUGAGUUGUUUGGAUCAAGACUGGGAUUUGUCACUCCGUAUGACGGAGAGGUAUCUCGGGGCCCACUCGGUAAUACAACAUCACACACAAGCCUUGCAAGCAAUGUGACUUAGUGUAAGUUGCGGGAUCUUGUAUUACGGAACGAGUAAAGAGACUUGCUGGUAAACGAGAUUGAAAUAGGUAUGUGGAUACUGACGAUCGAAUCUCGGGCAAGUAACAUACCGAAGGACAAAGGGAAUGACAUACGGGAUUAUAUGAAUCCUUGGCACUGAGGUUCAAACGAUAAGACCUUCGUAGAAUAUGUAGGAUCCAAUAUGGGCAUCCAGGUCCCACUAUUGGAUAUUGACCGAGGAGUCUCUCGGGUCAUGUCUACAAAGUUCUCGAACCCGCAGGGUCUGCACACUUAAGGUUCGACGUUGUUUUAUGCGUAUUUGAGUUAUAUGGUUGGUUACCGAAGACCUAUCAUGGUGAUGUCCAUCUACGAGAGGGGGUAUUCGAUCUACGUACAUUUGUAGACCGCACAGCGGAAGCGUUAGUGAAUGCGGUUGAUGUAGUGGAACGUCCGCACGUCCCUCGAUCUGCCCCGCGAACCGUCCCGCGAUCAGUCCCACGAUCUAGUGCCGAACGGACGACACCUCCGCGUUCAGCACACGUACAGCUCGACGAUGAUCUCGGCCUUCUUGAUCCAGCAAGAGAGACAACAAGGUAGAUGAGUUCUCCGGCAGCGUGACGGCGCUCCGGAGGUUGGUGGUGAUCUAAUCUCAGCAGGGCUCCGCCCGAGCUCCGCAGAAACGCGAUCUAGAGGUAAAACCGUGGAGAUAUGUGGUCGGGCUGCCGUGGCAAAGUUGUCUCAAAUCAGCCCUAAAACCUCCGUAUAUAUAGGGGGAAGAGGGGGAGCCUUGCCUUGGGGUCCAAGGACCCCCAAGGGGUUCGGCCGAGCCAAGGGGGGCAACCCUCCCCUUCCAAACCGAGUCCAACUAGGUUUGGAAGGAGGAGUCCUUCCCCCUUUUCCCACCUCCUCUUUUUUUUCUCUUUGAUUUUCUUCCUAUGGCGCAUAGGGCCUUCUUGGGCUGUCCCACCAGCCCACUAAGGGCUGGUGCGCCACCCCCAAGGCCUAUGGGCUUCCCCAGGGUGGGUUCCCCCCCCCCCCCCCGGAGAACACCCGGAACCCAUUCAUCAUUCCCGGUACAUUCCCGGUAACUCAGAAAACCUUCCGGUAAUCAAAUGAGGUCAUCCUAUAUAUCAAUCUUCGUUUCCGGACCAUUCCGGAAACCCUCGUGACGUCCGUGAUCUCAUCCGGGACUCCAAAUAACAUUCGGUAACCAACCAUAUAACUCAAAUACGCAUAAAACAACGUCGAACCUUAAGUGUGCAGACCCUGCGGGUUCGAGAACUAUGUAGACAUGACCCGAGAGACUCCUCGGUCAAUAUCCAAUAGCGGGACCUGGAUGCCCAUAUUGGAUCCUACAUAUUCUACAAAGAUCUUAUCGUUUGAACCUCAGAGCCAAGGAUUCAUAUAAUCCCGUAUGUCAUUCCCUUUGUCCUUCGGUAUGUUACUUGCCCGAGAUUCGAUCGUCAGUAUCCGCAUACCUAUUUCAAUCUCGUUUACCGGCAAGUCUCUUUACUCGUUCCGUAAUACAAGAUCUCGCAACUUACACUAAGUCACAUUGCUUGCAAGGCUUGUGUGUGAUGUUGUAUUACCGAGUGGGCCCCGAGAUACCUCUCCGUCACACGGAGUGACAAAUCCCAGUCUCGAUCCAUACUAACUCAACGAACAUCAUCGGAGAUACCUGUAGAGCAUCUUUAUAGUCACCCAGUUACGUUGCGACGUUUGAUACACACAAAGCAUUCCUCCGGUGUCAGUGAGUUAUAUGAUCUCAUGGUCAUAGGAACAAAUAUUUGACACGCAGAAAACAGUAGCAACAAAAUGACACGAUCAAUAUGCUACGUCUAUUAGUUUGGGUCUAGUCCAUCACGUGAUUCUCCUAAUGACGUGAUCCAGUUAUCAAGCAACAACACCUUGUUCAUAAUCAGAAGACCCUGACUAUCUUUGAUUAACUGGCUAGCCAACUAGAGGCUUGCUAGGGACAGUGUUUUGUCUAUGUAUCCACACAUGUAUAUAAGUCUUCAUUCAAUACAAUUAUAGCAUGGAUAAUAAACGAUUAUCUUGAUACAGGAAUUAUAAUAAUAACUAUAUUUAUUAUUGCCUCUAGGGCAUAAUUCCAACAGUCUCCCACUUGCACUAGAGUCAAUAAUCUAGCCCUCACAUCAUCAUGUGAGUUACAUUGUAAUAAAUCUAACACCCAUACAGUUCUGGUGUUGAUCAUGCUUUGCCCGUGGAAGAGGUUUAGUCAGCGGGUCUGCUACAUUCGGAUCCGUGUGCACUUUGCAUAUAUUUACGUCCUCCCCUUCGACGUAGUCGCGGAUGAGGUUGAAGCGUCGUUUGAUGUGUCUGGACUUCUUGUGAAACCGUGGUUCCUUUGCUAGGGCAAUGGCACCCGUGUUGUCACAGAACAAGGUUAUUGGAUUCAGUGCGCUUGGCACUACUCCAAGAUCCGUCAUGAACUGCUUCAUCCAGACACCCUCCUUAGCCGCCUCCGAGGCAGCCAUGUACUCCGCUUCACAUGUAGAAUCUGCUACGACGCUUUGCUUGGAACUGCACCAGCUUACUGCACCCCCAUUAAGAAUAAAUACGUAUCCGGUCUGCGACUUAGAGUCGUCCGGAUCUGUGUCAAAGCUUGCAUCGACGUAACCCUUUACGGCGAGCUCUUCGUCACCUCCAUACAUGAGAAACAUCUCCUUAGUCCUUUUCAGGUACUUCAGGAUAUUCUUGACCGCCGUCCAGUGAUCCACUCCUGGAUUACUCUGGAACCUGCCUGCCAUACUUAUGGCCAAGCUAAUGUCCGGUCUAGUGCACAACAUUGCAUACAUGAUAGAACCUAUGGCUGAAGCAUAGGGGACGGUGCUCAUAUGCUCUCUAUCCUCAUCAGUUGCUGGGCACUGAGUCUUACUCAAUCUUGUACCUUGUAAAACUGGCAAGAACCCUUUCUUGGACUGUUCCAUUUUGAACCUCUUCAAAACUUUAUCAAGGUAUGUGCUUUGUGAAAGUCCUAUCAGGUGUUUUGAUCUAUCCCUGUAGAUCUUAAUGCCUAGAAUGUAAGCAGCUUCUCCUAGGUCCUUCAUAGAGAAACUUUUAUUCAAGUAAUCCUUUAUGCUCUCCAAAAACUCUACGUUGUUUCCAAUUAGCAAUAUGUCAUCCACAUAUAAUAUUAGAAACGCCACAGAGCUCCCACUCACUUUCUUGUAAAUACAAGAUUCUCCAACCACUUGUAUAAACCCAAAUGCUUUGAUCACCUCAUCAAAGCGUUUGUUCCAACUCCGAGAUGCUUGCACCAGCCCAUAAAUGGAUCGCUGGAGCUUGCACACCUUGUUAGCAUUCUUAGGAUCGACAAAACCUUCGGGUUGCAUCAUAUACAACUCUUCCUUAAGGAAACCGUUAAGGAACGCCGUUUUGACAUCCAUCUGCCAGAUUUCAUAAUCGAAUAAUGCAGCUAUUGCUAACAUGAUUCUGACGGACUUAAGCAUCGCUACGGGUGAGAAUGUCUCAUCGUAGUCAACUCCUUGAACUUGUGAAAAACCCUUUGCCACAAGUCGAGCUUUAUAAACGGUCACAUUGCCGUCAGCGUUCGUCUUCUUCUUAAAGAUCCAUUUGUUCUGAAUAGCCUUGCGGCCCUCAGGUAGUACUUCCAAAGCCCAUACUUUGUUCUCAUACAUGGAUCUUAUCUCGGACUUCAUGGCCUCUAGCCAUUUGUUGGAAUCUGGGCCCACCAUUGCUUCUUCAUAAUUUGCAGGUUCAUUGUUGUCUAACAACAUGAUUGACAUGACGGGAUUACCGUACCACUCUGGAGCAGCACGUGGUCUCGUCGACCUGCGUGGUUCGACAGGAACUUGAACCGGAGUUUCAUGAUCAUCAUCAUUAACUUCCUCCUCAACCGGCGUCGCAAUGACAGAGGUUUCCCCUUGCCCUGCGCCACCAUCUAGAGGGAUGAGAGGUUCGACAACCUCAUCAAGUUCUAUCUUCCUCCCACUCAAUUCUCUCGAGAGAAACUCCUUCUCGAGAAAAACUCCGUUUUUAGCAACAAACACUUUGCCCACGCAUUUGAGAUAGAAGGUGUACCCAACUGUCUCUUUUGGGUAACCUAUGAAGAUGCACUUUUCCGCUUUGGGUUCCAGCUUUUCAGGCUGAAGCUUUUUGACAUAAGCAUCACAUCCCCAAACUUUAAGAAACGACAACUUUGGCCUUUUGCCAUACCACAGUUCGUAUGGUGUCGUCUCAACGGAUUUUGAUGGUGCCCUAUUUAAAGUGAAUGCAGUUGUUUCUAAUGCAUAACCCCAAAACAAUAACGGCAAAUCGGUAAGAGACAUCAUAGAUCGCACCAUCUCUAAUAAAGUACGAUUACGACGUUCGGACACACCAUUACGUUGUGGUGUUCCAGGCGGUGUCAACUGUGAAACAAUUCCACAUUGUCUUAAGUGAGCACCAAACUCGAAACUCAGAUAUUCACCCCCACGAUCAGACCGUAGGAACUUGAUCUUCUUGUUAUGAUGAUUUUCAACUUCACUCUGAAAUUGCUUGAACUUUUCAAAUGUUUCAGACUUGUGCUUCAUUAAGUAGACAUAACCAUAUCUACUCAAAUCGUCAGUGAAGGUGAGAAAAUAACGAUAUCCGCCGCGUGCCUCUACGCUCAUCGGACCACACACAUCGGUAUGUAUGAUUUCCAACAAGUCACUUGCACGCUCCAUUGUUUCGGAGAACGGAGUUUUAGUCAUCUUGCCCAUGAGGCAUGGUUCGCACGUGUCAAGUGAAUCAAAGGCAAGUGACUCCAAAAGUCCAUCGGCAUGGAAUUUCUUCAUGCGCUUUACACCAAUAUGACCUUAACGGCAGUGCCACAAAAAUAUGGCGCUAUCAUUGUUAACUCUAAUUCUUUUGGUCUCAAUGUUAUGUAUGUGUGUAUCACUAUCAAGAUUUAAUAUGAACAAUCCUCUCACAUUGGGUGCAUGACCAUAAAAGAUGUUACUCGUAGAAAUAGAACAACCAUUAUUCUCUGACUUAAAAGAGUAACCGUCUCACAAUAAACAAGAUCCAGAUAUAAUGUUCAUGCUCAACGCAGGCACUAAAUAACAAUGAUUCAAGUUGAUAACUAAUCCUGAUGGUAACUGAAGUGAAACUGUGCCGACGGCGAUUGCAUCAACCUUGGAACCAUUUCCUACGCACAUCGUCACUUCAUCUUUCGCCAGCCUUCGUCUAUUCCUCAGUUCCUGUUUCGAGUUGCAAAUAUGAGCAACAGAACCGGUAUCGAAUACCCAGGCACUACUAUGAGAGCCGGUUAGGUACACAUCAAUAACAUGUAUAUCAAAUAUACCUGAUUUUUCUUUGGCCGCCUUCUUAUCAGCCAGAUACUUGGGGCAGUUGCGCUUCCAGUGACCCAUACCCUUGCAAUAGUAACACUCUGUUUCAGGCUUAGGUCCAGCUUUGGGUUUCUUCGUCGGAUUGGCAACAGGCUUGCCGCUCUUCUUUGAAUUACCCUUCUUGCCUUUGCCGUUUCUCUUGAAACUAGUGGUCUUAUUCACCAUCAACACUUGAUGCUCUUUACGGAGUUCAGACUCUGCGACUUUCAGCAUCGCAAACAACUCGCCGGUUGACUUGUUCAUCCCUUGCAUGUUGUAGUUCAACACAAAGCCUUUAUAGCUUGGCGGCAGUGAUUGAAGGAUUUUGUCAGUAUAGCCUCUUGCGGGAGUUCAAUCCCCAGCUCAGCUAGACGGUUUGAGUACCCAGACAUUUUGAGCACAUGUUCACUGACAGACGAGUUCUCCUCCAUCUUGCAAGCAUAGAAUUUAUCGAAGGUCUCAUACCUCUCGAUCCGGGCGUUCUUCUGAAAGAUGAACUUCAACUCCUGGAACAUCUCAAAUGCUCCAUGACGCUCAAAGCGACGUUGAAGUCCCGGUUCUAAGCCAUACAAGACUGCACAUUGAACUAUUGAGUAGUCCUCCUUACGUGUUAACCAAGCGUUCUUAACAUCCUGGUCAGCCGUAGCGGGUGGUUCAUCUCCUAGCGCAGCAUUAAGGACAUAAUCCUUCUUCCCAGCUUGUAAGAUUAGCUUAAGAUUACGAGCCCAGUCUACAAAGUUGCUUCCAUCAUCUUUCAACUUAGCUUUCUCUAGGAACGUAUUAAAAUUCAGGGUGUCUGUCGCGUGAGCCAUGAUCUACAACACAAAUAUAUUCAAAGUGGACUUAGACUAUGUUCAAGAUAAUUAGAGUUUAACUUAAUCAAAUUACUCGCUAAACUCCCACUCAAAAAGUACAUCUCUCUUAGUCAUUUGAGUGGUUCAUGAUCCACUUACACUAGCUCAAGUCCGAUCAUCACGUGAGUUGAGUAUAGUUUCAGUGGUAAGCAUCCCUAUGCUAAUCAUAUCAUCUAUAUGAUUCAUGAUCGACCUUUCGGUCUCAUGUGUUCCGAGGCCAUGUCUGCACAUGCUAGACUCGUCAAGCUUAACCCGAGUGUUCCGCGUGUGCAACUGUUUUGCACCUGUUGUAUGUGAACGUUGAGUCUAUCACACCCGAUCAUCACGUGGUCUCUCAAAACGAAGAACUGUCGCAACGGUGCACAGUCGGGGAGAACACAAUUUCGUCUUGAAAUUUUAGUGAGAGAUCACCCUAUAAUGCUACCGUUGUUCUAAGCAAGAUAUGGUGCAUAAAGGAUUAACAUCACAUGCAAUUCAUAAGUGACAUGAUAUGGCCAUCAUCACGUGCUCCUUGAUCUCCAUCAGCAAAGCACCGACACGAUCUUCUUGUCACCGGCGCCACACCAUGAUCUCCAUCAACGUGUCGCCAUCGGGGUUGUCGUGCUACUCAUGCUAUUACUACUAAAGCUACAUCCUAGCAAAAUAGUAAACGCAUCUGCAAGCACAAACGUUAGUUUAAAGACAACCCUAUGGCUCCUGCCGGUUGCCGUACCAUCGACGUGCAAGUCGAUAUUAUCUAUUACAACAUGAUCAUCUCAUACAUCCAAUAUAUCACAUCACAUCGUUGGCCAUAUCACAUCACAAGUAUACCCUGCAAAAACAAGUUAGACCUCCUCUAAUUUUGUUGUUGCAUGUUUUACGUGGUGACCAUGGGUAUCUAGUAGGAUCGCAUCUUACUUACGCAAACACCACAACGGAGAUAUAUGAAUUGCUAUUUAACCUUAUACAAGGACCUCCUCGGUCAAAUCCGAUUCAACUAAAGUUGGAGAAACUGACACUUGCCACUCAUGUUUGAGCAACGGGGUUACUCGUAGCGAUGAAACCAGUCUCUCGUAAGCGUACGAGUAAUGUUGGUCCAAGCCGCUUCAAUCCAACAAUACCGCGGAAUCAAGAAAAGACAAAGGAGGGUAGCAAAACGCACAUCACCGUCCAUAAAAACUUUUAUGUUCUACUCGAGAAGACAUCUACGCAUGAACCUAACUCAUGAUGCCACUCUUGGGAAACGUCGCAUGGGAAACAAAAAUUUUCCUAUGCAGAAAUAGACCGGCACGCAGGGCUAGGCAUGCAGCAGGUCUACACGUGAUGUUUGACGAGACAACACAUGGUGUGUGCAUGCGACCACCAGCAUCACUGAGACAUUCCCAUGCGCCACACGUUCUUCAUAGGUGUCUCAUUAAUUUCAGCUUUGUUGGCUUGGCUCCCCACGAAUCGUCUGUGAGCGGGCGCUGGAGCAUCGUUUCCUUCUUCUUUGUAAAGCAGUGAAAGUGACAGAAUGAUGGAAACAUUGUUUUCAUUGAUGAAGAUGUGGGUAUUUAUACCCGUGUUACAGAGGUGGUUUACAAGGAACGGUUGCCAAAACAAGGCAACCGGCAACGCAGGGAUUAUCCCAUUAAUUAAUACAUUUAAUUAAUUCCUAACACUCCCCCUAAUCCAUGAUUGUCUUUGUAAAUGUGCAUCAUCUUGAUAAAUAAUAAUCCUUGUAAAUUUUUCUCUUUAAGAAUGUUCCUCAUCUUCAUCUUGAAAAAUCGUUGUAUAAUCUUUAAAGUCUCCUCCAAAAACCCUGUGGGAAAAAUAUGAGGAGAAUAGUGUAGAUAUGUUGCUAAAACUCCUUUAAACCCAGUGGGAAAAUAAUAAAGAGAAAAUUGUGCAACAUAUAAUGAUUAUUGCCUCAUGGUAACUCAUUUGAGAAAACCUUUAUAGAGGGAUAAAACUCAUUUUUGAGUUUAGAGUACUUCCUUUAAAAACCCCGAUAGGGAAAAUAGAAAGUAUGAUAUAUGAUCAUUGAUAAGAUAUUGCUUCAUUAAAAACAUUAUGAGAGAAAAUGUCAAAGAAACUCAUAAUGAAAAGAGUGCAAUGAGAUGUGCCAUGAAAAACUCCUUUAAAACCUAGUAGGAAAAAUAUAAGGAGAAAUAUGAUAUGGCAUGCAUCAAUACUUGUAUUUAAUUGUCUCGUUAAAAACCUUAUAUGAGAAACCUGUUGGAAAAACUCAUAAAGUAAAAGAGUACAAUAUUCAUUACCUGAUGAUAAUUAAAGGGUUAUAUUUUCAGGAGAUUUCUCCCCUUGAACUUUGCAAAUCUCUUAAUCGUCUCAUACCAAUUCCAUGAAUGUAUUUCUGGAACGUUGAAUUUGGUAAAGACUUUGUGAACAAAUCUGCUAGAUUGUCACAUGAUUUAGUUUGUAAAAUAUCAAUUUCUCCAUCCUUCUGUAAUGCAUGAGGAUAGAAUAACUUAGGAGAAAUGUGUUUUGUGAUAUUACUUUUCACAUAACCCAUUUGCAUUUGAGCAAUGCAGGCUGCAUUAUCUUCAUAUAUAAUAGUUGGUGAUCCUAAUGAACCAACACCACAUGAAGUUUGAAUAUGGUUAAUCAUCCUGCGAAGCCAUACACAUUCUUUAGAUGCUUCAAAUAAUGCAAUAAUUUCAGAAUGAUUAGUGGAAGUUGCUACGAGAGUCUGUUUUGUUGACUUCCAUGAAAAAGCAGUUCCACCGUAUAAGAAUACGAAACCUGUUUGUGACCUGGCAUUGUGAGGAUCAGAUAGAUAGCCAGCAUCAGUAUAUCCUACCAUAGUCAUAUCUUGGGUUUUCUGAUAGAAUAAGCCAAGAUCUUUUGUGCCAUGUAAAUAUCUAAGGAUAUUCUUUACUCCCGUCGAAUGACGUUUUGUUGGAGCAGCGCUAUGUCUAGCUAGUAAAUUUACUGCAAAUGCAAUAUCAGGCCUGGUGCAAUUUGCAAGGUACAUUAGCGCACCAAUGGCACUGAGAUACGGGAACUCAGGUCCUAAUAUCUCUUCGUCAUCAUCCCGAGGUCUAAAAGGAUCUUUAUUCAUAUCAAGGGAUCUGACAACCAUGGGUGUUUUGGUUGGAUAUGAUUUAUCCAUAUUAAAUUUUUCCAAAACCUUUUGAAUAUAUGCAGGUUGGUAUACUAAAAUUCUGAGGGAAGAUGCUCUAGCUGUAAGCCUAAGCAGAAUUUGGUCUUUCCCAAAUCUUUCAUCUCAAAUUCCGUCAUUAGAUGAUUGCGUGCUUCUUCGAUAUCAGGUGUACUUCCAAUGAUAUUGAGGUCAUCAACGUACACUGAGAUGAUGCAAAAUCCAUUUGAGGAUUUCUUUAUAAAUACACAAGGGCAAUCAUCAUUAUUUGAGUAGCCUUUUUGAAUAAGGAACUCACUCAGUCGGUUAUACCAGAUUCUACCCGACUGUUUUAAGUCAUAUAGUGACUUUUGUAAUUUUACACAAUAUGCGUUGCGAUUUGCUUUUGGAUUCGGCAUUUUAAGUCCUUCAGGGACUUUCAUAUAUAUAUCCGAUUUGAGUGACCCAUAUAAGUAUGUUGUCACUACAUCCAUCAACUGCAUAGAUAAAUUCAUUUGUACUGCCAAAGAUAUUAAGUAUCGAAACGUUAUUCCACUCAUUACAGGAGAGUAUGUAUCAUCGUAAUCGAUGACGGGUCACUGCGUGAACCCUUGUGCUACAAGCCUCGCUUUGUAUCUCACCACCUCAUUGUUUUCAUUCCUUUUUCGAACAAAAACCCAUUUUGCUCCAACAGGGAAGACAUUAUGAGGAGUAGGUAUUACCGAGGAAAAUACCUCUCUUUUGUUCAGCGAGCGCUGUUCUGCCUCAAUUGCUUCCUUCCAUUUAGGCCAAUCAGGACGCUUGAGGCACUCCCUGACGGUCUUUGGUUCUGGAUCCAGUUGAAUGGUUUCAGCAAUUUCAGAGGCGAAAUAUAUGUCGACAAUUGUAGUCUCUCUAUUAUAUGAUUCUCCAGAUUCUGUAUAGUUUAUGGAAAUUUCUUUUAUACCUUCAGACUCUAUGUGAUUUCCCAUAACAAUAGAAUCAUGGUGUUCCGAUGUACCAGCUAUUAUGUUUUUAUGCGCAUUUAUGCUAGGUUCAAGAUGUUGAGCAUCUGGUUGGUGUCCUUCAACUUGAGGUUGAAUUGCAUUUACUGGUAGAGGAUUUGAUUUCCUCUGUUUCCGCGGAGGCUUUUGAGAAGCUAUAUUCCGACUAACCAGAUUUCUCCCCCUCUUACUCUCAUUUGGGGUUUGAGUGGUUUUAGUUGGUACCUCCACUCGUUCUGGUGCAUUAACAGCGGGAAUAUGUGAGUUAGUGACACCUUUAUGGUCAGUAAAUGCAUCUGGCAGAUUAUUUGCAAUGUGUUGCAAAUCUAUGAUCCUCUGAACUUCAGUUUCAGAUUCUUUAGUACGUGGAUCUAAGGACUGAAUGCCUGUUACAUUCUAAUCUAUUUCCUGGCAUUCUUUGUGGUUUGAUUCUCCUCCUAAUGCCGGGAAAUGGUCCUCAUCAAAAAUAGAAUCAGCGUAACGGGCAGUAAACAGGUCCCCUGUAAGAGGUUCAAGAUAUUUAAUAAUUGACGGAGAAUUAUAACCCACAUAGAUCCCUAGUUUUCUGUGGGGGCCCAUGGAUGUACGUUGCGGUGGUGAUAUCGGUACGUAUACUGCGCAACCGAAUUUUCGCAGAUGGGAAAUACUUGGCUGAGUGCCACGUACUAGUUGUAGCGGGGAGGUUGUAUGAUAUGCAGUUGGUCUGAUUUGUAUCAGAUCUGCGGCGUGUAAUACCGCAUGUGCCCAACAAGAUGCUGGUAAAUUACAAUUCUGUAAUAGUGGUCGAGCAACUAAUUUUACUCUUUUGAUGAGAGAUUCAGCCAAACCAUUUUGAGUAUGGACGUAAGGCACAGAGUGUUCUAAAUGAAUGCCCAUAGCCAUGCAGUAGUCAUUGAAUGCACGUGAAGAGAAUUCAGCGGCAUUAUCCAUUUGAAUUGUUUUUAUCCUAUUUUCAGGAUGAUUUGCUCUUAAUUUGAUAAUUUGAGCAAUUAUCUUGGCAAAAGCAUGAUUUCGUGUGGACAAUAGACAUACAUGUGACCAUCUAGUAGAUGCAUCUAUGAGCACCAUGAAAUAUCUAAAAGGUCCUGAUAGUCGUUGAAUUGGACCACAUAUAUCUCCUUGAAUGCGUUCAAGAAAGUUAAGUGACUCACUUUUUACCUUAAGAUAAGAUGGUCUUAUAAUUAAUUUCCAGUUGCACAUGCGGUGCACACAAAAUCUGAUGAUUUUGGGAAAUUUUUAGUUGAAAGGCUGUGACCAAUAGAAUUGUCAAUAAUUUUUCUCAUCAUCCCUACGCCAGGAUGACCUAGGCGAUCAUGCCAAGUCUUGAAUUUAUCAAGGUCUUGAAAAAUUAUUUUGUACGCAACAUGUGAUACGGGUUUUAUAUAACUGUAAUAUAAUCCAGAUGAAAGUGAUGGAAAUUUCUCAAGAAUUUGUUUCUCAGACCCAUUACUCUUUGUUAAAAGCAAAUGUUCAGAAUUAUUUUCAGAUAUUGUUUCCAAAUGGAAGUUAUUUGAUCUGAGGUCUUUAAAACUUAGAAGAAUACGUGUAGAUUCAGGAUACAAUAGUGCAUCCUCAGUUACAAUUGUACUACCCAUAGGUAGAACGAGUGUGGCUCGUCCUGAACCAAUAAUCGACGCAUCGCAACCGGCAAUGGUCAUAAUAUUCCCUUUUCUCUUAGUUAGAGUUUGGAAAUAUUUUAUUUUCCUUAAUAUUGUGUUAGUGGUACAACUGUCCACCAAACAUAUUUCUUCUUCCAUUGGAUUAUUUCCCCGUAAAAUCUUUCUCUUGACUCUCUGUCGCUCUCGGCAGAGCGAGCGCUGAUAACGUGUAAAGCAGUGAAAGUGACAGAAUGAUGGAAACAGUGUUUUCAUUGAUGAAGAUGUGGGUAUUUAUACCCCUGUUACAGAGGCGGUAUACAAGGAACGGUUGCCAAAACAAGGCAACCGGCAACGCAGGGAUUAUCCCAUUAAUUAAUACAUUUAAUUAAUUCCUAACAUUCUUCAUAUGCAUAGAGAGAGGAGCUGGUAUCUGCUCUAAGCAAGGUCACCACCGGAGCUGGUAACUUCUUCACCCUGGUUUUCUGCCGGCGCCGAGCGGAGGGGACAAGCGUGAGGAUGGGGAACGUCCAACCCGGCAUUGCUGUCCACCUGCAAGAGGACGGAUCGUCGUCUUCUUCUUCAUCGGUGUCGACGGAGAGAUCGCUUGUUCGUCGCAGGGCCACCGUUGUGGUGAGCUUUUCUUUUGCUCAGUUGUUCUAGUUGUGCUGUUUAUCUGGCUCUAAUAUGCUAUCCACAUCCAAGAGGACAGUGCAUCGGUCCAGGGUGCAUUUUUUGCGCUCGUGCUAUCAAGGCGGGGUAUUCCUCGACGCAACUACGGGCUAGAAGGAAAGGUGUGACGGAGCAAGUCGUCGCAGAGGUUCAGGCCGAGCCGCAACAAGACGUGGCUAGUCGGGUUGUUGAGAAGGGAUCAAACACUCUAGGGAGUGCCCCUGCGAUGCAAGCAGCAGUGGAAGGAACAGCAGAUUCGUCUCCAGGUCCGGAAUCAAGAGGCACGGCCAGAGCAUGGACGGGAGCCGUGGGUGCCGGCGCGGUGUCAGCAGAGAUGGACGCCGUCCGCUCACCUACGGGUCGCCGCGACUUCUUUGAUCAUCUCAAGCAUGCGAGACAUGAAGAUCCUGAGGCCGUUCGUGCAACUCGCGAUGCCAAGUGCAAGAGACUAUCUUCUUCAGAUGCAGACUCGCAUGUUGUGUCAAAGCGGCAGGACACGGCACAGGAUCAUGAGCAGGCGGCUGAGGGCGGUGUAGAACGGAUCGACCCCGACGUCGGGUUUUUUCAUGGCGGCCGUCUGCGUCAGCGUUUCUGUGUUGAAGUUCAUGCUGGCGGGUUGCUUGAGCUUAGAUUUCCAGCAAAAAUAGCUGACAUUAUACUUGUUUCAGCUCCAAGGAUCGUGCGGAUUAGCACCGCAGGCAAUCACACGUAUAAGGUGAGGAUGAGCAAGGACGUCGGAGGUGCAACAGUGUUCGACUACGGGUGGAACGAUUUUGCAGCUCGUCGCGGGAUUGAGGAAGGAGACAAGCUCAUGUUCGUUGUAUAUGGUGAAGGACAAUGGGAGCUGUCUGUCUUUGGCGUCGACGGAUGCGAGAAGCUACUGGAUGUCGCCGGUGAUGUGCUAUAAGGAAGUACCAUUGGCGUAUGAGUCCACACUGAUCAAUGGAGAACAUCCGUCUUCAUUUUGAUUGCUCUUCUCAGCAUUACCAAUGUCUUGUGAUGUAUGCUUGGUUCAGGAAGACAUGAAGUCUUGCUAUUUUAGAAACUGUGUAGGGAGGACCAAGUCCAUUUUUUUUGGACCCCGAUAAGUGCCACAUGUCAGGUACGAGCACAAUAUGACUUUGAAUUUUUUUAUGACAAAUUUAGUGAUGCGAGGGGCAACUUUUGUGCUUCAGUUUAUUUUUGACAGAAACUUGCCAUGUGUGACUGGAAUUUCCAUCGAAAAAUGUCAAGGACGGAGAUCAAGACUUACCAUUUUGGUUUUUUAUUUCUUUAGCAAUUUUUUUAUUUUCAUUUUUAGGGAACGGACCAAGUCCUUGUAUUCCUUCGCGUGUUAUAGGCCCAUCUUGUGGUUUCUGGUCUUUUUAAUUUUUUUUGGCCAGGCCGCUUGAAAGAAAGUGGUCUGUGUAGGUUCACACCCAAUUUCAACCUGGUUUUCUAGUUCUCCCAAAUAUAUUAUCAGCACGCAUAUUUUUUUAAUAAUACCUAUUGUCGCAAUGAUUCUUUUUCAGAAGAAGUAGCACUGCGCAUUACAUUAUUCUUCAUUUCUACAGAAGGGCGAACACACAAAUAGAAAUUAAAUAAAUCCAAUGAAUUCNNNNNNNNNNNNNNNNNNNNNNNNNNNNNNNNNNNNNNNNNNNNNNNNNNNNNNNNNNNNNNNNNNNNNNNNNNNNNNNNNNNNNNNNNNNNNNNNNNNNACGGCCGGUGGGCCAUGGUCAAUGAGUGCAAACAACAAUAGCAACCACAUGGGAUGAAUCAUGGAUAGAUAGCAGCUACAUCAAUGUUGCUGUCAUCCCGUUGUCAAGUGUCUCCUAGCUUCCUUUAGCCUAGUUCAAGUUAGUUGCGGAUACCUUCAACCUAGUGGCAUGCCAAGAAUGGUAAUCUGGUCCAAGAACCUGCCUAUAACUGGACAAUAACAAGUAUAAAAAAAUUCUGUUAGCAUGAACCAAACUGGGAUGAGAUAAGAAAAGGGUGUGUCCUACAAACUCUGCUUACCCAAGAAUCAAUCGUGUGGUAGCAUGUGAUCUAGUGGCAGGCAAAAGUUGUUAACUUUUUUUUUAAAUGAAAAGUUGUUAACUUGGUAGUACCAACAAACCAAAAACUAAAUAUUUUUUGUUAGAACCAACCAAACUGGGAUUAGACAAGGAAAAGGGCUGUCUUGUCUGCUUACCCCAUAGUUAGGUACACUAUUUAUUUGCUAUCAAUGAUUGAUACCUAGGAUUCUUUGCUGAAUAAUCAAUUAUUGUCAAUGGGUAAUUAAUGUUUUAUUUUGUGAUUGUUGCAGUCGACCCCUCGCACGGUGGUGCUGGACACUAAGACAGGAAGCAACCUCCUUCAGUGGCCGGUGGACGAGGUGGAGACGCUCCGGACCAACUCCACUGACCUUGGCGGCGUCACCAUUAGACCGCGGCUCCGUCUUUUGCACUCAACCUUCANNNNNNNNNNNNNNNNNNNNNNNNNNNNNNNNNNNNNNNNNNNNNNNNNNNNNNNNNNNNNNNNNNNNNNNNNNNNNNNNNNNNNNNNNNNNNNNNNNNNAAAUUGUAGAUCACUUUUUGUAAAUUAAGAGUGUGUAAUUAUUUUUUUCCGUUGCAACGCACGGGUCCUUUUGCUAGUUAGUAAGAUUACCCUCUUCCUCUCUCUCGCACUGGGAUGGAUCCGACCAGUUAAUCAUCCCAGCUGCGGUAUUUUCUACUUACCAAUAACCAUUGUUAUCUUUUAUAUACUUCAAUUGCUAUAAUUUUGUGCAUAAGCUAAACUUCCAUUAUCUAAUUCUCAUCGUGUAUGUGUAUCGUUUUUACAUAAUACUAUAUAUGCAUGCUCAACUAGCCAAGUUAAGAAAAAGCUUGAUUGGUGAUGCAUGAGAAUUUGCGUGUACAUCCACUAGUGGUGUACUGUGUGUAUUAUUCAUUAAUAUGGAGUAUCGCUAGUUUAGAAAUUUGUUUGUAUUAUUUAUUAAUAUGGAGUAUAGCUAGUUUCUCCCGGAAAAAAACGAGUAUAGCUAGUUUACAAUUUUGAACCGAUGUACCUUCCCAUAUGCAUAUAGGUUAUCAAGGUGGACAUGAUUAACACGACUAUUGAAGAGAUUCUUAAUAAACCUUUUAUACAUGGCGAACGCUAGGUGAAGGACAAUGGGCUCUCGGCAUCUUCCGUCCUACAAGGUGUAGCAAAAUGCCCACAAUGUCAGAUGAGCCGUCGACAAGGUUGACAAGGCCUUGUCAAAUCCCACGUCAUAUUUUUUAGAAAAAGAGGGUUACCUCCAGCCUCUGCAUCAGCACGAUGCAUACGGCCCCUUUAUUGCAAAAAAGAAACGGUUCAUAUAGUCUCCGAUAGUACAAUAAAUCUGAGAUAAAAAGGAAAAGAGCCACAACCGGCCAAAAUAGAGCUAGAUGCCUAUCCAUCUAUCCUAUUACUGGACUGUCAUCCAAACCGGUUGAAGAUAUCCCGCGAUACCAUCUCCCAUCGGAUAGACCCAGUAACCAAAGGCUCCCUGGUGUCCGCAGGGGUGAGUAAUGACCACGUACGGAUCAAGGCCGCCGCUCUGUGAAGUACCUGUAGAAAUUGUAUAUUGAUACAUCUGUUAAAAACCACAUCAGUCCUGCAAUUCCAUAUAGCCCAAAGAAGUGCACAAACUCCUAUACGAAUUUGUUUUGCAAUCGUCUUGUCAACUCCAUGAAACCACGUUCCAAAUAACGUGUCGAUGCUAUCUGGAGGCCUUAUGUUAAAGGCUAUAUGAAUUGUGUGCCACAUAAGUCUGGCAAGUGGACAUAGGAGAAAGAGGUGUGUAAUAUUCUCAUUAUUAUCACAGAAGCUACAUUUAGUGCUACCGCCCCCCCCCUCCCAAUUUCGUUUAGCCAAAUUAUCCUUAGUGAGGAUCACCCUCUUGUGUACAAACCACAUGAAGACUUUGAUCCUUAAGGGAACUUUGACUUUCCAAAUAUUAAUAGAUUUGGGGAUGAUGGUAGUGUCUAUAAGAUCAAGAUACAUUGGUUUUACCAAAUAAACUCCGUUAUUCGUGAGCUUCCAAUGUACCCUAUCCGAUUCAUGUGAUAAUUGGACAUCCAUGAGUCUCCUCACCAAGUGGAGCCAGUCAUCCCAACGGUGCCCUAUCACAUGUAUAGGGAGAAUUUCACUUCCCGGCCUCUGCACCAACUAGGGAUGCAUACAGCCAGAUUAGUAUGAAUACCAAGCGCAUGCCCAACCACUGAGCCAAGGCUCUCUUUGCAAUAAAUCUCAUGUUUGAAAUGGCAAGUAUAUUGUGGCAAGCAAGACAAUUCCCUUCAUCAAGAAUGAAAAAUCAUGACAAAAAGCUAACCCUAGCAAGGAUUUGCCAUGAUUGCUGAAAGAAAUUGUCAUGCUCGCGACAACAUAACUUCAAAUCCUAGAUGUUAAAUUUGUCAUGCUUAUAAAUAUGAGAUCUGAUUUGUAGCAAAAUCAGAUUAAUAAAGCUCGAUAUUUUCCCCUAAACAAUAUUCCGCAUACAACGCAUGGAAUAGGAGGACUUGGUCCGUCCGCAACUUCUAAUUAGCAAGAGCUUAUGUCCUAAUCCAAAAUGCCAUGUUCAGUUACAGUUUUUUAUGUUUUUGCAUCAACCAAUGGUGUUUUCAGGAUCCAGAUCCACCAGUUGGAGUCUAGGCUUGGGAGAUUUUUCCUAUUUUUGAAGAUCACCAGGUACAAUUUAAAUUGGAACCAGGAAUGCAUCAUCCAUGAUCCAUCACAGAACUAGGGUUCAAAAAAGAAAAUGAGAAACAUAGUAGAGAGCAGGUGGCUGAUUCCUCCGCGUCACCGGCUUCUUCAGCGGUGGCUGAUUUAUUAGAUUUCAGUGCAUGUGCGUAUUCUUGUUCCUUGCUAUGAUCUGCACAUGAUUUCUAGCUAGCUUUGCCUGCUUGCUUUGCUUGCACUCGAGACAGGGCACAACAAGACCACAGACAUACCCGCCAGAUAACUAGUUUAGAAUAGUANNNNNNNNNNNNNNNNNNNNNNNNNNNNNNNNNNNNNNNNNNNNNNNNNNNNNNNNNNNNNNNNNNNNNNNNNNNNNNNNNNNNNNNNNNNNNNNNNNNNAAACACAUACUCAUAAACAACAACACAUUCUGGAUGUUGGCUAGUURGGGGRUUUAUGUACUUAUAAUACGUCUAAUAUAUGGGAUAAAUAAUAUUUAAUGCCUAAUUUCUAGAUUAUAUGCGGGUAUAUGGGUACACGGGUAUGGGGUUAUACUAAACCAUACCCUACCCACUAUACCCCGAUGGGUAUUGAAAAUUUUCCAUUUAUGUACCCACGUGUAUUUGUUUGGCUCAUACCCUUGCCUUAAUAGAAUUUUUAUCCACAAGGUACACGAGUGAUGGGUACCCAUUGCCAUCCCAGCACAGCUUCACAAGUAAAAAAGAAAAAAAUAGUUGUAGCAAUUCAUUUCUUAAAGGUGGUAGCACAAUGUACAUGUGCUUUUAGACGAUGAAAUAAAAUGUCACUUUUAUUGCCUCUGCAUCUUGCAAUUGCACACAAUCAAACUUUAUUCCUGACAACCGGUGACUUACCAUACGUACCAAUUAGAGAAAACCCUGUUCGCCGCAUUUUACGGCAAAUAGGGGAGGCUCCGCUCAACCCCCGGGAAGAUUUGGGCCGGCCCAAUUUGGGUUACCAUCGAUUUUCAAAACCUUCUAAGAGGUUCUUGAACCGGUUUUAAGAUUUUUUAUUGAUUUUUUAAUUUUCUAUAUUUGUUUCUUUCUUUACUUUUUUUUACUUUCUAUUGUUUAUUCUUUUUUAUUUCUUUUUAAGGUUAUUUUAUAAACUAAGUUCAUGUUUGAAAAUAUUUUUAAAAUUUCAAAAAUGUUCUUCUUUCAUAAAAAUGUUCUAAAAUUAAAAUGAUUGCAGUUUUUUCACAACUUAUGAAAAAUGUCAAAACUUGUUCGGAACAUAUUUUAAAUUCCUGAACAAAUUUUGAGAACAGGAACAUAAUAAAACAUGAAAAUGAGAACAUUUUUUAGGAUUACUGGACAUUUAUUAAAACACGAACAUUUUUUAACUUCUAAUCAAAACUUUGUAAUUACUGAAAGAUGUUUUGAAACACGAGUAUUUUUUGAAAUUCCCCGAAACAAUUUUUUUUAACAAANGUUUGAACAAAAACUUCAAAAGGAGAACAUUUUUUUUUAGAAAUUUUUGAAAAACUGAAACAUUUUUAAGAAAAAAAUGAAAAGAAAAGAUAAAAACGCGAAUAUUUUUUUAAAUAUCUNNNNNNNNNNNNNNNNNNNNNNNNNNNNNNNNNNNNNNNNNNNNNNNNNNNNNNNNNNNNNNNNNNNNNNNNNNNNNNNNNNNNNNNNNNNNNNNNNNNNCCAAAAACGGUCUCUGCCACUCGGCAUUGCUUAACCACACACACAUCCUCUCCAUCUUCUAUUGUUUGUCGUCGUCGUUGGUUUAGAGAUGCAGAAAAGGAGGCUUUCGUAUGCGGAAGAGUGUGUAACCACGGAAGGAGUAGAUUACGGCUAGCUGGCUGGCUGCUGGGACCGCCAUGAGACCAGGAGCAGCCCAUCGGUUUCGGCUCGCUGAAUUAUUUGCGGGCCCCUUUUUCUCUCAACAGAAUCUAUGGCUUUACACAUGGCUCCUUUUGUUUUUGGAAAAGGAGGUUAAACUCCCGGCAUCUACAACAGUAUCUUUAUUAAUUAUUUCAUAAAUGUCUGACAAGAACAUACAACAAUUUAUUCGAAGUCGUCACUCAUACCUACAAACUCGAUAAUGUAGAGUGCUUUCACUCACCAUAUCUAAAAUCGGUGUCAUCGGCAAUCCAUCCACAUAACGUAUCGGAACCAUCAGCCGGUGCAACAAACCUAAAGUGCAAACCAAAUGCACAUUUUUUAGAGUUCGCCAUCAUCAUCAUACCAUUUAUCCAUCUUCAGGAGAGAGAUCCGCACUAUCUUUGUCAGGCCNNNNNNNNNNNNNNNNNNNNNNNNNNNNNNNNNNNNNNNNNNNNNNNNNNNNNNNNNNNNNNNNNNNNNNNNNNNNNNNNNNNNNNNNNNNNNNNNNNNNGGUAGAUGAGUUCUCCGGCAGCGUGACGGCGCUCCGGAGGUUGGUGGUGAUCUAAUCUCAGCAGGGCUCCGCCCGAGCUCCGCAGAAACGCGAUCUAGAGGUAAAACCGUGGAGAUAUGUGGUCGGGCUGCCGUGGCAAAGUUGUCUCAAAUCAGCCCUAAAACCUCCGUAUAUAUAGGGGGAAGAGGGGGAGCCUUGCCUUGGGGUCCAAGGACCCCCAAGGGGUUCGGCCGAGCCAAGGGGGGCAACCCUCCCCUUCCAAACCGAGUCCAACUAGGUUUGGAAGGAGGAGUCCUUCCCCCUUUUCCCACCUCCUCUUUUUUCUCUUUGAUUUUCUUCCUAUGGCGCAUAGGGCCUUCUUGGGCUGUCCCACCAGCCCACUAAGGGCUGGUGCGCCACCCCCAAGGCCUAUGGGGCUUCCCCAGGGUGGGUUCCCCCCCCCCCCCGGAGAACACCCGGAACCCAUUCAUCAUUCCCGGUACAUUCCCGGUAACUCAGAAAACCUUCCGGUAAUCAAAUGAGGUCAUCCUAUAUAUCAAUCUUCGCCGUACAUUACCGGAACCCUCGUGACGUCCGUGAUCUCANNNNNNNNNNNNNNNNNNNNNNNNNNNNNNNNNNNNNNNNNNNNNNNNNNNNNNNNNNNNNNNNNNNNNNNNNNNNNNNNNNNNNNNNNNNNNNNNNNNNCUGACAUGUCAUCUAGUAAAGUGUAAGGAGGAGCAAAAGUGCAUGGAUGCGUGUACUGACCGAAUGGCGCACGUCAAGGCGGAGCGAAAAAUUGGCGCCUCUCAUGGCCAGGGGUUGGGUUCGACAAAUUUUUGGGCCGCUUGAAUUAGGUGGAGUGGAUAAAUACCGACCCCUAGGAUAAUAUUAUUGCCAUGUCGAUGUUGAUGGGUCGAUAAUACCGCAAGAAUUGUUAGAGCAAAUACAAUAGAGUUGAGUCAGUUGGCUAUAAAGAAUACAGUAGUAUAUAUAUUUUCUUAGUUGAAGAAAAAARGAGAAGAAAGAAGGUAUGCGGCCUCUUAGUUAAGAACUAGCUUUAGUACGUGCUCCUAAACAUUUUGUGAGAAUAAAUGGUGGACCAUAUAAUUAAAAAGUAGUAUACUCUUUUAACCAAAUAUUAUACAUGUUAGUUAUAAGAUGAACUAUAAGUGACAUGUCAAUGCCUUAACCAUGCUCUUAUGGUGUUAAGUUUAUGCAAAAGGACAUAUAUCGAUCAUAUAUGGGUAGCCUAGGACAGUGACACACAUGGGCCUGCAUUUUCGAUGGUGCGGAUCUCUCUUCAUCCCUGGUUAUAGUUCACCUAUCGAUUCACAUAUUUGUUUUGUUUUUUCUUUUUCAAAUGAAUGGGUCGUUUUGUGCAUGUUACACGUACCUAGCUAGUAUUCGUCCCACGCCAUUGCUUCUUGUCGUCCGCAUCAUGCACGAUCAAAUGCANNNNNNNNNNNNNNNNNNNNNNNNNNNNNNNNNNNNNNNNNNNNNNNNNNNNNNNNNNNNNNNNNNNNNNNNNNNNNNNNNNNNNNNNNNNNNNNNNNNNGUUUAGUUGUGUGUUCGAUGCUUCUAUAAAGGAAUAAUAGUGUUGUGCUCAAUGCUAGAUAAUUCUUCUAGAAAAAAUCAUUUCGAAUUCACAUGUAUUCGCAAUAGAUUAGCUAGUUUGGUUGAUGGAUAGUUUAUUUUUCAUUGUCCCAGGACACUAGAUACUGUAGAUGCUAAGUUCAUGUGAUUUCAUCUGAAAAUACAGUUCCCUGGAAAAUAAAUCUAAAAAACUUUUCGCAUGCAAACCUAAGUAGUGUCUACAGCUAGNGUCGCCGAAGCAUUUUGCAAGCCAGCAGUUUAACGGGAACAAAGAUACAUGCGUGAGUAGAACUCAAAAAUUUGAUUCGAUGAACGGAUACUAGAAUUUGCACGAACUCGCAGAAAGUAUAUAUUAUUUUUUCCUUUUCUAUUUCGUGCCAUGUCCAGUUACAGAGUAUGUUGCAUCAAUAUGUGGUGUCGCAGCACCGGCAAGGCUGAUAGCCUGGACCAAACUGACAUCUCGAUGUAUAUAGCCAUAUCUUACAAUGUAGAUUCAUUCUUUUUGCUUUAUAUGUUAUCCGUAACAGAAUUUUUUAAAAAGACUUAUGUUUAGAAACAGAGGAAGCAUGUGCAUUUUCUCCAUGCAUGUGCUGAUGAUUACAUUGCCAGCGAGCUGGCGCCCGAGACUGGGCACAAGACACAAGUCCACAUACAUAUCUGUCAGUUACUUAGUUUAGAAUAGUGUAUUAUUGGCGAACAAUUAUCGCAGAGAAUCUACACCANNNNNNNNNNNNNNNNNNNNNNNNNNNNNNNNNNNNNNNNNNNNNNNNNNNNNNNNNNNNNNNNNNNNNNNNNNNNNNNNNNNNNNNNNNNNNNNNNNNNACCAUUGUAAUUCAUGUGCAAUAGACAUGGCAACUUUUAACCCAACAAAAGUCAUACGCAUAUUGAUAUGAGAUCUGGUUUUUGAAGAUCUCUACGCGAUGGAUUUAAUGGUGAAAACGGAUCUUUAAUUGGAUUUUUUCAUUGAAGAGAUAAAACAUUUUAAAAACUGGAAUAAAAAAAGAUCCUCACAUGCAUGCAUGCGGUAACGUGACGCAAUAUAUGUGUUAUAGGUGUAUGGGCGGAUGUUUCUCCCACCACACGUGUGAGCAUUAUUACAACCCUAAAAAAAAAUUCUUAUUCCGUCAUGCUAUUUUAUGGAAAACCCAUUGAUGUUUCUGAUAAACCCGUAAUACAUCUAUACUUAUACUAAUUUUUGACUCCCCAAAAAUUACCACGUUAAUUAGAAAUUACCAGCCGUUUAUCUGGUGGGGCCGAAUUAUAACGAUGGAGAUCAAUCAAUGAAAUCCUUGGCAAAAAAGUUGUCCAUCUGAUCAUGAUAUUAACUAUCUACAACCGUUGGUUGAGGUUUAAGAGUCCUCACCCAAUGUCCCACGUCCUCUCUACAGAUCUAUUCUACCAAUGCACUCCAAGCUGUCAAAAAGAAAAAUAUCCAACGAGUUUUGACAACUACUCCAUACAACUGUCCGAUGGGUGCUAGGGAAAAUCUGGAAUUUAUUAUCACAAGAUUGUAGCCUUUCCAUCACGUACAUAGUCUUUUCUUUUCACAUAGCGACGUUACCCAGUGCUCCAGCCCUUGUUCUUCAUCCUUUUCAACUGCGUGUGUCUUCAUCUGGGCUGCAGGUCCAUCCGGCAACCACCGCAUCCAAUUGCAAUAUUAGUAAAUCUCUAAAAAACAUAGUUUUCUAUUUCAGUUUGUAUUUUUCUAAAGCAGAAAAUUUUAAUGCUUCUCAUCCGACUUUGUAUGAUAUCUGUUUCCUUGUAGUAGGGUCCAUGAUUUACAUUCAUUUACUGCCGGCAUCGUCCGCUUCAACGAAUUCAUUGGCAACCGGAACUCUCAUCCGACUUUGUAUGAUAUCNNNNNNNNNNNNNNNNNNNNNNNNNNNNNNNNNNNNNNNNNNNNNNNNNNNNNNNNNNNNNNNNNNNNNNNNNNNNNNNNNNNNNNNNNNNNNNNNNNNNCAGCCCGCCGGUCUAAAUCCUAAGCACAAAGGGUUCGUGGGCCCAGUUCCCCUUCACGCUCCUGCACGUGGCGUGGGCGGCCGACGUCAGUCCUAGCAUCCCUUAAUCACAAGCGCGAUGCAUCUCGGGACCACUCGGGCGCGCGCCGCUACAUUGCUGGCAUCUGAAAAGCUUCGAAUGAUACCGCGACGCCGAGUACCCAUAAUUCUUCCCGCGUAGCCGGUUAGUGCGAAAAGGUCUCCGACCAACCCAGAUCAAAUACCCAAAUCCAUUAGCAUAAUUAGGCCAGCAACACAGUCUCACGGGAAUCCACCCGUCUUACAACUAAUCACCAAUGAUCCCAGUAACAUGGUCGAGUAACUUUGUGGUUGUAACAUCGGGGGGAAUCCGAGGUAUCACCCUCGUUGGAUUCCGAACGAUGUACCCGUCAAGGUGGGCUUAGAGGAAUCACCCUCGGGGGUCCCACACUCGCGGGGUGGCACGAUAGAGACGUCAUCGGGAAUGGUGAAAGAGGAAUCAUCCUCGAUAACCAUGACCGACUAGCUAUACUACAGAGAUAUCAUCAGGAGUACUUAGUGAGGUGUCACCCUCGGUACCCGAUAGUAUCUCUGUAGCGUCGUACAACAAAAGGGGGGUGAACGUGUUGUGUCGGGUCUGGCUCGUCGAUCAGAGAUCGAGACUUGAAAACAAGCGAGGCAACUGGACUACGGGGUCAGAGGGGAGGCGACUGCUCCACCUAUACUAGGCAGAUUAAAAGGUACAGGACUGAAAGUAGCAGUUCAUCAAAAACAGGCUAUGCAUCAGAUAUAGGAGCUAACUACAACAGUAGCAAAAAUACUAAUGCAAGCAGUAGGAAGAAAGACAUAGACGAUAUAGGAAUGAUCAAGGGGAGUUUGCUUGCCUUGCUGCUCUGCGGCAAAGGACUGAUCGGCAGGGUCGUAGAUGUACCCGGCAGCAGCGUCAGUCUCGGGGUCUACCGGUAAGAAGAGGGGGAAGAAACAAUAAAUAAUAGCACCGAUGCAACACAAAGCAUGACAUGGCAAGAUGCAGGCUAGACAUGAGCUAACACAGCAACAUCCGUCAUAGACGGGUCGGAAGAAUAUCUGACGAUANCCGGGUUCUCGGGCUACUACCGGUUAUACUGGAAACGAAGAAAAUGUUCCAUGUUUGCUAUGCUAGGGACGCGUGACAGACGAAUGGACCGUGUAUCCGGGUUCGUCUCGCUUUGCUGAUCAACUUUCAUGUUGAAAUUAUUUCGAUCUGACUUACGGAUUAUUUAAUAUUAAUUUUCAAAGUUUUAUUAAUUAUUUAGGAAUUAAAAACAGNNNNNNNNNNNNNNNNNNNNNNNNNNNNNNNNNNNNNNNNNNNNNNNNNNNNNNNNNNNNNNNNNNNNNNNNNNNNNNNNNNNNNNNNNNNNNNNNNNNNCUUCAUUAUCAUCCAUUUUGCCACGUCAAAACAGAUCACAUCAGCCAGAAUAUUUUUGGUUUUCGGCUUAAAAUGUUUUAUCUCCUAUUAAAAAUCCAACUAAAAUUUUGUUUUUACUAUUAAAUCCGUUUCGACGAGAUCUUCAAAACUAGAUUCUAUGUUGAUAUGCUUCGAUGAAAAAAAAAUUUGGCCAAAAGUUGUCAUGAUGUUUACACAGUGGUUGUCAUAGUGUUUACACUAAAAUUGCCAUGACAUGUUCUAUCUAUUUGUUUUCUUCUAUAUUUAAAGUUACCGUUAUAUUUCAACUACUUUUUAGGCAAUUUUUAUUUAUUGACCAUGGUAACUUUUGGUAAUUAAACACGGAAAAUUUAUUGCAUGGAUCAUGACAAUUUUUAGUGAUCCAUCAUGGCCAUGUCAAAAUUUACUUUUAAAGGUAGAAGAAAAAUAGUUGAAACAUAUCAUGACAAAUUCAGUGUAAACACUAUGACAAUUCAUGUAUAAUAUACAUGGCAGCUUUUAAUCCAAAAAGUCGUCGAAACAUAUUGAUACGAGAUCUACUUUCGGAGAUCUCGUCGUGAUGGAUUUAAUGGUGAAAACGGAUCUUCAAUCGAAUUUUUCAUUUAAAAGAUAAAACAUUUUAAAACUAGAAUUCAAAAAAUUCCCACAUGCAUGCAUGCGGUAACGUGACUGCAAUCUGUGUGUUAUAAUCGUGUGGGCGGAUGUUACUCCCACCACACGUGUGGGCGUUAUCAGGACCCAUCUUUUUCUAUUUUUGGCUUAAAAAUGUUUUAUGUCCUAAUUAAUAAAUCCAAUUUAAAAUUUGUUUUCACCAUUAAAUCCUUCUCGACGAGAUCUUCAAAACUAGAUCCUAUGUUGAUAUGUUUUGAUGAAAAAAAUUGGCCAAAAGUUGUGUUGUUUACGCUGCAGUUGCCAUAGUGUUUACAUUAAAGUUGCCAUGACAUGUUUUAUUUAUUUUCUUCUAGAUUUAAAGCUACCGUUAUAUUUUCAACUACUUUUAUGGUAAUUUUUAAUUGACCAUGGCAAUUUUAUUAAUUAUCCAUUGCUAAUUUAAUGCAUGGAUCAUGGCAAUUCUUAGUACUUCAUGAAAAUUACUUUUAAAUGUAGAAGAAAAAAAUACCUGAAACAAGCAUAGCAACAUUAGUGUAAACACCAUUGUAAUUCAUGUGCAAUAGACAUGGCAACUUUUAACCCAACAAAAGUCAUCGAAACAUANNNNNNNNNNNNNNNNNNNNNNNNNNNNNNNNNNNNNNNNNNNNNNNNNNNNNNNNNNNNNNNNNNNNNNNNNNNNNNNNNNNNNNNNNNNNNNNNNNNNCGUGUAGUGGUUGCAGAGCGGGCGGCUCAUAGCGAGCGGGAGCCGGCAAACCGGUGGGCUCAGGUGGUGUUUCUUUGCCCAGAGACUAACUAAAAUUCCCUUUUAGUCCCUAGAUAAAGAAACAUAAGGGACUUUUCCUUAAGGAAUUAAAAGACUCUAUUGAACAGACUUUUUCUUUAGUCCCUGAGACUAAAAAGUACUAGUCCCUGGGAAAAACGCCACCUCACUCGCGAAGCGCUUCGCGGUCAAUAUCGUGCGAGUUAUGAUGGGCGUAGCCGGUGCCAAACGGGGCCGGCACGGUAUGGUCCGUGCAGGCACGAACAUUAGCUCGGUCGUGCCGUUUUGAUUCACGUGCGCAGCUUCUAGACCCAAGCACGACACUGAACCUAUACAGACCGAUUCGUCGGCACGCUAAGCUCGUUGUUUAUUAGGCAUUUGGUUUUGAGAUCGUUUUAGACUGAUUUUGGUCUAUUAGGCUAUUAUAUAUAUGUAAUUUAAAAMYAAAAUAAAAACUAUAAAUGGGUCGUGCCGUGCUGGCUCGCGUGUCCAGCCUUCAGGCCCAGGCACGGCUCGAGGCGAACUGCGGACACGGCCCGAUUAGUCUUUGUCGUGCCUGGCUCGUAACGUGUGUCGGUCCGUCAUGCUUCUAGACCGCCCAGAAAGCAUGGCAUGUUUGGCCAGGACUGGGCGUAGCACUUGGGCCCAUAUCGACUGGGCGUAGCACUUGGGCCCAUAUCGCGUUAACGCAUGGGCAUGGGCUUCGAGUAAAAAAAAUAGAUCUGAUCAUAAACUCAAAUUUCAUCGGAUCCCAGCAAACACAAUAAAAAAGACUCACAUCAUAUGGAUCUUCAAAAGACCAUUGUAUUGAUAAUUAAGAAAGAGAGAGGAAGUCAUCUAGUUAAUAACUACGGACCCGUAGGUCUACAAAGAACUACUCACGCAUUAUCGGAGAGGCACCAAUGGACAUGAUGAACCCCUUCGUGAUGGUGUCUAGAUUGGAUCUGGUGUUUUUGUACUCUUCGGCGGCUGGAAUUGAUUUUCGUCCCCCUCCUUAGGGUUUCNNNNNNNNNNNNNNNNNNNNNNNNNNNNNNNNNNNNNNNNNNNNNNNNNNNNNNNNNNNNNNNNNNNNNNNNNNNNNNNNNNNNNNNNNNNNNNNNNNNNUUCUAGAUUAUAUGCGGGUAUAUGGGUACACGGGUAUGGGUUAUACUAAACCAUACCCUACCCACUAUACCCGAUGGGUAUUGAAAAUUUUCCAUUUAUGUACCCACGUGUAUUUGUUUGGCUCAUACCCUUGCCUUAAUAGAAUUUUUAUCCACAAGGUACACGAGUGAUGGGUACCCAUUGCCAUCCCAGCACAGCUUCACAGUAAAAAGAAAAAUGUUGUAGCAAUUCAUUUUCUUAAAGGUGGUAGCACAAUGUACAUGUGCUUUUAGACGAUGAAAUAAAAUGUCACUUUUAUUGCCUCUGCAUCUUGCAAUUGCACACAAUCAAACUUUAUUCCUGACAACCGGUGACUUACCAUACGUACCAAUUAGAGAAAACCCUGUUCGCCGCAUUUUACGGCAAAUAGGGGAGGCUCCGCUCAACCCCCGGGAAGAUUUGGGCCGGCCCAAUUUGGGUUACCAUCGAUUUUCAAAACCUUCUAAGAGGUUCUUGAACCGGUUUUAAGAUUUUUUAUUGAUUUUUAAUUUUCUAUAUUUGUUUCUUUCUUUACUUUUUUUACUUUCUAUUGUUUAUUCUUUUUUAUUUCUUUUAAGGUUAUUUUAUAAACUAAGUUCAUGUUUNNNNNNNNNNNNNNNNNNNNNNNNNNNNNNNNNNNNNNNNNNNNNNNNNNNNNNNNNNNNNNNNNNNNNNNNNNNNNNNNNNNNNNNNNNNNNNNNNNNNAGGGAGGACCAAGUCCAUUUUUUUUGGACCCCGAUAAGUGCCACAUGUCAGGUACGAGCACAAUAUGACUUUGAAUUUUUUUAUGACAAAUUUAGUGAUGCGAGGGGCAACUUUUGUGCUUCAGUUUAUUUUUGACAGAAACUUGCCAUGUGUGACUGGAAUUUCCAUCGAAAAAUGUCAAGGACGGAGAUCAAGACUUACCAUUUUGGUUUUUUUAUUUCUUUAGCAAWUUUUUUAUUUUCWAUUUUUAGGGAACGGACCAAGUCCUUGUAUUCCUUCGCGUGUUAUAGGCCCAUCUUGUGGUUUCUGGUCUUUUUAAUUUUUUUGGCCAGGCCGCUUGAAAGAAAGUGGUCUGUGUAGGUUCACACCCAAUUUCAACCUGGUUUUCUAGUUCUCCCAAAUAUAUUAUCAGCACGCAUAUUUUUUAAUAAUACCUAUUGUCGCAAUGAUUCUUUUUCAGAAGAAGUAGCACUGCGCAUUACAUUAUUCUUCAUUUCUACAGAAGGGCGAACACACAAAUAGAAAUUAAAUAAAUCCAAUGAAUUCNNNNNNNNNNNNNNNNNNNNNNNNNNNNNNNNNNNNNNNNNNNNNNNNNNNNNNNNNNNNNNNNNNNNNNNNNNNNNNNNNNNNNNNNNNNNNNNNNNNNAUUCGAGUAUUUGCGGCCCGCCGGCAAACGCGUGAUCUGAAUACCCGCGAUGCGGCUACUUAACCACACCUAUGAUGGAUUAAUUGACAUGUUUUUGGUUACGGCUGGUGCAAUACAAGUUGAAGCUUUUACAUCAAGCAUUGAUGGAGUCCGCUGCUACGUUAUGGCUGGCACAAUAUGAGCGCCGCAAGAAUGGCAUGGUUUUGAUGCAACAGGGUCAGGCUAGCUAUGUAUUGGGAGGCUACGACGAAUCUGACGAAGACCGAACCGGAAGGACUACAUCAUAUACACCAAGGAGGCCGUGGCUAGCUAACCUCACCGUUGUUUAUUUUUUUGCGAUGAUAACCUCACCUUUUUUUGCUGACAUACACUAGUGGGAACAAGGUCUAUAGCCCCGGCCCGUAAGGGGUUUUAGUCCCGGUUCACCAACCGGGACUAAAGGGGCGAGACUAAAGGCCUAACCUUUAGUCCCGGCCCUGUUCCAAGCAGGGACCAAAGGUGCUCCACGUGGGCGUCUCGGAGCGUCCUCAGGGGCAGGCCCUUUAGUCCCGGGUCUUAACACGGACCGGGACUAAAGAGUUUCUGCAGAUUUAUUWUAKKKUKKKAGGGUUUUUAAGGUUUAGGUGUUCGGGAGAUUAACGUGAUGCCUCGUUUGGUGUUCGGGAAUUAGUUUUCAUAUAAUUCUAAAUAGAAAUAAUUAUGCAUAUAUAUAUAAGAUUAAGUUAUNNNNNNNNNNNNNNNNNNNNNNNNNNNNNNNNNNNNNNNNNNNNNNNNNNNNNNNNNNNNNNNNNNNNNNNNNNNNNNNNNNNNNNNNNNNNNNNNNNNNUUUUGAAGAUCUCUACGCGAUGGAUUUAAUGGUGAAAACGGAUCUUUAAUUGGAUUUUUCAUUGAAGAGAUAAAACAUUUUAAAAACUGGAAUAAAAAAAGAUCCUCACAUGCAUGCAUGCGGUAACGUGACGCAAUAUAUGUGUUAUAGGUGUAUGGGCGGAUGUUUCUCCCACCACACGUGUGAGCAUUAUUACAACCCUAAAAAAAUUCUUAUUCCGUCAUGCUAUUUUAUGGAAAACCCAUUGAUGUUUCUGAUAUUAAACCCGUAAUACAUCUAUACUUAUACUAAUUUUUGACUCCCCAAAAAUUACCACGUUAAUUAGAAAUUACCAGCCGUUUAUCUGGUGGGGCCGAAUUAUAACGAUGGAGAUCAAUCAAUGAAAUCCUUGGCAAAAAAAAGUUGUCCAUCUGAUCAUGAUAUUAACUAUCUACAACCGUUGGUUGAGGAAGUAGUCCUCACCCAAUGUCCCACGUCCUCUCUACAGAUCUAUUCUACCAAUGCACUCCAAGCUGUCAAAAAAAGAAAAAUAUCCAAACGAGUUUUUGACAACUACUCCAUACAACUGUCCGAUGGGUGCUAGGGAAAAUCUGGAAUUNNNNNNNNNNNNNNNNNNNNNNNNNNNNNNNNNNNNNNNNNNNNNNNNNNNNNNNNNNNNNNNNNNNNNNNNNNNNNNNNNNNNNNNNNNNNNNNNNNNNCAACACUAAAACAAGUUAUCCAUAGCCCAUUAUACUCAAUCAUUGAUCCAUUCAUGAAACACACUCGAAUAUUAGCUACACCCAAAGCUCAAAUACGAUCAUAGUGCCCCUUAGUUGGUGCUUUAUGAGAGAAGAUGAAGACUCAAAUUCAAAAUAAAAAUUGCAUAAGUAAAAGAAAGGCCCUUCGCAAAGGGAAGUAGGGAUUUGUUGAGGUGCCAGAGCUCAAAGAGAAAAUUGAGAAAUAAAAACAUUUUGAGAGGCAUACUUUUCCCACCAACGAAAACGACUUAGAGCUCCCAACACUUUUCAUGCUAGAUACAUCAUAGGCGGUUUCCAAACAGAAAAUAAAGUUUUUUUCCACCAUUACUUUCACUUUCCAUGGCUUGUCCGUAUCCACGGAUGCCCUCCAUACCAACACUUUCCAAGGAAUUUAUUAUUUGACAACAAAAAGUAUUUUUUUAUUUCGGGACUGGACAUCCCUAAUACCUUUUGUCGUACUCUCGUGCAAUGACAAGUGAAUAAGCACUCAACGUGAAAAUAACACAUCUAGCAUGAAAAAUAUUGGCCACCCCUCACCGCCUCGCGAGCAGUKGAGCACACAAAAGAGAAAUUUAUUUURGAAAAUUAGAGACGGCACAUGCAAAUUUGCUAAGAACGGCAUAGAAAUACUGCAUAUAGGUAGGUAUAGUGGACUCAUAUGAUAAAACUGGUUUAAAGGAUUUUUGGAUGCACAACUAGUGNNNNNNNNNNNNNNNNNNNNNNNNNNNNNNNNNNNNNNNNNNNNNNNNNNNNNNNNNNNNNNNNNNNNNNNNNNNNNNNNNNNNNNNNNNNNNNNNNNNNGGCAUGUGGACUGCAAAUCAGUGAGAGCGUGAGGUUACCAAGGAUGCUCAUGAUAAUAAGAUUCUGGAUCUUCUCCACCACUCACCUGACGGCUGGAAUUAUUGGCCACCAGCAGCGUGGAUCUAGUAUCCGCCUACUCCAUGGGUGCUGUCAUGGAUACCUGUUCUUGCCUUAUGCAUGCAUGUUGGUUGGUGUGCUUGGUGUUUUAGAAAGGAAAAUAAAGUAGCACCCCAACCGGCUUAGUCAGAAUUUCAUGUAGUUUGCACAACUUCACCGUGUUCUCUUCAUGAAACUACAUGAAAGUUUGCAUAUGAAGCUAGUUGUUCAUAUGCAAACCUUUGUAGCGUCUACUACAUGCUAGUUUAUCGGAAGUCUGUAUUUCGUGAAACCCAAUUAAUCAGCAAAGAAAAGAAAAAGACACAUGAUCACAACCGGUUUGUGUGGUUCCUGCCUUGCUAUUGUUGUCCACAAACAAAACUGAAUCAUUGCCACGUCGAACAAUGCAUUAUUGCACAUGCAUUAGUUGCUUCCAAGUUUGCUCCAAAAGAGGUUAUAAUCGACAAAAGACAAAUAGACACAACCUGAGAGUCAACAAGGUAACAACACACACACACACCCAUGUGUGCAUGCCAAGCGGAUGCAUGGUUCAUUCUUAACCUUGUUGAGUUAUCCACACUACAUACAUAUUGAUCCACACGUCUAUACGUGUUGAUAUGUGGCGGGUAAGUGGGCAACAUCACACAAAAACGAGCAUAGGUGGUGUAAAAAACUAUAAGCUGGCUGCCAAGCAGUAGAGUUUGCCAUGUCAACUAGUAUUAUGACUGACUGCAAUAAUAUGUUGCCAUUUGUCACACGUCGCCUUGUCGGCGUUGAGCUCCAAGCAUCGAGGUUACAACGCCCAUGUGCGUUCAUUUCUAUGGCCAACUUUUCAUCGCAUUGGUAGAUAACUACGGCCGGUAGCCUCUUCACAUGACUUCCUAAUCAUUGGUAGAUAUAUCAACUAUAGCCACUUGUUAUGUUGCGCGAGCACGCAACGUUUUGUGUGCCCACCGCCAAAAGAGAAAUGACAUCUCACAUGGCAUGGAUCUUAUAGAGCGACACGUGGAGAGAGCCACGUCUAGAAGUUUGGAUUUCAUGGAUGGGCCGGGUUUGAGANNNNNNNNNNNNNNNNNNNNNNNNNNNNNNNNNNNNNNNNNNNNNNNNNNNNNNNNNNNNNNNNNNNNNNNNNNNNNNNNNNNNNNNNNNNNNNNNNNNNCGGACGGGGUCAUUGGAUGGAUCGUGAACCGAAAUCAAUGGGAUGAUUCUAUGUCCACAAAGAAAUGCUUACAAGAACACCUAUGGCAUGAGUUAUGGAGCUUUACCAGGCGAUUGUCGUCAUGAUUUCGGAGUGUGCAUGUAUGUCGUCUGCUCAACAAGCUGCCACACACGUUUCCCUAAAAAACAAGCUGCCACAUGACUCUCGCAGCACUGCCAAGACCGAGUACGCCGGCCAGAAGGUCUGGAGGAGGCAGAUGAACAGCGACCCAGCAGUGUUCCUCGUACCAUGGGCUCCAACGCAACACCAUGUUGGAGAUUAGAAACUACUCCCUCUGUCUUAAAAUAACUGUCUUAACUUUGUACUACCUCUAGUGCAAAGUUGUACUAAGCUUAUGACACUUAUUUUAGAACGGAGGUAGUACCUUUUGGUGGAAAGGUUUGAGGGUGAAGAGGUUUGAGGACUAAUGCUUCGUGGGGACAAGUACUAGGAAAUCAAAAGAUUUGAGGUCAUAGUGGCAUCGCACAGGGUUGUGAUGCAUGUGAAAUUUCCGUCACGGUUUUUCCCUCUACACGGUAUUAGGAUAGAAUCACAUGCUAAUUGUACCGGGUAAUCGACCACUAAUCGGGAACACGAUCCACGUUCCAAAAUAAAGUCCCGAAGAUGUAUACCCCCACGCCGCACCUCCUCCAGGAAGGGUGGCGAGCCACAACCCCGUUCCUCGUUCCACAACCCGAGCGACCCACAUUCCCUGACAAUCAUGGCUAAAACAUGGAAAUAAAAUUUUUUACAAACAAAAUACAUGAGAAAGCAGAUUCCAUGGAACCAAAAAGCAGGCCCCACAAAUAAUGCAGCAAACCGAAACCGAUGGUGUUUUUGUCGGACCCACCUACCUUACUCUCCUAUGACCUUUCUUAUUAUCUGCNNNNNNNNNNNNNNNNNNNNNNNNNNNNNNNNNNNNNNNNNNNNNNNNNNNNNNNNNNNNNNNNNNNNNNNNNNNNNNNNNNNNNNNNNNNNNNNNNNNNUUUUUAACUUCUAAUCAAAACUUUGUAAUUACUGAAAGAUGUUUUGAAACACGAGUAUUUUUUGAAAUUCCCGAAACAAUUUUUUAACAAAUUUGUGAACAAAACUUCAAAGGAGAACAUUUUUUGAAAUUUUGAAAACUGAAACAUUUUAGAAAAAAUGAAAGAAAAGAUAAAAACGCGAAUAUUUUUAAAUAUCUGAGCUUUUGAUGAAAAAAUAAAAUGAAUUCAAAAACGGAAAGAAAAUAGAAAAAAAGAAAACAAAAAACGAAAAGCGUUUAGAUCUCUAAGACUUUAGUGAUCUACUCUUAGUGAUCCAAACACUGAUAUUGUUUUUUACAGAGGGAGUAUUUUAUUGUUUUUAGAAUGUUCUAGUAUUAGUGUAUUAUGUUGUCAAUUUCCAAUGUCAGUAUGAUAAACCAUGUUAUUAUUGUUCACACGAGACUUCAAUUCUGGGUCAUGUACAUAUUUGUCGGUUGAGAUAUACAUAACAAGGAUUGUCAUGAUACAUGAGUGACUUUUACUUUUCAUGACCAAUUCUUAUUUUACUCUUAAGAUUUUGUAAGGAAAAAUAAGCCACAUUGGGACAUCAAUGCAGUUAAUCCGUAUUUCNNNNNNNNNNNNNNNNNNNNNNNNNNNNNNNNNNNNNNNNNNNNNNNNNNNNNNNNNNNNNNNNNNNNNNNNNNNNNNNNNNNNNNNNNNNNNNNNNNNNAAAACAUUAAUUACCCAUUGACAAUAAUUGAUUAUUCAGCAAAGAAUCCUAGGUAUCAAUCAUUGAUAGCAAAUAAAUAGUGUACCUAACUAUGGGGUAAGCAGACAAGACAGCCCUUUUCCUUGUCUAAUCCCAGUUUGGUUGGUUCUAACAAAAAUAUUUAGUUUUUGGUUUGUUGGUACUACCAAGUUAACAACUUUUCAUUUAAAAAAAAGUUAACAACUUUUGCCUGCCACUAGAUCACAUGCUACCACACGAUUGAUUCUUGGGUAAGCAGAGUUUGUAGGACACACCCUUUUCUUAUCUCAUCCCAGUUUGGUUCAUGCUAACAGAAUUUUUUUACUUGUUAUUGUCCAGUUAUAGGCAGGUUCUUGGACCAGAUUACCAUUCUUGGCAUGCCACUAGGUUGAAGGUAUCCGCAACUAACUUGAACUAGGCUAAAGGAAGCUAGGAGACACUUGACAACGGGAUGACAGCAACAUUGAUGUAGCUGCUAUCUAUCCAUGAUUCAUCCCAUGUGGUUGCUAUUGUUGUUUGCACUCAUUGACCAUGGGCCCACCGGCCGUUGCCAGCAAAGGANNNNNNNNNNNNNNNNNNNNNNNNNNNNNNNNNNNNNNNNNNNNNNNNNNNNNNNNNNNNNNNNNNNNNNNNNNNNNNNNNNNNNNNNNNNNNNNNNNNNUGUCAUCAUCCUCUUGUUCUUCAUUCUUUUCCAUUAGAACCCCUCUUUCUCCGUACUUGGUCCAACAGUCAUAGCCGGACAUGAAACCAGACGUAAACUGGUGGACUUGAAUGACUUUUGGCUUAGAGUAAAUGCUAUCAUAUUAACGACAUAUUUUCUAAUUUUUCUAAUCUUCAAGCGCAUUGCAUCCAUAUUGAUCUUGUUAUCAUCGACAACAUCGGAGACAUACAACUCUAUUUUCAUCUUCUCUUCUUCAAUUCUYUUCAAAAAAAAAUUCAAAUACUCGUUUUCUUUUUCAACUAAAUUUAACUUCUCAACAAGAGGGUCGGUUGAAAAUUUCCGGUUCACAUACCUCCUUGAUAAAAAUAUCUAUGUUAACUUGAUGGGCAUAAUUGUCAUAAACGAGAAAUGCAACAAAUACUUAUAGAAGAGAAUAUACCACAUCCGAAUUAUAAACCGGACGAGGGCCGACGGGAUGGAUAUCAAGACCAUGGCACUAUGUAUAACAAACAAUCAUACAUGUAAGAACACUAUUUAAAUCAUACAAAUAAGAUUUUUGAAUAAAAGGAUAAGAACAAGAGGAUCACCAAGGUGGUGCCGGCGACGGGACGGUGCGGACGAUCGAUGGUGGUUAGGACGGGGACGGGAAGGCACUAAGUAAUCCACAUGUGCAAAAUAAGAAGUUAAUUUAAUCUCAGAUUGCAUAUAAAUCAAAUAAACUCCCACAAAAAUUAUUCCCCAAACUAAAACCACAAAUCACUAUACUUAUAGAGCAUUGCACGAGCUAAUCCAGCAANNNNNNNNNNNNNNNNNNNNNNNNNNNNNNNNNNNNNNNNNNNNNNNNNNNNNNNNNNNNNNNNNNNNNNNNNNNNNNNNNNNNNNNNNNNNNNNNNNNNAAGCUUAGGAUCCCAAUGUGCUGGAAAGACUAAAUGGUCCAGGCCAAAGGCCCGUUUUCUACUAGUGCGGUGGAGUUGAGUUCUCAAAGGGAGCCCUACCAGGGUUUGGGAGUUAUGCGGCGGCACUCAUGACUUGGAGCCGGCUCGGCAUAGCCUACAUCGACAACCAGCGAUGGGGACCCGAAGCGAAUUCCCUGGAAUCAGGCUACAGGGUCCCCUUCGGCAAGAUCAACGUCUUCAUCGGCAUGAUCGGGUCAUCCGUUCCUGAGCCGGACAUCUCCUCUGACAUCGUCGAGCCGGCCAGGUACGUUCAUCCAGUCAUAACACGGAAUCUGACCCGCCCAGUCUUUGUGGGAUUCACGCAGGGGUCGGAGGAGCCGGAACACGCGGCGGCUCAAGGAGUCACCCCCGUCAACUCUGACGACGAGUCAUCCAUGGGCGAUUCAGACUCCAUCCAGCCCCUCCACGGAGACGGCCUCGGAGGCCUGUCAUUGGCCAUGCAUCCGGAAAUCCUCGAUCGAACCCGCCGCCAGAUCGCAAUCUACAUGGCCGGGGCGACUCAACCCGCGCACAAUCCCGCCGGGGGCGAUGGAACCGGCGGGACGUCCAAAAGUGCGUCGGCAAUCUUGGUGGAAUUAGCGGCGGAAAUCACAAGACUAAUGUCAACCCCCCUGACGCCGGAGAACCAAGAAGAGAUAAAUGCGGAGUUAGCAAAAUUGAGGGAGGCGGUGGCGAAGGCCCAUCAGGAUGCUGAGACAGAGUCCGCCAGGAUGGAGACUCGACAAGCCCAGAUUACGGCCGAGAGGAUGCGAUUGAACAUCGACAACUGGCGGCUUGAAAGACAGCAGCGCGCAUCCGACGCCGUCCAUCAACAGAGACACCAGGGACGCCUGCCCCACGAUCUCAAUCCGACUCGCCUGUUCGACACUCCCCAAACACCCGGGAUGGGAGCCGCCCCAGCAGGAGGGUUGGGCCGCCCCCCUAACCCGCCGAUUCAGCCAACCGAGGGUCAAAUCCCUCGGUUCCGUACCCCUCGAGGCCACUUCUCGAACCCGGUGGAUAAUGUGCUUGCCGCCACUCGCCAUCUGGAGUCUCUCCCGAUCCACGGCAACACCCCAGCCGAGAUCGAGGCGAGGAACGCCAUCGAGAUGUUGAAAACGGCGGUGGUCCAAAACGCGCAGUUCUCGCACAGCCCCGAGCGAUUGCAUUCCACCCCCAGGCGAGUUACACCAGGGGCUGGCCGGAGGAUCAGCCAGCCGUAAACAGCGCCCCGCGACAGGACAACCCGCCUGAGCGGGACCCGCCGGGCAGAGGUCCCCCUAACAUUCAAGAGAUUCAGACUCCUCCCGUGGGAACUGGAGGGCGAGUGGGGGUGCCCUGUUUGUCCCUGGCCCUUCAAAACGAAAGGAUGCCCAAGGAUUUCAAAGGACCAAGAAAGGUGCCUAAUUACACACCAGAUCUCGAACCAACGUCUUGGAUCGAGGGCUAUGAGAUCGCCAUGGAUAUGCUCGACGUGAACGAGGCGGUUUGCGCCAGAUAUUUCACCAUGAUGCUCGAAGGAUCGGCACGCACUUGGUUGAAAAACCUACCCCCCCCCCCCAAUUCCAUCCAUUCCUAGGCCGAGUUGAAGGAGCGCUUCAUCAAAAACUUCCGGGGAACCUGCAAACGGCCGAUGACGAUCGUCGACUUACAACACUGCGUGCAACGCCCGGAUGAGUCGGCGCACCAUUGGUCGCGGCGAGUCCCGGAAAUCAUUCAUUCAUCGGAUGGCAUCACGGCAGCACAAGCUAUGCUUAUCCUCGAGCACAACUGCCACUAUGAACCGCUGUUCCAGAAACUGGGGCGACUCAAGCGGAAGGUUCAGGAUAUGGGCGAGCUGAUGGAUACCCUCACUAGGUACGCCGAGGCUGACGAUACCAAGGAUCCCGGCGAGAAUGGUAAAGCUAACUCACCCAAGAAGGGCGACUCGACUAAAAGCCACACCCGCCUCCAAGGCCGGAACCGUCACAACCAGGGGACCAACGGCAAGCGUAGGCCGCAUGAGGAGCCCUCGGAUCUGGUUGCCAACACCAAUGCCAAUGACGGCAAAACGAAGAAUCGAGGCUUCAGUGGGAAAAGACCGCGUAACUACGAAGAGCUACUUAAACGCCCAUGCCCGCACCACGCCACGACCGACGGCCCGGCGGGUCACUCUUGGGAGAACUGCUUCGUGAUGCGAGAAUUUCGGGCCGAGGCAAUCAAGAAGAGCCAGAGCGAAGAUCCGAACCGUCGCCAGGACCAACUCGCCGCACCCAACCAAAGGCACAACCCCUUCGGCGGUUUUCCCGAACAAGAGGCAUAGGGGGGCCCGCAGCCAGGCGGCGGCCAGUACCCGGUGCACCACCACUGGCAGUACAACUCGCCGGGAGUUUUCCAACAGCCGCCCCCACAGGGGGCCCCGCAGGAUCAAGAUGACCAUGGGGGCUUCCGCAAUAAUCCUAAACAGCUAAGUAAUGGGCAAUAUCAUGUUUUUACCACUAAUGCCUGCAGGCACGAUAAAAAGGUACAUCACCGGGCGUUCAGCGUGAUUGAACCGGCAGUUCCCAGAUAUCUCCAUUGGUCAGAGCAGACCAUAACAUGGAGCAGAGAGGAUCACCCGCCACGAAUAGAUAACCCGGGCGACCUGGCAUUGGUCGUGGCUCCCCAAGUGGGGGGAUACACUCUAUCGAAAGUAUUAAUGGAUGGUGGCAGCAGCAUUAAUAUCCUAUACUUCGACACCUUCCGGAGGAUGAAUCUGUUAGAGAAAGACUUGAUGCCUUCAACCACGGUUUUCCACGGCAUCGUCCCGGGCAAGUCGGCCUAUCCCAUAGGCCGGGUUAGGCUCUCAGUAGCGUUCGGAACUGCGCAGAAUUACAGGUCGGAGUCUCUGAUAUUUGAGGUGGUCAAACUAAAAAGCCCGUACCAUGCGUUGUUUGGGCGACCGGCUUACGCUCGGUUCAUGGCCCGCCCGUGCUACGUUUACCUCAAGCUCAAAAUGCCGGGUCCUAAUGGGCCUAUCAAAAUUGAUGGAGAUAGAAGGAUCGCAAAGGAGUGUGAGGAAGGAGACGCGGCCUAUGCGGAAGUCGCCUGCGCGGCAGAAGAACUCAAAAACCACCGGGCUAAUGUUAACCCGGCCGACAUGUCGCCGCUGAAGAAGCCAACUACAGAUUCCGAGUCGCCCCUCAAGUUCAAAGCAACGGAUGACACGAAGACAGUCGACUUCGUCCCUGGCGAUUCAUCCAAGCAGUUUACCAUUGGGACGGGUCUGGACCCCAAAUAGGAAAGCGCGCUCAUCGAAUUCAUCCGUGAGAAUCGGGACAUCUUCGCAUGGAAACCCUCUGACAUGCCGGGUGUACUGAGAGAAUUCGCUGAGCACCAUCUUAAUAUUGACCCAAAAUGCAAACCUAUCCAACAAUACCUUCGCAGGUUUAAUGAGGAGCGACGGAAGGCGAUUGGAGAGGAAGUCGCCCGUCUCUUAGCUGCUGGGUUCAUCGUGGAAGUUUUUCACCCCAAAUGGCUAGCUAACCCGGUGUUAGUACUCAAGAAUAAUGGCACGUUCCGUAUGUGUAUUGAUUAUACGGACCUCAACAGAGCUUGUCCCAAGGAUCCUUUCGCUCUUCCCCGCAUCAACCAAAUUAUCGACUCGGUGGCGGGAUGCGAACGAUUGUGCUUCUUGGACGCCUAUUCAGGCUAUCAUCAGAUCAAAAUGGCUGUGAAAGAUCAGGAGAAGACUGCUUUCAUAACCCCCUUCGGGGCCUUUUGCUAUGUAUCCAUGCCAUUCGGGCUCAAGAGCGCAGGGGCGACUUACCAACGCUGCAUCCAGAAUUGUCUUCAUAGCCAAAUUGGCCGCAACGUCCACGCCUAUGUUGACGACAUUGUGAUCAAAACUCGCCGGGAGGAGACACUUCUCGAGGAUCUUAAGGAAACCUUUGAUAAUUUACGGGUAUAUCAGAUGAAGCUAAACCCUACCAAGUGCAUUUUCGGCGUACCUGCGGGAAAACUACUGGGUUUCUUGGUAUCAGAGCGCGGCAUCGAGGCUAACCCGGAAAAAAAUGAAGCAGUUACUUCACUCAGCAAGCCGACGAACGUUAAUCAAGUUCAGCGAUUGGCGGGUCGUGUAGCGGCUCUCAGCCGUUUCGUGAGCCGCCUCAGAGAAAAGGCGAUUCCUCUUUAUCAACUGUUGAGAAAGUCUGACCGAUUCGGGUGGACAGAGGAGGCUGACGAGGCGUUUCAGGCCUUGAAACAUCAAUUGGUUAACCCGCCGGUCCUGGCGGCCCCGACUGAAAGGGAGCCUAUGCUCCUGUAUAUCGCCGCAAAUUCCAAAGCGGUCAGCGUGGCUGUGGUCGUCGAGAGAAAGGAGGAAGGAAAGGAAUACCCGGUACAACGCCCGGUGUACUUCGUCAGUGAGGUGUUAACCCUUUCCAAACAGCGAUACCCACAUUGGCAGAAGCUGGUCUAUGGGGUGUUCAUGGCGAGUCGAAAGCUCAAACAUUAUUUCCAAGAACAUCCGAUCACCGUGGUCAGUUUCGCACCCCUUGGUGACGUCAUCCAAAAUCGCGAGGCAACGGGGCGAAUCGCCAAAUGGGCAAUAGAACUUGGGUCGCAUCACAUACAGUAUACCCCCCGCACGGCCAUCAAGUCCCAGGCGCUAGUUGAUUUCGUCAAUGAUUGGACGGAGCUUCAGGUUCCGGAGGAUCGGCCUGACCUUACCUAUUGGACCAUUUAUUUUGAUGGAUCCAGGCAGUUGGAGGGUUCGGGGGCGGGUGUGGUGUUAAUAUCCCCCCAAGGAGAUAAGUUCUGCUACGUCCUCCGGCUCAUGUUCCCUUGCACAAAUAAUGCGGCAGAGUAUGAAGCCCUGCUUCACGGUUUGCGACUCGCAAAAGAGAUGAACCUAACCCGAGUCAGAUGCUUUGGGGAUUCAGAUUUGAUGGCGCAACAGGUUUCGGGCGCUUGGGACUCUCGAGAUCCUAUGAUGGCGGCUUAUAGGCGGGCUGUAUCUAACGUGGCGGGCUAUUUUCAUGGGUACCAGGUUGAUCAUAUUGAUCGGCGACUUAACGAGGCAGCCGACGCCCUCUCGCGACUCGGCUCACAGAGAAAGCCGGUUCCCCCUAAUGUGUUCCUGGAUGUCCUGCAUAAACCGUCCGUGACUGUUCCCACGGAGGAGGAAUUGGCGAUACCAGAUCCCGAGUCUCAGCUUGUGGCGGCUCUCCAUGUUGCUCCGGAUUGGGCUCUGCCUUACUUAGCUUAUCUUGCUCGUGGCGAGUUACCCACUGACGAAGUUCUGGCUCGCCAGAUUGUUCGGCUUAGCAAGUCCAUGGUUAUCAUUAAUGGCGAGUUAUAUAAGCGAAGCACUUCGGGACUCUUUCAGCGGUGCGUUUCUUCCGAGGAAGGGUGCGUGAUCCUAAAUUACAUCCAUUCUGGGGACUGCGGGCAUCACGCCGGGUCACGUUCUUUGGUAUCAAAAGCUUUCCGACAUGGUUUCUUCUGGUUGACGGCUCACGCAGACGCAGAAGACAUAGUGCGGCGGUGUGAGGGGUGCCAACGAUAUGGGAAACAGGCUCAUGUGCCGGCUCAAGAAUUAAGGAUGAUCCCCAUUACUUGGCCUUUCGCGGUCUGGGGGCUGGACAUGGUCGGUCCCUUUAAGGUGUCCUCCAACAAGAAAACUCAUUUGUUGGUGGCGGUUGAUAAAUUCACUAAAUGGAUUGAGGCGGAACCGGUCGGGGCUUGCGACGCGGAGACCGCGGUAAAAUUUCUGAAGAAGUUGAUUUUCCGUUUUGGAUAUCCACACAGCAUCAUCACGGACAAUGGUACUAACUUGUCCCAAGGAGCGAUGCUGGAUUUCUAUCGCCGCGAACACAUCCGGCUUGAUAUCUCGGCAGUCGCUCACCCGCAGUCGAACGGGCAGGCCGAGCGGGCGAAUCAGGAAGUCUUGCGAGGAAUCAAACCUCGGCUCAUACCUCCCCUAGAAAGAACUCCAGGAUGUUGGGUGGAGGAGUUACCUUCGGUAUUAUGGAGCAUCCGGACCACCCCGAAUCGGUCCACGGGGUUCACCCCUUUCUUUUUGGUAUAUGGAGCAGAAGCCGUUCUCCCUACCGACAUAAGGCAUGAUUCUCUUAGAGUCGUCACAUAUGUGGAGCAAGACAACGAGCUGACGCGUCAGGAUUCUUUGGAUGCUUUGGAGGAGGCACGCGACUUAGCAGCGGCUCGUUCGGCGAUCUAUCAGCAAGAUCUGCGGCGUUAUCAUAGUCGCCGAGUGAAGAGUCGGAUUUUCCAGGAAGGCGAUUUGGUGCUUCGACUGAUUCAAGAUCGGGCAGGCAUGCACAAACUUUCGUCCCCGUGGGAGGGGCCUUUCGUUGUCAGCAAAAACCUCCGCAAUGGCUCUUACUACUUGAUGGAUCUUCGGCCUGAUCGACCGACUACGGGGGCUGAGUCAACUCGCCCUUGGAAUAUUGCCCAUUUGCGGCCCUACUACACUUGAGUUCUUAAAACUCCAUGCUUUGUAAGUUUUUCAGUUUCACUAUGACGUAAUAUAAUGUUUCCCUAUCUUGGGGGCUUCUUUAAAAGAAAGCAAUGUCAUGACAUCCUGUUGCGACCUUAUGAGCUGACAGAACAUGCAUGAAGGGUGGGUGCACGAGNNNNNNNNNNNNNNNNNNNNNNNNNNNNNNNNNNNNNNNNNNNNNNNNNNNNNNNNNNNNNNNNNNNNNNNNNNNNNNNNNNNNNNNNNNNNNNNNNNNNNNNNNNNNNNNNNNNNNNNNNNNNNNNNNNNNNNNNNNNNNNNNNNNNNNNNNNNNNNNNNNNNNNNNNNNNNNNNNNNNNNNNNNNNNNNNNNNNNNNNNNNNNNNNNNNNNNNNNNNNNNNNNNNNNNNNNNNNNNNNNNNNNNNNNNNNNNNNNNNNNNNNNNNNNNNNNNNNNNNNNNNNNNNNNNNNNNNNNNNNNNNNNNNNNNNNNNNNNNNNNNNNNNNNNNNNNNNNNNNNNNNNNNNNNNNNNNNNNNNNNNNNNNNNNNNNNNNNNNNNNNNNNNNNNNNNNNNNNNNNNNNNNNNNNNNNNNNNNNNNNNNNNNNNNNNNNNNNNNNNNNNNAGCUUUCUGACUCGCCUUCCCCUGUCGCGACUGUAUGAGCCGACAAAAUUACUCGUGUUAUGGUUUGACCUUGGCAGACUAAGCACUGCAACCAUUUUUGAUAAGGAUUAACCAAAUAUUUUAACCCGCCUCAAGAGCGGUACAAGGGUUUUUUGCAGAUGUCAUCAAAGGAUAGUACUAGCUAUUACAUGGCUCUUGGGCCAAAUUCAAGGAAAAUUUAUUUCGCUAAGUCCUGGUGUGAGCUCUGACCAGCCUCGAUCUGUAAGUCGCCCAGAACCCAAUUGCAUCGGGACAAAGAGGCAAAAUCAUCUUCGUCGGUCAAGAUUGAUGCCAGGUCUGCUUCCCAGUCAAAGGGAUUUUUGGGUCGCCGAGGGAUCAGAUUGGUCACCACGAAGGUUGGCGGGCUGAUUUUCUUAUUCUUCUCAUCGUAAGCCGCCUGAUAUUUCGUCAAGUCAAGGCUGGCGGGGAGCUGAGUGGCGGCCAACCGAGAGUCUUUGACAACCUUCUGGUAGUCUUCUUCCAUGAAUUCCGAGCCAUCAUCUUUGAGCUGAGAGAAGCCGGCAACCACCUCUUCCAAAUUGAUUUCCGAAGCGUACGCCGAGCAGCGACUCAGAGCCGUCAGGACACCCUUUCGGGCGGCUGAUCGGGUUAACUCGCCGAUCUGGGGAGGCAGCGUGGAUAGAUAUUCAAGGACCUUUUUGAUGGAAGUUAUGGGCUCCUUUGCACCUAUCAUGGCUUUGACGGUCAGUACGCUGCCUGUGUACAGUUGUUCCGUCAGUGUAUAGAUCGCCUUCAGCAUCAACACGCAGUCAUCUUGAAGAUUGGCGACUCUCGAGCCUGGGAUUGAAUAACCGGUAAGUUAGCGGUAAGGAAUUUGCUCAAAGAAGAGGAUAGGAUUCGAAAGUUAGAUAAAAAGCUUACCAAAGAUGGCUUGUGUCAUGUUGGAAAUAUGGCGCUUUAAGCCGGAUAGCUCUUGCUGCACAGUCGCCAGUUUGGCUUCUGCUUUUUCGGCUCUUGUCAAGGCAGUAUUACGGUCAGCCCGAGUUCUUUCUAACUCGGCUUUGAGCUUUUCCAUUUCAACUAGAGCCAACUUGUAUUUGUCUUCUGAUUGAGUUCGGGCAUCCUGCUGGUCCGCCAAAUUUUUCUUUAAAUCACCCAGGGCCAGUUCGGUUUGGACAAGGCUUUCCUGUUUAAAUUUUUUUUUUUAAAAAAAACAAAGACAAGUCUCAGAAUUAUUGCAAGGCAAUACCCCUGACACUUGGGGGCUAAUGUAUAAUUUCUCAAAGGAAAUUAUACAGAAAUUGAGACCCGGCUCAUCAUUUUACUGAUGACCCGGCCCCUGGGGGUUACUGGUCGUGAAGCUUGUUAAAAAGACCCGGCUCAUCAUUUUACUGAUGACCCGGCCCCUGGGGGUUACUGGUCGUGAAGCUUGUUAAAAAGACCCGACUCAUCAUUUACUGAUGACCCGGCCCUUGGGGGUUACUGGGAAUAGUAAAGUAUAAAAUUUACCUCAUGCUUGUGAUUUAACAUCUUCAGCAGAUUCUUCUCCAUCUCAUAACUCGCUUCCAGGCGACUUGCGAAGCCGGAACAGAGUUCUUUGAAUUCCAGACCUGCGUAGUCAGAAAGUUUCGCCUUGGAAGGCCCAGACUCGGGAAUCGAUGGAGGAGGUGAUGCUGUGUGCUUGGAGAGGAUCGUCGUUGCCGGCUUGGAGAAACCAAAACCAGUAACGACUACAGCAUCUGGUUCUUCAGCUGUUGCCAUUACGACCGGUGAUCUAGGGACAUCCGGUGACCCUUUGGGCGACUCAGGAAAGUCCGCUUGAAUUGUCGGCUCGUCUUGACUCGGGCCAUCUUGGGUCGGAGUAGUUUUCAUUGGAGGCUCAGAAGUGGCGUCAGGGAUUGAUCCACUGGUCUUCCUUUUUUUGGCUUGCGCCCUAAUGAAAGAGAUAGGUAUGUUUAAAAAUUAAAAAGCAUGCUUUCUCAAGGAUCAAUAUAAGAAAAUUACCCUGGGACUCGGAUCAUUGGUGGAAGGGUCGACAUCACUGAGUCGCCAGAAGUAGGGGGAGAAUCCUGCAGAAUUUGUACAUCGAUGAUACAGGCGGGUUAUGAUUAUGAUCCAAAGCAGCACAAACAAUGGUUGCACAAAUAAGAAAAAGGGGGGAGGUACCUUGCUUGGUUUUCUUUUGCUCGUUGUUGGCAAGCCAGGUGUUAAGUCGCCGGAAUGACUUCGUGUUUUCCGUUUCGAGGCAUGCUGCAUUUUCUUCAGUAAGAAAUUUGGGUCCAAAUGGGCAUUUGGAUGUGAGAGAGGUACUUUCCCACAUAUUCGCCGGGCCGGCUUAGGUGGUGAAGGAGAUGAAUCGGAGGAGACGGAAAUUACCUCGACAGAAUCUUCCUGGCUUUCGUUAUCUUCAUUCUGUUACGAGAGGAGUAAGAGAUGUAAAUGAAAGUUGGAAAGGUGAUAGGCGGCGAGUGAAAAAGAGGACGGAUUGGUACCUCUGAGAGGGCGUCGCCGGCUUGGGAUUCGUCGACUUCAGAUGGCUCGGCCGCAGUGGAUUUACCUUUGCCUUUGCUCUUCUUGGAAGGCGGCUUAGCACUUUUCAUGGCUUGCUUCUUAGGUCUCCUAGACCAGAACUUGUCGCCUUUCUGGAAAGGGUAUGGCAUAAAGUCAUGAUGGCAGUAAGGCGGAUGAAAUAAAAUGGCGAGUUAGCUUUGGUUACCUUGGGUGCCGGGUUAAUCUUGCAGAAGGGCUUAAGGCCGAUUUGGCCGCACUUUGCUGCAGGUUCACCAGUCAAUUUCCUGAUGAUGGCGACGAUAUCUUUUUCCGUUAACUCUGUGUGGAAAUAGCAUCGGGGAUGAUCCAGAGUGCCGUCAAAAUCGCACAUCAGGCCAUCUCGGCGACUCAGAGGAAGGAUCCGCCAUUCGACCCAGCAGCGGAUCAGGUCGAUCCCGGUGAGACCAUUGUUAGUCAGAGAUCUCAACUCGGACAGAACUGGGAUAAAGUCCGACUCUUCUUCUUCGGUGAGCUUGCCAGGGAGCUUAAAGUUGACUGGAAGGCGGGUUGGCCUAUAGCCCAGCAGUUUGCUCUCGCCAGCAGGGGAUGUUUCCUUGCAGUAAAACCAAGAUUCACCCCAACCUUUGGGGUGGCUAGGCAUAGUGAGUGAAGGAAACGGACUGUCCCUGCGACGUUGAACGUUGACCCCGCCAAGCUCCAAACUGGGGCCAUUGUGGAACUCCGUCUGGCGAUUCAAGUGGAAAAAGUCCAAAACAGAGGGACGGAAGGCUCGAUCCGCAAAUAAGCUUCGCAAAGGACUUGGAAUUGACAUAGGUUGCUUAUGGAAUUGGGUCCCAAAUCCUGGAGUCGGACAUUCAUGAAGCUCAGGGCGUCCCUAAGGAAUUUGGAUCCUGGCGGCUUGAAACCCCGUUCCAAGUGUUCCACGAAAACUACUAUCUCCCCUUCCUUGGGGUUGGGGAGGUCCUCUCCUAACCCGGUGCGCCAUCCGAUGACAUCUUGGGGAUCCAAGCAGCCGGUUUUCACGUAAUUCGCCAACACAGCAUCGUCGACCUUGGUGGGAAGCCAGUCACUCUUGAAAACGGCACCCAUGCUACAAAUAGGUAAGAGUGGCAUUACAUGUCUCGAACAUUUACUAUGUGAAUCGGGGUCGGCUCUCCGCUUAACCCGCCGGACUCGAUAGCCGAGUCAGGCCGAUGUGGCGACUUAUCGGAGCAGGGCUAUUCUCGAGAGUAAUCUAUUCUUUACGAAACGCUAAGGAAAAGACGGAGUUCCCAAACAACUUUCUACAAACAGUGAAUGAGAAAUAGAUCUGUUGGACAGUUAUAAGGGUUCGUCAGCGUGGCUCAAACAUGGACGAUGUGCUGUCGGGGUGGUGCCUCAUGCUUAGAGAAACUAGUACAUCUAGAAAAACCGCAAGGGCGUAGAUGGAUAAGGCUGUCCAAAACGCCGGAGCCCUAAUGGCAUUUGGACCAAUCAGUUCGGAGGUGACAAUUUGUUGCAAGCAAAGGUUUUUUUCUCGGGAGCAUGGCAAUGGCGGAAGCAAGAACAGGGGACAAAUCUGCCCUUAAAAGGAGGGGAGAUGGUGGCCUAACCUGGAGAUCUUGGUCGGAGAAGGCCGACGAUGACCGAGGCUGUAGGAGAGUUGCGGGGACCCUCGGCGGCGACAGAGCUUGGCGGCGGCGACGGUUCGCAGGCGGCGUCGGAGCUCCUCGAGCAGCGACGGCUUGCGGGCGGCGCUGGAGUUCCUCGAGCGGUGGCGGUUUGCGAGUGACGCCGGAGUCCUCGAGCGGUGGCUGGUGGCGAACGGCACCGGAGUUCUUCGGAUAAGGGCAGAAGUUGCGGUCGGCGGCGGAGUCUUCGGGAUGCGUCGCUCGUAUUUCCUCGCUGUGAUGAUGGUGGAGAGAUCGACGGGACUGGUAGGUGGAUGCUGUCAGCCCUGUCCCCUCCGCCUAUUUAUCAGGAGGGGCGCGGGAAUCGAGGCGCCGUGAGCGGGAACCGUUGAGAAGGAAAAGAUUCGUUUUGAUGACGUCCGAAAAUUUUGGGAUAAUGAUGCGCCCGAAGGAUCCGUUGGGAUUGUGUUGGAGUUCCCAAAAAUCGAGGGUUAAGGAAGGCGCCGAGGGGAAAUGCGUUGGCGGUUCAAAGAUUUCUUUCAGUAUCGUUUGGCGAGUUAAAAUUUCUGGCGCAUGGAGAACGUCGAAGAGUGAAUCACCUUCAAUUAAAAAUAAAGCAUUGGCAUGAGGAUUCAAGUUAAUUUGGGGCCUAAUGUUGGGGAUAUUACCUAUUAAGUGACCCGCCGGAUAUGGGCCGGGUUACUUGUAGGGCGAUUCACCCUUUAAGGCUAGUUGGGCCUCAGCCUGGGCGGUUCAAAGUCCCAAGAUGGUUAUGAUCUAUGGCAGGUUUCCGGGUUUUGCAAGGCGGCGACUUAGAGACCGUAGUGUUCAUGAUUUGUAAAGAGGAAAGGACUCUUGUAAACCCUAAGGCCUCGACCUAUAUAUAAAGGCGAGUUUAGGGAGGAAGAGGUAGGUUAGAAAUCAUCGAGUACUAGGUAAGGCGAGUUACACCUUUCUUGUAAUCGAAUCCACAUCAAUACACACCAAGCAGGACGUAGGCUUUUACCUCCACACGAGGGGCCGAACCUGGGUAAAUCGCCGUAUCUCUCCCGCUUAACCCCUUUGAGUCGCCACCAAGGUGCGAUGGCUCCAGUACUAAGUCCUUUCACGAGGACAUCUGCCGUGACAAAACCACGACACGUUUGGGCCAUUAAUCCCGGGUUGAGCCACCNNNNNNNNNNNNNNNNNNNNNNNNNNNNNNNNNNNNNNNNNNNNNNNNNNNNNNNNNNNNNNNNNNNNNNNNNNNNNNNNNNNNNNNNNNNNNNNNNNNNNNNNNNNNNNNNNNNNNNNNNNNNNNNNNNNNNNNNNNNNNNNNNNNNNNNNNNNNNNNNNNNNNNNACCAACCGGGACUAAAGAGGUAUACCAAACGGUUGCCACCACUACGGCAGGGCACGUGUUAGGCUUUUAGUCCCGGGUUAAGCCACCAACCGGGACUAAAGAGGUAUACCAACGGUCGCCCCACUACGGCAGGCCACGUGUUUAGUCCUUUAGUCCCGGGUUGAGCCACCNNNNNNNNNNNNNNNNNNNNNNNNNNNNNNNNNNNNNNNNNNNNNNNNNNNNNNNNNNNNNNNNNNNNNNNNNNNNNNNNNNNNNNNNNNNNNNNNNNNNNNNNNNNNNNNNNNNNNNNNNNNNNNNNNNNNNNNNNNNNNNNNNNNNNNNNNNNNNNNNNNNNNNNNNNNNNNNNNNNNNNNNNNNNNNNNNNNNNNNNNNNNNNNNNNNNNNCGCGUAGCCCUUUAGUCCCGGUUUGGGACACGAACCGGGACUAAAGGCUCCUUACGGGUCGGGACUAAAGCCUCGAGGGAGGCAUUGAGAAUUGGGGCGACGUGGCCGGGCCUUUAGUCCCGGCCCAGAGGCACUCCGGGACUAAAUGGUCCAGGCCAAAGGCCNNNNNNNNNNNNNNNNNNNNNNNNNNNNNNNNNNNNNNNNNNNNNNNNNNNNNNNNNNNNNNNNNNNNNNNNNNNNNNNNNNNNNNNNNNNNNNNNNNNNCGUCACCCCUAUGUCGGAGAGCAUUCUCAGAUACUUUUCAAUGAGUGUCUUUGUAUGAACAUCGAGGAUGUUGAUCAGCUCUCUUCUUAGAAUUUCUCAACAUCGUUUGCUAAAAACACAGAAGAUUUACUAUUAUUUAUCCUCUUAUUAUUUAUCCUCUUACCUGAAGCCUGACAAUAAGAAUUCAGUAAUUUGACACCUCCAUUGCCCCUCAACCAUUAGCCUUGAAAAAUACCAGGCUAUCAUCAACAAAGAGAAGAUGGUUUACUAGAGGCGCCGAGGGGACCACCUUAAUUCCACCAACAUGCAAUGACUGAACUUUGGAUUUGAGGAGACUUAAUAGGCCGUCUUGUGCUAAUAAGAAAAGGUAGGGCGAUAUUGGGUCUCCCUGCCGAAUGCCUCUUGUAGUUUUAAAAUCCUCCAGUUUCUCCCCAUUAAGGAGAACUGAGGAAAAUACCGAUCUUACCAUGCUCACUACUCUAUCUACCCAAAUGGCCGAGAAGCCCAACUUAAUCACUAUAGGUAUUUGCACUCGAAUCGGUCAUAAGCCUUCAUCAUAUCAAACUUCAGCUUACAAUGGCGAUGCUUAAGUGCUUUGUUCCUCUUCAUGAAAUGAAGGCAUUCAUACUCCAUUAUGUUGUUAUCUGUAAUGAGCCUUCCNNNNNNNNNNNNNNNNNNNNNNNNNNNNNNNNNNNNNNNNNNNNNNNNNNNNNNNNNNNNNNNNNNNNNNNNNNNNNNNNNNNNNNNNNNNNNNNNNNNNCAAAAUCGCCACGACACCUGAAGAGGCCGCGGCUGCCAAGCAAGAUGGAGCAAAAUCUUCUUCUGCUGCAUCAAAGUACAAUGCCAUCUCUCAACUGGAAACUAGUAAAGGUUCUUCUACCUCCCCUGUCAAGAAAGAAGCCGCCGCUACUUUAGCCGCUACGCAUUAUGCUGCCGCUGAGAAGUCCAUCAAGAAGGCCGAAACUGCCAGGACCCCUGAAGAGGCCGCGGCUGCCAAGCGAGAUGCAUCAAAGUCUGUUGCUGAUGCAUUGAAGUUUGGCGCCAUCUCUCGGCAAGGAGCUGGUACAAGUUCUUAUACCUCCCCCAACGAAAAAGAAGCCACCAAUGACUUAGCAGCCAUGCACAUUGCUGCUGCCAAGAUGUUCACCAAAAAGGCUGAAACUGCUACCACACCUGAAGAGGCCGCGGCUGCCAAGCGAGCUGCAGCCAAGUCUACUGCUGCUGCAUCCAAGUAUGGUGCCAUUUCUAAGCAAGCAGCUCGUACAAGUUCUUCUACCUCCCCCAAGAGGGAAGAAGUUGUCGAGAAGUCCAUCAAGAAGGCUGAAACUGCCACCACAUCUGAAGAUGCCAUGGCUGCCAAGAAAGAGGCAACAAAGUCUACAACUGCCGAAUCAAAAUAUGGUGUAAUCUCUCAGCAGAAAGCUAGUGUAAGUUCUUCUACCUCCCCUAGCAGAAAAGAAGCUGCCACUACCUUAGCUGGUGUGCACAUUGCUGCUCCCGAGAAGUCCAUCAAGAAGGCUGAAACCGCCACCACGCCUGAAGAGGCGGCAUCCGCUAAGAAGGAGGAUCCUGCGAAACCUGUGGCCGAUGCAAUGAAGUACGGAGCCAUGUCUCAGCAGGCUGCCGGCCAAAAUGGUGCUUGAGUGGUGCCUUAUACACGUAUUCAUGCGCAACAUCAUCUGCAUACUACCAUGCAUGCAAAAUAGCAUUGGAUAUCCCAUUAUGCUAAUUCUCAUGCAUGCACGCUUUGUUUAAAUAUUUCCAUUGCGAAUCAUGUUGUAAUGUCUUGCUUGUUUUACUUCUAGUGGUAAGACACGCCUGACUUGUUAAAAACAAUACAAUGAUCGAUGUAUGCAUCUGAAAAUUAAUAAUAUGAGUUCCACCAUAAUUUGUGUUUUUUUGUCAUAAUUUGGGUGCAGUCAAUGCACAUAUCCAAUACACAAAACUGGAGGAGUCAAUGUAUUUUGGCACCAUGGAGCCGUGGAUCCUGUUGUAAUGUCUUGCUUGUUUCACUUUUAGUAGUAAGAUAGCUUGACUUGCUUUAAAAACAUACAAUGAUCGACGUAUACAUGCGUUAUCCAAAUCCACCGUAAUUCACAUUUUUGUCAUAAUUUGGGUGCAAUCAAUGCGCAAAUCCAAUACACAAAAUUGAAGAAGUCAAUGUAUUAUGGCACCAUGGAUCGACAUAUAAUGAUAUAAUUUAUACAUCACUACUUUAGAAACAACUUAAGGUUUCAUCAUACAUUUGCCCUUCCUCCAACCUCCCUACCUACCUCCUUCAUGCUUUGAUCUUUUUCUCCCAUCUUUGAUUUUGGGACAAUUGGAUAAAUGCCACUCGAAUAUGACGAUUCUGAGAAAUGUCAAUGUAAUUUCCAAACUUUGAAAAAAGCCGUUGCAAUUUUUGGAAAACUCUAAAAACACCACUGCCGACUUCAAAAAAUUCCACUCGAAAUGGCAUCUUUCAAAGCGUGCUCGGAAUCACCAGAAUUCGANNNNNNNNNNNNNNNNNNNNNNNNNNNNNNNNNNNNNNNNNNNNNNNNNNNNNNNNNNNNNNNNNNNNNNNNNNNNNNNNNNNNNNNNNNNNNNNNNNNNNNNNNNNNNNNNNNNNNNNNNNNNNNNNNNNNNNNNNNNNNNNNNNNNNNNNNNNNNNNNNNNNNNNNNNNNNNNNNNNNNNNNNNNNNNNNNNNNNNNNNNNNNNNNNNNNNNNNNNNNNNNNNNNNNNNNNNNNNNNNNNNNNNNNNNNNNNNNNNNNNNNNNNNNNNNNNNNNNNNNNNNNNNNNNNNNNNNNNNNNNNNNNNNNNNNNNNNNNNNNNNNNNNNNNNNNNNNNNNNNNNNNNNNNNNNNNNNNNNNNNNNNNNNNNNNNNNNNNNNNNNNNNNNNNNNNNNNNNNNNNNNNNNNNNNNNNNNNNNNNNNNNNNNNNNNNNNNNNNNNNNNNNNNNNNNNNNNNNNNNNNNNNNNNNNNNNNNNNNNNNNNNNNNNNNNNNNNNNNNNNNNNNNNNNNNNNNNNNNNNNNNNNNNNNNNNNNNNNNNNNNNNNNNNNNNNNNNNNNNNNNNNNNNNNNNNNNNNNNNNNNNNNNNNNNNNNNNNNNNNNNNNNNNNNNNNNNNNNNNNNNNNNNNNNNNNNNNNNNNNNNNNNNNNNNNNNNNNNNNNNNNNNNNNNNNNNNNNNNNNNNNNNNNNNNNNNNNNNNNNNNNNNNNNNNNNNNNNNNNNNNNNNNNNNNNNNNNNNNNNNNNNNNNNNNNNNNNNNNNNNNNNNNNNNNNNNNNNNNNNNNNNNNNNNNNNNNNNNNNNNNNNNNNNNNNNNNNNNNNNNNNNNNNNNNNNNNNNNNNNNNNNNNNNNNNNNNNNNNNNNNNNNNNNNNNNNNNNNNNNNNNNNNNNNNNNNNNNNNNNNNNNNNNNNNNNNNNNNNNNNNNNNNNNNNNNNNNNNNNNNNNNNNNNNNNNNNNNNNNNNNNNNNNNNNNNNNNNNNNNNNNNNNNNNNNNNNNNNNNNNNNNNNNNNNNNNNNNNNNNNNNNNNNNNNNNNNNNNNNNNNNNNNNNNNNNNNNNNNNNNNNNNNNNNNNNNNNNNNNNNNNNNNNNNNNNNNNNNNNNNNNNNNNNNNNNNNNNNNNNNNNNNNNNNNNNNNNNNNNNNNNNNNNNNNNNNNNNNNNNNNNNNNNNNNNNNNNNNNNNNNNNNNNNNNNNNNNNNNNNNNNNNNNNNNNNNNNNNNNNNNNNNNNNNNNNNNNNNNNNNNNNNNNNNNNNNNNNNNNNNNNNNNNNNNNNNNNNNNNNNNNNNNNNNNNNNNNNNNNNNNNNNNNNNNNNNNNNNNNNNNNNNNNNNNNNNNNNNNNNNNNNNNNNNNNNNNNNNNNNNNNNNNNNNNNNNNNNNNNNNNNNNNNNNNNNNNNNNNNNNNNNNNNNNNNNNNNNNNNNNNNNNNNNNNNNNNNNNNNNNNNNNNNNNNNNNNNNNNNNNNNNNNNNNNNNNNNNNNNNNNNNNNNNNNNNNNNNNNNNNNNNNNNNNNNNNNNNNNNNNNNNNNNNNNNNNNNNNNNNNNNNNNNNNNNNNNNNNNNNNNNNNNNNNNNNNNNNNNNNNNNNNNNNNNNNNNNNNNNNNNNNNNNNNNNNNNNNNNNNNNNNNNNNNNNNNNNNNNNNNNNNNNNNNNNNNNNNNNNNNNNNNNNNNNNNNNNNNNNNNNNNNNNNNNNNNNNNNNNNNNNNNNNNNNNNNNNNNNNNNNNNNNNNNNNNNNNNNNNNNNNNNNNNNNGAUGUCAAGGAUUCAAUUAAUCCCGUAUACGAUUCCCUUUGUCUGUCGGUAUAGAACUUGACCGAGAUUCGAUCGUCGGUAUACCUAUACCUUGUUCAAUCUCGUUACCAGUAAGUCUCUUUACUCGUUCCGUAGCACGUCAUCCUGUGACUAACUCCUUAGUCACAUUGAGCUCAUGAUGAUGUUCUACCGAGUGGGCCCAGAGAUACCUCUCCGUCACACGGAGUGACAAAUCCCGAUCUCGAUUUGUACCAACCCAACAGACACUUUCGGAGGUACCCGUAGUGCACCUUUAUAGUCACCUAGUUACAUUGUGAUGUUUGAUACACCCAAAGCACUCCUACGGUAUCCGGGAGUUGCACAAUCUCACGGUCGAAGGAAAAGAUACUUGACAUUAGAAAAGCUUUAGCAUACGAACAAUACGAUCUAGUGCUAUGCUUAGGAUUGGGUCUUGUCCAUCACAUCAUUCUCCCAAUGAUGUGAUCCUGUUAUCAAUGACAUCUAAUGCCCAUGAUCAGGAAACCAUGAUCAUCUAUUUGACUAACGAGCUAGCCAACUAGAGGCUUGCUAGGGACACAUUGUGAUCUAUUUAUUCACACAUGUAUGACUGUUUCAUGUUAAUACAAUUAUAGCAUGAAAAAUAGACGAUUAUCAUGAACAAGGAAAUAUGAUAAUAACCAUUUUAUUAUUGCCUCUAGGGCAUAUUUCCAACAAACCCAACUCCCACACUAUCGAUGGAGGAAUCAUUGGUGCAAUGAGGAAGCAGAAGGGGGCGCGAUACUUACAUAGGCAGGUCACUCACUUUGCCUCACCGACUAGUAUGAGGAUCCAACAACUCGCAUGAUCCGGAGAUCCAUGAUUUGCAAAAUUUCCUCCCAAACCUUCGAUGCCACCAACGGAGGAGGAAGCAGAGGGAUUUACCGAUCUAUAGACCGAUAAGAGAAGAAUGUUGUCCUCAAAUUAGCAGCACCAUUAAGGUGAAGGAUGAACGGAUGAUUUAUUUGACCCAUCGUGAUGAAUCCUUACCCAUUAUGUCACCGUCAUGGACUAUAGCUACCCUAUCUACACAAUGUACCAAGAGAAACAGAUCCCCACCACCUCCACCAUCGAAGCAAGCGGAGGAGGCAGGGAUUUGCACCCUCACCGAUGGGAUGAGGGGAUUUGCUCGACCGUCCCCUUUUAGUCUCUCUUAGUAGGAAAGUAAACGAAACCCUUAUCAAAAAUACCGUCAACCUCAACCAUGUGUAUUUAUUGUGAACCAAUCUGAAGCUUUAUGGUUAAAAGGAUAGUGAUAAGUUCUAGACUUGCACUUGUGCUCGCAUUUUCCUGAUUUAAUUAUUUCAAACUGUCCAACAAUGUGCGCUCAAUGGGAGGAGAUGUCCUUGUCGACUACGAAGGCGUCUAUGGCGACUUCAUCAAUCUUUGAGAUGCCCAUAAAGAUAAUAUGUUGUAUUUAUAGGGUGAAUGUGUAUGUAUAAGUGUGUGCAUUAACUUUGACCUUUCUUGUCUUGUAAUACGAGAAAAUGAAAGUUCAGUCACUUACAACACCACGGAUGAAAAUUAUAAAAUAUGCCAAUAGUGAGCGGAGAGGCGCACAUGAUAUAUUCUCCCUAGUGGGUUGAGGUUACAACGGAUGAAUACAAGAAGGAUUCAAACAGAUGAAUUUUUUAAUAUGAUAUGAAUACAACAGAAGGAUUCAACCUCCUUGCCUCCCUCUCCGAUGACUUCCUGCAACGGGUGCACAGGUUUGACACCUCUCGUGCCAUUUCGGCCCACCUUGAGGAGAUGUACAACACCCACUGUUGAGCAACUAUUGUGAAAAUCAAGCUGGACCUCGCAAAGUUCCGGAAGGGGAAACCUUCCAUGGCGGACUACUUCGCCAAGAUUUGCUCCUAUGCUGAUCAACUAGCUGCUCUUGAUCAUGCCAUGCGGGAUGAGGACAUCAUCAACACCGUCAUAACCGUCCCCGACAGCGAGUACGAUCCCCUCAUCACUACGACAACCACUCGCAUCAAUGUCAUGACUCGUGGGGAGUUCUACUCCCACACCAUCGCCUUCGAACGUCGGUGCGAGUACAACGCAUCGUGCCUUCAUCUCCAAGCUGGUGGCUCCUCCAUCAACUAUGUCGCCCAGGACAAGACAACACCAACCCUCCCAACAACAACAACAACAACAACCAGGGUCAGGGAAACUACCAUGGCAAGGGACGCUUUAACUCUGGCGGCGAUCACGGCGGCUACAACAGCAAUUCUCGCUCUGAUGACCACGAGAACUGCAACGGUGGUAGGAAUGGAUGACACCGUGGCGGUGAUCGUGGUGACUACGCUGGCAGCGGUGACAACCAUGUCUAGUGUAAGAUGUGUCGUGGCCCUGGGCACUAUGCGUGGGAAUGCGGUCAGCCCUACAACCAUGCCUUUCAGUCGCAGCAAUCCAGGAUGGCUGCCCUUACUGCUGCCUCUCCUCCGUCGAUCCUAGGUGAUCCCGCCUGGUUCACUGACACAGGGGCCACAAAUCACAUCACCUCCGAUAUGGAUCGCCUUAGUGUGUGGGAGAAGUACCCAGGAAGGGAUCGUAACCACAUGGCUAAUGGCUCAGGUUUGCACAUAACAUCCUUCCUACACCUUCCGCAAAUCAUAAACUUCGCAAAAUCUUGCAUGUUUCUAAUGGUGAUAAGAAUCUUCUUUCAGUAAAUCGUCUUGCCAUUGAUAAUCGUGCUUAUCUAAAAUAUUAUCCUACUCAUUUCUUCUGAAUGAUUUGAUCACCAAGAGGGUUCUUCUUCAAGGAAGAUGUGAAAAUGGGCUUUAUCCCAUUCGUCCAUCUCCUUUCCGCGUUUUUUCUUUGGUUCGACUCUCGGCUGAAGACUGGCACGCUAGGCUCGACCAUCGCUCCAUUCAAGUCAUUCAGCUAGUCUUAGUGUCAAAUAAGUUAGCAUCCUCGAGUCGGUCAAUUACCCAUGUGUGUAAUAUAUGUCAACAAGGCAAAGAACACCAACUUCCCUUUCCUAGAUCGUCAAGUGUUUCCUCUUUUCCUUUAGAACUUGUUUAAUCGGAUGUGUGGUGACCCGCCAAAACUUCAUCUGGUGGGUUCCAGUAAUAUGCCUCAUUUAUUAAUGAUUAUAGUAAGUUGUGUGGAUUUAUCUUCUCAAGCGAAAAUGUGAUCUGUUUGAUGUCUUUCGACUUCCUGGUGCAUGUUGAAAUCCUCCUUUCUCGCAAAAUAUUAUGUGUUCAAUAAGACUAGGGCGGGGAGUACGAAAAACUUAGCAACACAUUCUUCCGUCAACUUGGUGUCUCGCAUCAUGUAUCAUGUCCACACACACAUCAACAAAACGGUUCUACUAAAAGGAAACACCGUCACAUCGUUGACAUGGGGAUGUCCCUCUUAUCACAUGCGUAUAUGCCUCGACGGUUCUGGGAUGUGGCAUACCUUUUGGUGUGUUAUCUUAUCAAUCGACUUUCCACCGGUGUUAUUGGUAAUUCUAGUCCUAUGAAAAAGUUGUUUAACAACAAACCUGACUAUACGUCACUCCGUACAUUUGGUUGUGCGUGUUGGCCGAAUGUACGCCCAUACAACACUCACAAACUUGCCUUUCGAUCUCAACAGUGUGUGUUUGUUGGCUAUAGCAUCCGCCACAAAGGGUUUAAAUGGGUUCAUCUACCAACAGCUCAUGUUUACAUCUCUCACGAUGUUAUCUUUGAUGACAAAGUUUUUCCAUUUGCUAGUACCACCAACUCUCCCACACCGCCUAGAGUUGCAGAACAUGCCAUUCUCUUAUUUCCUCAUGACCACAUGAACUAUUUUGCGUACUAAUACAGAUGUCGGAACCUCCUCGGCGUAGAAGCUCCCCGGUGCCCUUGGAUCCUAGCAGGAUCCUGGCACAUGAUCCGACAUUGAUCCGGUCUCGGAUCAUGCGCCGCUAGACGAGACCGACGCGGGAUCUCCCGUUCUAAGUCACCGCAGUGCGCCUUCUCUCGCAUUGGCCCACGUGGCGCUCACGGGUGGGCCGGUUUCCUCGCUAGCCAGCCCACCCUUCCCUGACCGGCCUGCCUCACCACACGCUUCAACUCCGCUCAUGGUUCCGUCGCCUCUGGAGGGCAUGCCUUCGUCGUUCACCUGCGUCUUGGCGCCCGAGGCAGAUAUGUUGCAUGCUUCUCCAUCUUGUCCUGUAGGCGAUGCGGGACCGGAUCUUCUGUGCUGCCUGGUGGGUCGAAAGCCCCACCUCUUCACACCAUGGUGACCCCCGCGCGUGACAACACACGCAAAGUGCUUCAGCGCACAGAGGACACGACCAACUACGACCCAUCUCGUCGUGCGUUUAUUGGCUCUAGGGAACAUGUUGAUCAUCGUGAAGCUGUUACGUGUCUAGCUUGUCAUAUGGCCAUGCAACUUGAUCUUGAUGCACUUCAUCAGAAUGAUACAUGGCCCCUGGUUGCGCCUCCACCCAAUGUCAACGUGAUUUACUGUAAAUGGGUCUUCAAGAUCAAGAACAAGGAUGAUGGUUCAGUUUCUCGUCACAAGGCUCAUCUUGUGGCCAAGGGGUUUACACAAAAGUAUGGACUUGAUUAUGAUGACACGUUCAACCCGGUUGUCAAGCCUAUCACUUUCGCCUCGUUCUCUCCAUUGUUGUCUCUCGAGGUUGGUGUCUCCGAUAGUUGGAUGUUCAAAAUGUUUUUCUCCAUGGAGAUCUGCAGGAGGAGGUAUACAUGCGUCAACCCCGUGGCUUUGUCGAUCUCUAUGCUCCUCGUCAUCUGUGUAAGCUCUGGAAAGCUAUCUAUGGACUCAAGCAAGCUCCCUGCACAUAAUACUUCAGGUUAAGCUCUCAGGUUCUUCAGUUUGGUUUUGUGGCAUCCAAGGAAGACACAUCCUUGUUUGUCUUUCAUCAUGUUCAUGUCACCAUGUUUAUGCUAGUCUAUGUGGACGAUAUUAUUGUGGCCAGCUCGUCGCCCACUGCUACUACCAAGUUGUUGGCUGAUCUUCAGGCAUAGUUUGCUCUCAAAGAUCUCGAUCCCUUGCAUUUUUCCUUGGGGUUGAGGUGAAGUCCUCGCCAAGGGGGAUUUUCCUCUCUCAACAGAAGUACACUGUUGAGACAUUCUUCAUCGUGCUAAUAUGGAAAACUGCAAGGUUUCUUCUACACCAAUGUCCUUAAGUGAGAAAAUCAACAAGGGCUAUGGCGUUCUUCUCUCUCAGGAUGACAGUACCACAUAUCGCAGUCUGGUUGGUGCACUCCAAAGGCUCAUACUUACCAUGCCAGAUAUUUCCUUUGUUGUGAAUUGUCUCUAUCAGUUUUUGCAUGCUCCAACAACUGGACAUGUUUUGGCAGCCAAAAGGAUUUUGAUAUACUUAAAGUAUACACGCGGUAUGGUUCUCUCUCUACGGAAGUCUCCGUCAGUGGUGUUAAGUUGUUUUUCAUAUGCAGACUGGGUUAGGUGCGGUGAUGAUCGCAGAUCUACAAGUGGGUUCACUGUCUUUCCUGGUCCUUAUCUUGUGUCCUGGAGCUCACGGAAACAGGCCACUGUUUCUAGAUCAAGCAAGGAGUCUGAAUACAAAUCUCUUGCAAAUGAUACGACUGAGAUAAUCUGGAUACAAUCAGUCCUUGGAGAGCUUGGAGUUUUCAUGUCACGCCCUCCUUAAUUGUCGUGUGACAAUAUGGGCGCCACGUAUCUAUCUGCUAAUCCGGUAGUCCAUGCAACGACUAAGAAUAUAGAAGUGGAUUUUCACUUUGUUCGAGAAAGAGUUGCAGCCAUGGCACUGGAUGUUCGGUUCAUCUUCUUCCAAAGAACAAGGUGCGGACAUAUUCACGAAGCCCUUAGCUGAGACACCGUUUGUCUCAAACAGAUACAAUCUGAACCUUCUUGAAGGAAAUUUAGAUUGAGAUGGGAUGUUAAGCAGAGUAUAUAGUUGAACCUUAGUAUUUUGAUUGUACUUAUCUCCUGUAACUACCUCUGUAAUCUUGUGCCCUAUCUGCACCCUCUACAUACAUCCCGAGGUCACCGUUUCGGUUGUUCAUAAAAGAGAUGCACCCUAUAUGGUAUCCUAGCCAAGAGGUCUUGAGUUCAAGACCCUGCUAACACAGUAUUAAAACAAAAAAAGAUUCUGUGACCUACAUUGAAUCCACAUCUAAGGAUAAAUAUAGCCUAGACAUGAGGGGGAGUGUUGAAACAUAUUUCCCACCUCCUUUUAUCAGUUCACACUUUUGGAUGAGUUGACUGGAGCAUGAAUUCAAUAAUCCAUGCCCAUCGGCAUUAUGACAUUAGUUUGGGGCACCCAUCAGCUGCAGCUAUGCAACAAUUAAUAGAAUAUUUUCUGUCUCAGAUCUCCGGGCAACAUAAGAAGGCCGACACAUUCUUCUUUACCAGGGUAGCACAUUUUAAGCACAGUAGCACGUUUUACAAACUUAAACUACAUAUGGAAGGAAUGUCAAUCUGUAGUUUAUAAGGGUUUACGCUGAGGUGAAAAGCCAAAUCAAUGAUAUUAGAAAUUAAUAAAAGAGAUACACCCACCUAGAGACAUGUUGCCGUUACAAAUGAAGCUACCAUGGGAAGGGCAAGCGGGUUUGUUCCUCGUAUAUAAAUUAAAGCCAAAUCUAUCUGCCCCAGUCGAGUAUUCCUACGUGAUUAAAUUGGAGCACAACCUUUGGAAAUUAUACCCAAUUAUGAGUGAUGAGCAUUAGUGUAAUAUUUUUGUUUUCACUCAACAAAUGCUAUUGGUAAUCAUGUCAAUCCUCAACUAUAGACACUUGCACCUUUUAUGCAAGUGUUCUUUGUCUUUUUCUUUUGGAUUGAAAUGAGUGUGCCGUGAAUCACAAAUAUCUUUCACGAGUCUUAGAAAGUGAAUAUAUAUCAAUGGAUGGAAUAGUAGUGGAUAGUUGCCCCUACUGAAUCAUUGAACACAAUCACAAGUUCACGACCCAAUGUUGCAUCACAUAACUAAAUUACUGAAAACAGAAAUUUGCUACUUUUGUUAGGAUGUAGAAUGAGCCAAAUAAGCUUUCAGUGUCGUGCAUAGACUUAUAACUCUGUUGAGAGCCACAAACUGGGCUAAACUUCAAGCUUUCACUACUCCAGAAAAGCCUAGCAGUAACACGAAUUUUCCCCAUCACUACAGGAAAAAACUUAUAAACCGAGUGCCCGAAACACUUGCCUUAUACGUGAAAACACUCGGUUUAUAUAUAAACCGAGUGUUUUCAUCACACGGUUUACUAGGGAUCGGGCUAUCAGAUGUAAGCCGAGAGCCAUAGCAAAAACACUCGAUUUAUAUAUAAACCGAGCAGUGAACUGUAAGCCGAGUGCCACCAGGCACCCGGUUUAUACCUGACGGCAUCCCGACCCUAACGGCAAGCCACAUCAUCGUUUAUAUAAACCGAGGGCCAACAUUUACACGGUUUAUAUAUAAACCGAGUGCCAACGGUCGCACGGUUUAUAUAUAAACCGAGUGCCAACCGUCGCACGGUUUAUAUAUUGCCAAAUGCGCGCGCACAGUUUAUAUAUAAACCGAGUGCCAACAGUGCACACGAUUUAUACAAUUUUACAUAUUAGCCGAGCUGCACUAUAAACCGGGUGCCACACCAUUAGCGAGGGUCACGCCAUAUAUGCUUAUAAUCCGGGUGCCAAGCCUUGGGACACAUGGUUUAUAUCCUAUAAACCGGGUGCCAAGCCCUGGGACACACGGUUUAUAUGCCGAACUGCCUUAUAAACCGGAUUUCAAGCCCUGGGACACACNAGCAGCAACAACAUAUAUAUCCAACUACAAUAUAUUACAAGUUCACCAAACAAUAAGUUUAGAGUAUAUACACGCAUACAUAUCCAAUAUAGUAUCACAAAAGCAUGCGUACAGCAGCAACAAGAAUUCACAAAUGAAAGGAUGCAUACAUAUUCANNNNNNNNNNNNNNNNNNNNNNNNNNNNNNNNNNNNNNNNNNNNNNNNNNNNNNNNNNNNNNNNNNNNNNNNNNNNNNNNNNNNNNNNNNNNNNNNNNNNNNNNNNNNNNNNNNNNNNNNNNNNNNNNNNNNNNNNNNNNNNNNNNNNGGAUGCAUACAUAUUCAACAUGAGUUCGAAGUCCACGGAUGCAUACAUAUUCAACAAGGGUUCACAACAACAUGCCUACAUAUGCAACACGAGUUCACAAACGAAAUCAUGUGUUCCAAGUUCACACCAAGCAUGAGUUCAACCUAAAAUAUGCAAUGAGCUUCCACCGCAGCAUGUAUGCCAACCAUCGGUGACAUCCUCAAUGCAAACCUAUAAAUUCAUUACCACACGCAUAAGUUUCCAAAGUUAAAUUGCAAAUGAUUGAUCAGACACAAGAUUCAACAAGCAUCCACAACCUAAGAAUUAUGAAUAAUAUAAGGAUCAACACUUGUGGGCUUGUAUGAAUAAUAUAAGAAGUAUGAAUAAUAUAAGGAUCAACAAGCAGCAAUGCACAAGUUGUGAGUGGAGGCACAACCAACGGCAAGACACAAGCAUCAACAAUGCACAAGCAUAGACAGUGGGAUCCAAUCAGGCUUGAUGAGCAGGUUUACAGGGUUGAGUUUCCGACUAAGGAGGAUCUUACCAAGCUGCUAAAGUUUGGGAUGAGUAAAGUUCCGAACAUCACUUGUAUUUUGGAAUUUGAUGCUUGGACACAGAAAGAUCCUGAAGGCAUGCCACUGACACAGCUUUGGGUUUGGUUCAAUGGAGCUCCCCAAAGGGCAUUGGAUGAUUUCAUGGUUACUUGGAGUCUUUGGCUUAUAGCAUUAAACAUAAAUGCAGGGAAAAUCACUUUAGAACUUUUUUGAAUUUGAAAAUUUAUAAAAAGUAAACCGAGUGCUUGUGUGGAACACACGGCUUAUAUUGCGUGUAAGCCGAGUGUUUUUUCUCAAACACACGGCUUAUAGUCUGUAUAAGCCGUGUGCUUCAUCAGGUCACUCGGGUUACAGCUUACGGCGUGACGGCGCCGUCAGCCGCCUCUGUUGGAGACACGUGGUAGGUAUUUUUACCGGGUGACAUGCUAGAAGCCGAGUGUUUUAUGCGUAGAUACCGUGUGUCGCCUAUAAACCGAGAGCUUUUUCGGGUCACUCGGUUUAUAGGAUAGCAUAAGCCGAGUGUUUUGUUGUUACCGGGUGUAUUUUAUGUGGAACACGGCUUAUAUGCCGAUAAGUCGAGUGCCAGAAAAAAAGCACUCGGCUUAUGGCUUACCACACAGUAAAACAGUUUUUUUCCUGUUUGAAAGAGAUUCUUUCCAAUGAGGCGGAAAUGAGAGAGGCGACUGUGCGGGCGACAGGGCGGCCGACAGGGAAGGCGCCCCCGUUCAACACUUCGGCCGUCGCUUGUUCACCGCGGUGAGACUGCUCGCCUCCAGGAGGCCGCUUCUGGGUGCUAGCAGAGGGAGAUGAGGAGGAGGACGAUGGGAAUGAGAAAUUGAUCUCAAGCUUCGCCGGAAGUGGCAGGAUUGUCGCGGCCGGGAGACCAAUCAAGGUACUCCCUGACGGUGAUGCCACUGAAGAAGGACUGGGACAGGCGGUUCAAGACGGCGGACAACCAGGGGCCGGCACGGCGGAGGAAGACGGCGGCGACGUCAGUACGUCCUUGGCGGGGGCCAAUCCCGAAGGUGAGUUUGCAAGCCUUGACUAUUACAGACUGCAUCCAUCCCGAUGACUGGAUCACCGUUCGAACCAAGAAGAAGAAAAGGCAGCCGGCUGCUGCAGCGACGGCGCCGGCUAUCAAGAUGGCCGAGAUCCGAUCCCGGCGGCUAAACUUUUUAUUGGGCCCGACCGGGCUGCAUGAGAACGAGUACUCCAUGGGCUGCGCAGAUGAUGGGUAUGUGGCCCAGCUGGAGCCGUCUUCGCUUGAUACGUAUCGUUCUCGACCAGAUGAGGCGAUCGAUCUAGUAAUAGCCAGCGCUAGGUCUGGCCGUACGAGGAACGCGCCGGGCUUCCCUUCGAUCGGAACGGGCAGAGCUGCGCGUGUGAGGCCGCCGUCGGCGAAGAAACCCGCUAUGGCUGGCGAAGGGGCUCACCUGCCUCCAAAGGCACCGGCGGGGACUGGUGCUGUCGCCGGGCAGGGUCGCGGAGGAGUCCAGCAACCAGCUCGUGGUCGCGGGGAUGUCCAGCACCCUUCUCGUGGGUGCGCCAGCCAUGGUGGUGGUCGUGGUUAUCACCACAACGAUGGCCACAGCUUUCCCGGGAAUAGAUGGGGAGAUGAUGGCUAUAAUGCCUACGGGCAUGGAGUACACCGUGGAUCGUCAUCGACGGGCGGCGGCCGUGGAGAUGGUACUUCAUGGGGUUCAAUGGUCCGCCGGGGCCCUUCGUCGAGGGGGCUACUGGACCGUUGAACCGGCACAGACCUUCAUAUCGUCACCCGGGAGGUCGUACCGGUGGACGUCGCCCAAGAGGCAAUAUCCCGCCUCGCGGUGAUCCGCCUGCAGAAGCGGCAGUCGGGCAGGAGCUGCUGCUGGCGACUUCGGCUAAGGAGGGGACAACGACUCUUGCGGCGGUGGAGAUGCCUACUGCGCCUGUGAGUGUUACUUCUGGGGCUGCGUCUGAUAAAAACAACGAUAAGUCAAAGGGGGAGAGAGCGUCCAAAUGGGCACGCAAGAAGGAAAGGAUGACGUGUUACCGAUGUGGAGAACAGGGACAUUUUCUGGCUGAAUGUUCGGUUGAGCUUUAUGACUUAUGUCGCAAGCCAAAGCAUGUCUGAGAGGAGUGUCCCCUACUACUCAAGCCCAAACCAGUGGUUACUAUUUAUGGGGUGUGUUGCUCUGAGCUUAUGUUCUUUGAGUCACCAGGGCGGCUACGCAAGCUCUAGAGAGUACCGGGACAGGAGUGGUCAAGGUUACUCGGUGCACUAUGACCGUUGAGCAGGUUGUGCAGAGGUUGCGUGAGCUUGUUUCAGAGUCAUUUCAGUGGGAUCCAAUCAGGCUUGAUGAUCAGGUUUACAGGGUUGAGUUUUCGACUAAGGAGGACCUUACCAAGCUGCUAAAGUUUGGGAUGAGUAAAGUUCCAGACAUCACUUGUAUUUUGGAAUUUGAUGCUUGGACACAGAAAGAUCCUGAAGGCAUGCCACUGACGCAGCUUUGGGUUUGGUUCAAUGGAGCUCUCCAAAGGGCAUUGGAUGAUUUCAUGGUUACUUGGAGUCUUGGCUCUUUGAUUGGCAAGACGGAGAAGGCUGAUAUAGUUUUCACUCGGGCACAGGGGAUUGCUCGUCUUCUUGUAUCUGUGAUCAGCGUCGAGCAUAUCCCUGAUACGGUCAGAUGGACGUACAAUGGCAGAUUUUUUUAUCUUGAUAUUGAGCUGGAGGAGAGUGAGGACUUUCACGAGCUGGCCAACCAUGUUAACAUGGAUACGGACGAGGGGCAUGGUGAUGAAGGAAACUUAGAUAAGGAGAAGGAGCCGAGAGAUGGCACUGAUAGAGGUGCAUCAUCGGCAGUAAAACCAAAAGAAAAUGCUACCACCAAGCAGCCUCUCCGUACUUCUUUCUCACAUCAGUUGAGGUUUGAUUCUUUUGGGUCAUCAUCCGCGCCUGCUAGACUCUGGGGAGCCAGGGUUGAGAGCGAGGACCCGGAGGAGCAGGAGUUACCUCGACUUUCCCCUCCAGUGACGCCUAAUGUUGGAUCGUCGCGUCGCGUUACUCCUGUGUCUACCAGCCAUGGGGACAGGACGAUAACGGGGUGCACGGCCGACGCGCUGCCGACUUCUCCCGGGCAACCGACCUGCCAGACAUGGACGCCGAGAUUGGGGAGGUGCUCGAGUCACCCAGGGGUGACUUUCACCACGGCGAGACCUGCACAGAGCACAUAGGCGGAGCGCGAAUCGCCACACUUACGACUGUGUCCUUGGAAGGCCAGCCUAUGCUCGCCCUCACCGAGACACUAUCCACACCACCUGGCUCCACGUGGUGCUUUGCCGGGAGGGCGAUCGAUGGCUGUGAUGGGCAUCGCCAAGCAGGACAUGUGACAGGCAGUCAUAGUCCAACUGACCCUUCUACUAAGGAGGUUAUUGAGUUUCGAGGCAUUCCUGACCCGGCCACUGGAGCUCGGCGUUUGAGUGCUCGCCUACAAGCCGAACCAGACGUCGACGAGUUGCAGAUGGGCCGUGCCAUGCAGGCGGCUAAGAUUUGUGAUGUCGAGACAUCCACAGGUACUACACAGAGCAGCGACAUUGAUCCUUACAUGGUUGUUACUCACUCCUGCGAAAACCAGGGAGCAUUUGAUUACUAGGUCUACCCGAUGGGAGAUGGUAGCACGAGAUAUCUUCAACCGGUUUGGAUGGCAGUCCAGUAAUUGGAUAGAUGAGUAGACAUCUAGGCCCAUUUUACCGGUUGUGGCAUUUAUCAUUUUGCUUUUGCCUUUACUUUCAAUUGUCAGAGACUAUGUUGGACCGAACUUGGAUUGCUUGCUUAAUAAAGGGGCCGUAUGCAUCGUGUUGAUGCAGAGGCCGGAGGUAAUCCUCCUUUUCUAAAAAAACAGGUUGAUGUGAUGAGAUACAAUAUCACAUAUGCAAGCACAACAUAGCAGAUAUAUACUUUCAUUUUGAAGGUUGGAAGAUCAACACCACAACUUUCAAGAUUUAAACUACCAGUUUCAUUAGGCAUUAGCAAGGACCAGCGUAGUAAGUGGCAGACAUACUACAGCAGAAAAACAACAUCUCUUUAGGGGAAAUGACACUAAUGUGAAUUACGUGCUUAUUCUGCAGAAUGAAAACUUUGUUGCACCAUACGCGGUUACAGGUUUGCAAGGCAGCCUAUUGGUUCAAGUGAAUAUGAAUGUAGUCAGCAUUCCGCUGUGCAAGCAUCAGCAUAGUCUCCAGCAAGGAGUGUUAGAGCUUCCUUGUGAGCGCACAUGUGCUUCUCCAUGAAUACCUUUUCAGUCAGCAUGACAAUUGAAUAGUAGUUUGGGUCGCCCUUAAGCAAUCCAUUUUCCUUGAGAAACUUUACAACGUAAGCGGGGUCUCAGCCGGCCCUCUAGGCUGAAAGUAAUCACUAUCGACGGUUGAGCAAUGUAGGCCGAUUCUAGAAUUCGGACCUCCACUGCAGUUUUCCUUUGACCUCAACAGUAGAUACAGAGCCUUAGACAGAGAAACAACCAGGCCGGGGCGUGGCCUCCUUUUCGAAAAAAAAAACAGAGAAACAACUACUUCAGCAUCUGACCACCUGAAUGUAUUCUUCAAGUAGUCUGCUGCGGCAGCCAUCUCCCUCGUUGCUCGGGAAUGCAAUAGCCUUCAGCGCGUGCUUGAACAUUCUAGAGUCACGGGACACGCCGAGGCCGUUCGCACGCGCCACCAUUGCCUGGACGUGUUCCAGGGUGGCGGUGAGCGCUAAUGGCAUGCGGAUCAACAAGUAGGCAAUGUCGCAGUCAGCUAGCCCGCACUCCUGCAUGACCGCGAUAUCGGGCUUGACGCUCCUCUUGAGGUCAGCACUGACAAGGUAGGAGCCGUCGUUGAGAGCCCGAAUGAGGUUCUCGAAGGAGCCGAAGAAGAUGAGGUAGUAGCAUAGUUUGGAGUCGAUGCCUGUGUAGCGGAAGUGACCGGCGAUGGCAGUGAGGGAGAUGACACGGGCGAUCUGACCAGGCGAGAUCGCGAGAGUCCUUUGCAGACCAGAAGGCUGGCUUUAAGGCAGUAGACCUCCUCAAGAAGGUGCUAGCGAACUUGUACUGCAAGAUAUGUAUCUAGUAGAUCAAAUAGGCCUCUACCCCUUGUCCACCUCUAUAAGGGGAGGUAGGUGCCUUCCGAGUCGGUACCUACAACAUCAUCACGGCAAACACAUCUCUCAUAAGAGACACCAUGAAUACAAUCAGAUAUGCGGGAGUAGGGUAUCACAUCAUAUGAAGGGCCCAAACUGGGAAAUUACUUGUCUCGUGUGCACCAGUCUGAUCCUCUAUGAAUAGUCUGCACUAUGAAUUGAUAGUUGGCGUGCCAGCUAUGGUUGUGCGCAUAGAUCUAUGAUUGAUGAGUUUUAUUUUAGCGGAUCGACAUCUCGCGCAUACCUCAUUCGGCGGAUCUCACGCGCAGACGUCCCUGGUGAAUCCCACCGAACAUACCUCCCCGGAGGACCUCACCGUGCGAACCUUGUCAUAUCUUCCUUCCAUCUCUUAUACACACAUUCAGCAUAGACCUAACCGCUCCGCGGAUUUUGACCUCGUCAUCUAAGCUCUAUGUCGAUGAUAAUCCUUCCGGUCUAAAAUAAUUUUGCGAAGAAUCUUUUUUUCCCACUCUGGUUUGCAUUAUUUUGUGUUCACUGAUUUGUCUAAGAUGGAGAUCGUAAGAAAAUUUUGACUCUACGAACUCCGACCUCGUCCACGUCUCGCUCCAACCUCAUUGUUUCACAUACUUUUAUGUCGUUGCACCGUUACUUCACCGGCUCACCACGGCUGAGUCUGACUCAUCGCACUUGGAUUGAGAACUCCGCCCUCGCCACGUCCGCCUUGAGGACUCCGACUUGACGAUAAAGAAUCCCGCCUUAUAUUAUAAAACAACCAACCGAUACAUUUACCAUGUUGGGCCGUAGCACAAACUAUACCAAAAGAAAAUAUGAGAGAAGAAAGAAAGAGAAACAAAUGCUCUUAUCGCUUGCAGCAAGUUAGUCCUCCUGCGAACUUUGUUUCCACAAGAUGUCCUCACGAUGGUAUAGUUCCACGAGCUGAUUUGUGAUUUUUAUUUCCUGGGUAGACGGUCACGUAUGACCUGGAACCCCUCUUAAGAUUUCUAGUUCAUGCUUCAUUUUUCUAAUCUCCCUCCUGACAUUGCCGAACGUCUCUAGAUCCCAACCCGAGACAUUCAUCGAGAUCUCAACUAAGUUGGUCGCUAAUUCAUGAACCUCUCGAUCUGUCUCGGGAUUACCCAAACCACGACAGUUCCAACAUAAGUUACUCAUUUUUCUUGACGGCUUCCCUCAAAUGGUGAUGUCGAUACAUCAUUCUCCAUUUCCAUCAUAAUAGUGUCCAUAGAUGUAUCCUCAACGCUUUUUGGUUUCAUUUUGUUGGCAUUUUUUGUGGGGUUCCAUACGGCUCCACCGUAUCCACAUUUCGAUCAAGCUAAUCCACCAUAGCUGCAACUUUUGUCCCCUUAUCCGCUGGCAUGAUCGCCCCCACAAGAUCCUUGGGGAUAGCGGCAGCUUCCUCUUAAGAAAUCGAGUCCUCGGCCACUCUUUUGCUAAGUACACCGCCAUCUCCUUGUAUAUCCCGGUUUGUCACUGCGAGGGUUGUGUUCGUCCCCCCAUCCGCUGGCUGGUUAUGACCUUGUUGAUAUACUGCGUUGAAACACCAACUCAUCUGGUUUGUAGUGUCCCUGCCUCUGCCCCUUUCCCAAACCAUCAUCAUAUCCGUCACCUCUACCCCGUCCAAGGGGGUUAUCAUCAGCACUAAAACGCCCCCCCCUAUCCACGACCUCCCCGUCUUCCUCUGCCUCUUCCUAGGCCCCCACCUACUAUUAGGAAGUCUCUCCUCUUCAGACUAUCCUCAUCGUGCUCUCCACUGCUGCACUCUUCAUGCCAAUGCCCCAUCAUACCAUAUAAACCGCAGAACAUAGGCAGUUUUUCACACUUCACCUGAUACCAUUCAUGUUUCAUGUCCCUUGUCAUGGAUACAAAGCGGGUAAUCUUCUUCUCCACCUUUAUGCGCUCACUCUCACUCUAACAAGUUUGCCCACAAAACCAGUCGGGUGUUUGACCUGAAACUCCAUGACAUCUCCCAUGUUGCGGCACAUCCCUCUAACAAUCUGCCCAUGCAAGAUAUUGUCCUAAAGCUUGUGAACCUUUGCCGAUACUAUGAUCUUGUCCAGAACCACCGUUCCAGGGUUACCAAAACCAUCAUAUUGUUUCAUCAUCACAACCUUGUUACGAAAGAACCAAGGGCCAAUAACCAUCGCCUUGUUCCAAUCACCUAAACACCCCAAUUGCACUAUGAUGAGAUUAUCAUCUACGAGCCUCAAGAUCGGGUUUUUGCGGAAUUCCAAGAAGAUAUCAUAUCAGCAUACAAAGUACUAGGGUUAAAACCACUAAUUGUGUGAACUUUGAUGAUGGUGUGCCAUUUAGCCUUCGCGAGUUGUUCGGACACCUCUUCCCAUACGAAUCCAUCAUCUUCCUCGUCGUGGAGGUCCAACCUUCCAAGAAGCUUCUGAACCGGAUCGGCAGGUCCGCUGCCUUCCAUAGUCUCCAUUAGGUUUCUAGGAGAAAAACAAACAAGUUUAGAGAAACCCUAACAUGCCCUCGAUGCAGCUGGUCAAGAAGCCCGCUAAGGGAAGAAACGAUCGCUAGUGGUGGAGUAUGAUACUGGCGGUGAUUGGAUUGCUAGAGGAAAGAGAAACCCUAGCCUUACCCGAGGGGAAAGACAUAUUAUCAAGUAACUUACGGCUGGGUAAUUAGUUGCAGGCUACUUUUUGCACAUGAAACUAAAGUUGUCAUGGUCGUUGGUCAUAGAUAGUCAAAACAUCUGUCAUGACUCUCUUUACCCUUAAAAAUAGUCAGAUAAACAUUGCAAAAUGUUGGCUGAAAGUUAAGUGACUUAGGCUCUCAGAAAUAUAGCUUUAUUGGACAAAUAAUAUAUGAAAUACAUGCAUUGCAUAUGUAUGAUGUUCCAAUAGAAGGGUAAAGUUGAUUGAUUCUUGAUAGUAUCACAUGAAUAUAUCAAUCAUGAAUUCAUUCAUGUUCCCCGUUGCAACGCACAGUCACUCACCUAGUAAAGGCGAUGAUUUGUUGCUAGUAGAAGCUUCUCGAUUUUUAAAGGUUCAAAUGCUAGCCAACAUGACCCGGCUGGCUCAAUAUCGCACCUCUGUCAGUGGUGCCAAAACCCUAAGAAAAUUCCCUCAAAUCUCUUGUUAUUUCUAUUGAUUGACUGAACGUGAGGAGCGAUAGUAGAUGAAUAGCGGACUAACAGAGGGAAAAAGAAAUGAAUACAAGUCGGUAAAAUUAUCAAAGUGGUACAUGUACUUUUUAUAACAUCACAUGAAGCCGCGAAAAAGGAAAGACAACUCAACGGAGAAACUACAUAGGAGACCUAUCUAGAGUGAACAUUGCAUGGAUGUCGUUGGCCGCAUCUCACCGCCUUGUUGUCCAGAAUAAGAAGUGAAUGUUAAUCCUGCCGCUGCCUCCAUGUCUAUCACCUUGUCGUCCAAGCCCGCAACAACAACAACAACACGGAGGACUAGAGCACGAGAGGAGAGCUGCCCGGGGAAAUUACCUUUCUUGAUGUUAGACUUAGAGAUAUAUUAUUGUUGUAAUCUCAAUCUAUCUCUAUCUCUUCCUUAAACGAAUCCUAUCUGAAUUCCUUUCUUGAAACCAAGGCAAGGGUUUUGCCCAAUAUAAAUAAACACCGCGGCUCCUCUCGAGGAGUAGGAACGCUUCCAUCUGACAUGGUAUACAGAGCCAACCUCUUCCCAUAUAUCUAGCCACACCAGAAACCCAUCGAUCGAUAACACCGAUCGCCAUGUCCUCUUCUUCGGCCACCGUCGCCCUAAACCUUGGAGCGCCGCCCGCCGAGAAGCUAACCAAGGGGAAUUUCCUCCUAUGGAAAGCCCAGGUAAUGCCAGGCCUGCGAGGAGCGCAGGUCACCGGCCUCCUGGAUGGAUCCGAUGCAGCGCCCGCAGAAACAAUGGAGCAGCAGAAGACGGACAAGACAAUGAUCACGGUGCCUAAUCCACUUUAUGCACCGUGGCUGGCCAGAGAUCAACAAGUUCUCAGCCAUCUCCUCAACUCCUUAUCAAAGGAAAUCCUCGCCCAAGUUGUGAGUAAAGAAAAUACCUUUGAUUUGUGCACUGCCAUCAUCACCAUGUUUGCUUCGCAGUCCCAAUCUCGAAUUACCAAUUUGAGAAUUGCCAUCGCCACCACCAAGAAGGGCUCCAUGUCGAGCACCUCCUACAUCGCCAAGAUGAAAAACCUAGGCGAUGAACUUGCUGCUGCAGGCCGGCCUGUCUCUGAUCCAGAGAUGGUGGACUAUGUCCUUGCGGGUCUAGAUCGUGACUACGACUCGGUUGUGGCGGCGAUCGGCAUUGUCAAAACCUCCAUCACCGUCGACGAACACUUCGCUCAAAUCUCCGCCUUUGAUCAAAGGGUGGAGAUGCUCGGCGAUGGACCAAAAGCUGGCUACAACACCUUUGCAAAUAUGGCGUACAGGGGGCGUGGCCAGUCCCGUGGCAGAGGACGCGGCCGCGGCAGCAGAGGCCGCGGUCGAGGGAGACGCUCACCCUCGUCAUCCUCUCCAAACGGCAACGACAGGAGAGGCGGUCGGUCUCAGCAACAACAGCAGCGUCCACCGCACCGAGACUACCCCGAGUGCCAGAUCUAUCUCAAGCAUCAUCGCGGGGGUGCCCGUGAAUGCUGGGAUCGCUAUGAGGAAGAUGAAUAUGAGGACAAGGAGGCCAAUAUCGCCUUAGACUCCUACGGCAUCGACACCAACUGGUAUGCCGACUCCGGCGCCACCAACCACAUCACAGGCGAGCUGGACAAGCUGACGAUCAGAGACAAAUAUCGCGGCCAUGAUCAAGUCCACACUGCAAACAGAUCUGGUAUGAAAAUCACUCACGUUGGAAGUUCAGUUGUUAAAACCCCCAUGAAAAACCUACAUCUUAACAAAGUCCUAUAUGUGCCCACAACAUCAAAAAACCUGUUCAUAGGUUUACUCUUGAUAAUCGUGUUCUCAUUGAGUUCUAUCCUUAUUUCUUUUUGGUAAAGGACUUGGACACGAGGAAAAUACUUCUUAGGGGCAAAUGCGUGGGAGGUCUCUACCCACUCAUAUCUUCAUCAACACCAUCCAAUAAACAAGCUCUUGCUGCUGUCAAGCCCUCUUCAUCAAAGUGGCAUAGUAGACUAGGUCAUCCCUCCUUACUUAUUGUCAAAUUUGUUCUUAACAAGAACAAUCUUCCUUAUUCUCAUGAGUCUAGUGUUGAGUCUAUUUGUGAUCCAUGUCAGCAAGCUAAAAUUCAUCAGCUACCAUACUCUAUUUCUACUAGUAUUUCCACUGCUCCUCUACAACUUGUGUUUUCAGAUGUAUGGGGGCCAGCCCCCACCUUUGUCGGCAGACACUCAUAUUAUGUUAGCUUUAUUGAUGAUUUUAGCAAAUUCACAUGGAUCUAUCUCCUCAAGAAACGUUCUGAAGUUUUUCAUGUCUUUAAGAACUUUCAAAAGCUUGUUGAGCGCAAGCUAAACACCAAAAUCAUUGCCAUGCAAACAGAUUGGGGAGGUGAAUACAGAAAAUUAAAUUUCUUUUUCCAAGAGCUUGGUAUAUCACAUCAUGUUGCAUGUCCCAAUGCACAUCAACAAAAUGGCUCAGCCGAGAGAAAGCAUCGCCAUGUUGUCGAGGUAGGACUAGCUCUUCUUGCAAACUCAUCUAUGCCACUAAAAUUCUGGGAUGAAGCUUUUCUAACCGCCACCUACCUGAUAAAUCUGCUAACUAGCAAAGUCAUCAACUUUGAGAUACCCAUCACUCGCCUUUUUGGCAUCUCCCCUGACUAUAAGUCACUUCGUGUCUUUGGUUGCGCUUGUUGGCCCAAUCUUUUGUUGGAAAUAUGCCCUAGAGGCAAUAAUAAAUUAGUUAAUAUUAUAUUUCUUAGUUCAUGAUAAUCAUUUAUUAUCCAUGCUAUAAUUGUAUUGAUUGGAAACACAAUACUUGUGUGGAUACAUAGANNNNNNNNNNNNNNNNNNNNNNNNNNNNNNNNNNNNNNNNNNNNNNNNNNNNNNNNNNNNNNNNNNNNNNNNNNNNNNNNNNNNNNNNNNNNNNNNNNNNAGGGUGUGUUUGGUUGGAGGGAUAUCCUCUUAGGGACAGGGAUAGCCUUUUUUCGGUGGCUGCAAACCCAUUUGGUUCUGGGGCAAAGAAGGAUAGAGGCAACCAGAUACCCCGAAUAUUCCUCAAAAACUGGGAUGGGGAAACCCGCGAAAAACGAGCGGGUGGUGGCAACCACCCCGCGCGCUUCGUUCUCUCCUCUGGAUCCCGGGCUCGAGCGAGGAUGCGGCGGCAGGAGGCCGGCGCGGAAGGAGGCCAGGGCUGCGGCAGGAGGCAAUGCCGGCGCGGCUGGAUCCCACCCUCCCAACCAAUCAAAAAAUGGGAUAACCCCACCCUCCCAAACAAACAAAAAAAGGGCUAUCCCCAGCCACCUGGUUGGGGAUACCCACAACCAUCCUAGACUAUCCCUCCAACCAAACACACCCUAAGUUAUGCAUGUUAUACUUAUAAAACAAACUUCCCUAUAACUGUUAGUUCUACCCAACUGAUGUAAUACUUAUGUAGACAUGAGUAAAGGAUAACAUAUGAAUACACAAGAUUAAAAACUUAUGAGGCUUUCAAUUAUAUCUUCUACGUAAACAGUAAACCAUGAGUUUGCGGGCUAUGUAUUUUGGCUAAUUUUUUCCAAUAAACAGAAAUAUUGGCAUGGUACUAAACACUGAAGAUAUAAUUCCAUAGAAAACUUAAAUUAAUUAGUAAGUAGGUGGAACAGAAAUAGUUGGCAUGACAGAAUUAACAUCAUAUAUGGUACUCCUCCUCCUCCUCCUCUUUCUUCUNNNNNNNNNNNNNNNNNNNNNNNNNNNNNNNNNNNNNNNNNNNNNNNNNNNNNNNNNNNNNNNNNNNNNNNNNNNNNNNNNNNNNNNNNNNNNNNNNNNNCUCGGCUUCUGUAAGUGUCUUGGUCUCUGGCAAACCCAAGCCACCACGGGUAAGAAGGACCGAAGCCUCGCGUUCGUCCUCCAUGUUCGUCAUUGCCGAGGACCAGUGUGAGCAAAUCUUUCUCUCUAUCUGCAGUGAAUUUCUUUUUCCCUCCUUAAUUUCUUUCACUAUCUUUUUCCAAUUCUCCCUGGGUAUCCUAAGACCGUCACUGCACAUGAGGUCCCCUGUUUCUUCGUCGUACGAACCACCAUGCCCAAGGAACCAAUUUCUUGCUCUCAAUUCCCACUCAUCACGGAGUGUUUGAGGUAUGAUGCCUUUAGCUAGCAGAUCUUGCUCUUUCUUAUCCCACUUUAGGAUGGCAGUCUCAUAGCCCCCUGGCCCCAGCUUGUGGUGAUAUUUCUUCUUGUCGGCAUUUUUCUUGUUCUUUUCUGAUAAUGCCUGGGCAUCUUAUGACUCCUUGUACUCUUGAAAUGCCUUCCAGUGAUUCGCCUGCUUGGCUAGAUACCCCUCGAAUACUGGCACUUCCUUUGUCUUCAGAUAGUUUUUCCAUAGCUUCUUCUUCCAGCUACGGAACAAUUCAACCAUCUUCUUUAGAGUCCAUUGCUUGAUUUGGCCCUCAGUUUUUUUGCGGCGUCUUCAUUCUCACAUUCUGGCAGGUUGAAAUGUGACAUGAGAUCAUUCCAAAGAUUAUCUUUGUACCUUUCGGCGACAUAGUCACUAUCGGCUGCCCCUUUGCGCUUGUUCCACUCCCGAACGCUGAUCGGGACGUGAUCCCUAACGAGAACUCCGCAUUGCUUCUUGAAUGUGUUAGCGGCAUUCUUAGGAAGCUUGGGUUCGCCCGUAGGCAAUAUCACCUCAAAGGUGUAAUGCGUCCGUGCAUCCAACUUUCUAGUCGGGCCUCGUUUCGUAGCUUUGCUCGAUGUGGAGGCCUAAGAGGGAGAAACAUUCGUCAAAUGAAUGUAUAUGUAUACAAUAUAGAGCUAUCUCCAAUAUUUUUCACAUAUUACAAGUGAUUGUCGAACUUCAUAUGUAUACCUCGCCGGACUUUAUUAUUUCUUCACCGGCUUCUCCAUCAGUGGAGCUAUCACCCUGUCCAUCAUUGGACCUAUCUCCUGCCCCAUCAGCUUCAUCUUCGUGUCGCUCGACCUCCAUUCCAUAUCCGGAGGGGUUUAGAUAUGACGACGGAGAUUCAGCUGGUUCAACGUUGGGGCCGUCUUUGAUUAUAUCUUCGAGAAGUUCUUCCUCUUCGAGGUUCCUGAUAUGUGGAUCCAUAGUUCUGCAAAAACAGACAUUUGAUUAACUAAUAAACUAACAAACUAUAUAAGAGGGGUUGGAAACUUCGAAGUGUCGUUUUAUAUAGGAGGACCUUUAGUCCCGGGUCUUGGCUAGAACCUAAACUCUAAAAUANNNNNNNNNNNNNNNNNNNNNNNNNNNNNNNNNNNNNNNNNNNNNNNNNNNNNNNNNNNNNNNNNNNNNNNNNNNNNNNNNNNNNNNNNNNNNNNNNNNNUAGGAUGACCUCAUUUGGUUACCGGAAGGUUUUCGUGCAUUACCGGAAAAGUUUCGGGCUCAUCGGUAGUGUACUGGGAGUGCCGGGAGGAGUGCCGAGGACUAUCAGGAGGGGUGUCACGCCCCAAGGGGUCUCAUGGGCUAUGGGAAGAGAUAAACCAGCCCCUAGUGGGCUGGAAUAAGUUCCCACUAAGGCCCAUAAGGUUUGAGAAGGAAAAAACACAAGGUGGAAAGAGUUUCCAAGUGGGAAGGUGGAAUCCUACUCCAAGUAGGAUUGGAGUAGGACUCCUCCACCUCCAGUUUCAGCCAAACCUUUAGUUUUUGAGGCUGCCUCCUCCCCUCCCUCCCUCCUAUAUAUAGUGGGGUUUUAGGGCUGAUUUGAGACAACUUUUGCCACGGCAGCCCGACCACAUACCUCCACGGUUUUACCUCNNNNNNNNNNNNNNNNNNNNNNNNNNNNNNNNNNNNNNNNNNNNNNNNNNNNNNNNNNNNNNNNNNNNNNNNNNNNNNNNNNNNNNNNNNNNNNNNNNNNNNNNNNNNNNNNNNNNNNNNNNNNNNNNNNNNNNNNNNNNNNNNNNNNNNNNNNNNNNNNNNNNNNNNNNNNNNNNNNNNNNNNNNNNNNNNNNNNNNNNNNNNNNNNNNNNNNNNNNNNNNNNNNNNNNNNNNNNNNNNNNNNNNNNNNNNNNNNNNNNNNNNNNNNNNNNNNNNNNNNNNNNNNNNNNAGAAGGCCGAGAUCAUCAUCGAGCUGUACGUGUGCUGAACGCGGAGGUGCCGUCCGUUCGGCACUAAAUCGGAGCGGAUCGUGGGACGGAUCGCGGGACGGUUCGUGGGACGGUUCGCGGGGCGGAUCGAGGGACGUGAGGACGUUCCACUACAUCAACCACAUUUCUUAACGCUUCUGCUGUGCGAUCCACAAGGGUACGUAGAUCGGAAAUCCCCUCUCAUAGAUGGACAUCACCAUGAUAGGUCUUUGUGCGCGUAGGAACAUUUUUGUUUCCCAUGCNNNNNNNNNNNNNNNNNNNNNNNNNNNNNNNNNNNNNNNNNNNNNNNNNNNNNNNNNNNNNNNNNNNNNNNNNNNNNNNNNNNNNNNNNNNNNNNNNNNNUGUGCUGAUGAUUACAUUGCCAGCGAGCUGGCUCCCGAGACUGGGCACAAGACACAAGUCCACAUACAUACCUAUCAGUUACAUAGUUUAGAAUAGUGUAUUAUUGGCGAACAAUUAUCGCAUACAAUCUACACCACUCUUGCAUAGACAAACUAAUGGGGAUUAUUUGAUAAAAAAAGAAAUUAUUGGGGGUACUGAGGGCUACAAUCAUGGACAAGUGUCAAUGAUGCCGGCCUCAAUCCCACGGAGAACAUUUGAUGGAUGGAGAAAGGAAGAUUGGACUGCAAGCUUUGAGCUGGUAGCCAUGUGGUGUGCCUAGCUAGCAAGAUGGGCACUGUGAAUCAGUGAGGCCACGGUGGAUGAUGAUGAUAAGAUUCUGGUAUUUCUCCUAACUCUACCUGUCUCCCUGACCCACCCCACCCCCACUUGACGGAAGGAAGAAUUUGGCGUCGAUCUGUCUCUUGCAACUGUUGCUGACAUGGCACCAGGGUGAUGCUUCCUUCCUCUGCCCCACUGCUACCGGUUCUUGCCCUGAUGCAUGCACACAUGCAUGCAUGUUAGUUGAUGCAUGCCGAGAGACCAGGAACGGACAAUAAUGUUGUGUCCUUGUAGAAAAAAAAAUACAUUGCGAAACUCAUAUUCAUACAUACACACUCAAUCAGUUGGAUUGAUAGAUAGUUGUGUGUGUGUGCAGGGAUGGUAGAUGGAUAUAAAAUUCAUGUGACUUAAUAUGGAAAAAGAGAUGUUUACAUUCAAGAACGAAAAUAAUUCCUAAAGGUUAGCUUAUACAGAUGUAAUUUGCAAAACCUGGUUACGUGAGUAGAAACAGAUCGAGUGGUUCCGGCCUGUCCUGCUGAUAAAUUGUGGACAAAUACGAUAAAUCAUUGCCACAUCGGGCGCUGCGUUAUUGCAGCUUUGUUGCCUGCAAGUUUGAUCAGAGGAGAUUGCCAUUGAUGGAGACGGUAAAAAAGGAACCAAGAGCCAACAACUAGCACACAUAUUCACACCAAGUGUAUGUGCAGUUCAAUCUUAAUCCUACCGGGUCCCUUAAUUUAUAACGACACAUUAUGUACAAAUUCAUUCAUUCAUCACGCAACUAAAAUCAUGCAACUUUAGAGGGGCAAAAAAUAAGGCCAGAGGCAUGGUAGUAACUUUGGGGUCAUUACAAGUUUUGUAACAUGGUGCUUUGGUUAGCGCUAUGCUCGCACCUUCGAGCUCCAUUUCCAUGGUGUACUUCAUCGGCCACACUUCAUUUUGCACAAAUUGGAGGGAUCCCCAACCAAGAAUGUUGUUCGUUUCAAUCCUAGUAAAUGUAAAUGAUUGAUCUCUUGAUGAGCUUAGCUAGAACACUGGCCACAUGCAUGUGUUGCUUUAUCACCAUCGAUGGGGUAACCAGUUCGAGGCUGCAACUCUCUCCUAUGUGUCAUCCAAAAGAGUAGGGGGUGUAGAUAUUAAUCAUGUUGCUCAUGUAGGAUUAGGAAAGAAAGCCAAACCGAGUCCUAGUAGUAUUAGGAUUCCUAGUCCUAGUCUAUUUUCAUAGUCCCUUGUGGACGUGUAUAAAAGACACCCUAGGGGUGUUGAUUGUAACACCAGAAAAACGAAAAGCAAUACAAAGCAAAGGCUCGAUACGGGCCUUUAGCCAUCAAAUCCAUCGAUCAGUUUUAUUCGUGUCGCUAGUUACGCAAGUUCCGUCAAGUAGCCAGCCGAAGCAAGAAUCGCGUAGGCACGCCUGUACAGCUGCAUACGCACGUUUAAAAGCCAACAAUUGGUAUCAGAGCCUCGACGAUCUACGAUCUACGAUGACGGACAGUGACGCUGAGUCGGUCAAGUCCGGCAGCGGCGGUGCUAAGGCGAACAAGAACAGCGACAAGGUGAAGAAGGGCGUCAAGUCCGCAACCAGUGGUGGAGGAACGAGCGGCGCCAACGUCCAGGCGCAUCACAACAUCCCCAUCCAGUACCCGAUGGUCACCGACGCCAACUACGGCGUGUGGGCGGUGAAGAUGAAGAUUAUUCUUCGAUCCCUUCGAGUGUGGGAGGCCAUCACGGACGACGACGUUGACGAGGAACGCGACGAAGGUGCCAUGGCCGCCAUAGCCCAGUCUGUGCCGGAUUCCGUGCUGAUGACAUUGGCGGAGUUCGAGACGGCAAGAGAGGCGUGGAACGCACUCAAGGAGAUGAGGAUCGGAUAAGAUCGCGUCACCAAGGCUCGGACACAAGUGCUGAAGCACCAAUUUCACAAGUUGCAGAUGGAGGAAACUGAAUCGGUGAAUGACUACGCCAUGCGUCUUACUACUUUGGUGGGAGAGAUCCGCGCGCUUGGUGCAAAGCUCGAUGAGACCGAGAUCGUGGAGAAGUUUUUCAGUUCAGUCACUGAUAAAUUCACGUACAUCAUCGGCACGCUCGAGCAGCUUUACGACAUCGACGACAUGACCAUAACGGAGGCGAUCGGACGAUUGCGGACAUGGGAAGAGAAUGCUCGUGGCUGUCGGAAAGGCAAAGGAGGAGGUAGUGACCAACUCAUGUACUCGCGCGCAGAUUGGGAGGCCCCAAGUAGCAAAGGAAGGCGUGACGGUGGCGAAGGCUCAAGCAACACGAAGGGCGAUGGACAAACCGAAAAAGGCAAAGGAAAAGGCAAACCACAAGAUCGUGGUAAGGCGGGCCAAUCUAAAGAGCAGAAACCACGGAACUUGGACUUGUCCGAGGUCAAGUGCUAUAACUACAAUAAGAUGGGUCACUUUGCGAAGGAUUGUCCAAAGCCUAACAAGCGGGAGAUCAAGGCAAAUUUGGCAAAGCAGGAAGACGAAGGUCUAGGUCUUCUGAUGGCCGAAGUUUAUGAUCUCGCUGAAACGGUGGUUGUGAAACCAAGCCGGAAGGUGCUACUUCAUGAGGAAAAAGUGACACCAAAGUUAUCCGGUGAUCAGAACGUGUCGUGGUAUCUCGACACGGGUGCCAGUAACCACAUGACGGGGUGCAAGGAGAAAUUCUUCGAGCUGGAAUACGAUGUUGAAGGCUCGGUCAAGUUCGGUGAUGGUUCACCUGUGGAGAUUUGCGGGCAAGGAUCUGUCCUCUUUGAGGGUCUCACAGGCGAACAUCGCAUACUCACCGGAGUGUACUACAUCCCACGGCUGCGCAACAACAUCAUCUCUAUUGGGAAGCUUGACGAGAAUGGAUGCAAGGUGAAUAUCGAGAGCGGAGUGAUGAUGAUCUUCGACAACCUCCAAAACGUGCUAACUCGUGUUAGUCGCACACAGAAUACGCUCUAUAUCCUCAACCUUGAUCAAUCUCAACCGGAGUGUUGGCUUGCCAAGAGUGAUGAUGAUUCGUGGUUAUGGCAUGCUAGAUUUGGACACGUUAACUUCUACGCCUUGAAGAAGAUGUCAAAGAUGGAGAUGGUAUCCGGGAUGCCAGUUAUCGACCAUGUUGAUCGAGUAUGUGACGGGUGCUUGGUUGGAAAACAGCACCGCAGGCCAUUCCCUGCUCUCAGUCUACCUAUCGUGCAAGUGAUGCACUUGAGCUGCUCCAUGGUGAUCUAUGUAGCCCUAUCACCCCGGCAACUCACGCUGGAAAGAAGUAUUUCUUCCUGGUGGUAGACGACUACUCGACAUAUAUGUGGGUCAUUCUCCUACGAUCUAAAGAUGAGGUGUUUGAGCGUUCAAGAAGUUGAAGGCUGCAACAGAGAUGGUACACAAGCUGAAGGUUCGCGCUCUACGGACAGAUCGCGGCGGAGAGUUUACGUCGAAUGAGUUCAACGACUACUGCGAGAAGAUUGGCAUAAAGAGGUUCCUCACGGCACCUUACACGCCGCAGCAGAAUGGGGUCGUUGAAAGGCGCAAUCGAACCGUCGUUGACAUGGCAAGGAGUUUACUCAAGAGCAAGAACCUGUCGGGGACCUUUUGGGGAGAAGCUGUCUCGACGGCGGUCUAUCUUCUCAACCGGGCUCCAAAGAAGGCGGUGAUCGGCAAGACUCCAUAUGAAGCAAUUUAUGGACGUAAGCCGAAUGUGUCUCAUCUACGGACGUUCGGGUGCGUGGCACAUGUAAAGACGGCGGAGCCACAUCUCUCAAAGCUUGCCGAUCGUAGUACCAAGAUGGUGUUCAUCAGAUACGAGAGCAGUUCUGGCACCAAGGCAUACCGUUUCUACGAUCCACAAACCAAGCGUCUACGGAUUUCACGCGAUGUCGUGUUUGAAGAAAACCAAGCGUGGAAUUGGAGCGCCGCAGCCGACGAUGCUCCAAACAGUAACAUAUUUGCAGUUGAAUUUCCAACUGACGAUGAUGCAGGAGAAGAUGUCCAGGUGGUUGGCAAGACGCCAAACCAAGGUGGCCACAAUGGUAGUGAUCAUCAUGGUGCCGACACCGACGACGACGUGCAUAGGUCGCAAGGAGAUAGCGAUAACAAAGCGCACGGCACGGGUGGAGAUCUCGACGACAACAUCGACAACGAGGCGCAUAGUGACGAUGACAAUCAAGAUGAUGGUCAUGAUCACGACGACUACGCCGACGACGCGGAUGUCGAUAACACGCCCGAGACUCAGCCAUCUUCCUCAAGUGCAUCAACAUCGACACAAUUUGUGUCGCCUCCUUCACAAGCCACAACGGAUUCCUCAGGGCCUCGUCGCUACAAGACCCUCAAGAGAGUCUACAAGUACACAAAGCCAGUUAUGCUCGAGUACUCCGGACUAUGUCUGUUCGGAGUUGAGGAGCCGGCGAACUUCGUAGAGGCGAGCAAAAGUCCUAGCUGGACGCACGCCAUGGAUGAGGAGAUGAAGGCAAUUGAGAGCAAUGGCACGUGGACUUUGGUAACCCGACCUCCAAACCAAAAGACGAUAGGUUUGAAGUGGGUUUACAAGUUAAAGAAGGACACGGAGGGUGCCAUUGUGAAGUACAAGGCAAGACUCGUUGCAAAGGGCUACGUUCAACGUCAAGGAGUUGACUAUGAUGAGGUGUUUGCACCGGUUGCUCGAAUCGAGACGGUGAGAGUGCUCCUAGCUUUGGCAGCACAAGAGGAUUGGAAGGUUCAUCAUAUCGAUGUUAAAUCCGCUUUCCUCAACGGCGAUCUCACAGAAGAAGUGUACGUGGAAGAACCCCUCGGCUACGAGAAGAAAGGCGAAGAAGGGAAAGUUUACAAGCUCAAGAAGGCACUUUAUGGGUUGAAGCAAGCGCCAAGAGCUUGGAACUCAAAGUUAGACCGAAGUCUGGUCUCGCUCGGGUUCAAGAGAUGUCGCCUCGAGCACGCAGUCUAUACAAAGAACUCUAAAGGCUCAAACCUGCUAGUUGGAGUUUAUGUCGACGAUCUGAUUAUCACCGGAGAUAGCGUACAAGAAAUUGAACGUUUCAAGACGCAAAUGAAGAACAAGUUUAGCAUGAGCGAUCUGGGAUUACUCAGCUAUUACUUGGGCAUCGAAGUGAAGCAAAGCUCCGGAGAGAUUUCCCUAUGUCAAUCGGCUUAUGCGAUCAAGUUAUUGGAAAAGUGUGGCAUGUCAGAUUGCUACGAGACACAAGUUCCAAUGGACCAACGUCACAAGUUGAGCAAGCGUAGCUCAAAUCCGCCGGUGGACACCACAAUGUAUCGAAGCGUUGUGGGCAGCCUAAGAUAUUUGGUGCAUACCCGACCUGACUUAGCUUAUUCAGUCGGGAUCGUGAGUCGUUUCAUGGAGAAUCCGACAACCGAACACAUGAGCGCGGUCAAUCAAAUUCUACGCUAUGUGAAAGGCACAAUUAAUCUUGGUUGCACGUACAGAAAUGAAAAGGAAGGAUUGAUCCUUCGUGGAUAUUCAGAUAGUGACAUGACAGGUGAUGUUGAUGACCGAAAGAGCACAACGGGCAUGGUUUUCUACCUUGGCCCGAAUCCGAUUAGCUGGAAUUCUCAGAAGCAAAAGAUGGUGGCACUAUCUUCAUACGAGGCAGAAUACAUAGCGGCAAGCACGACGGCUUGUCAAGCAGUGUGGCUGAGAAGACUCCUAGCUAUUCUUGCAAAGCGGGAGGUGCAGAAGGUGUCACUGAAGAUCGAUAACCAAGCUGUAAUCUCGUUGUGCAAAAAUCCGGUUCAUCACGAAAGGAGCAAGCACAUAGAUACCCGGUUCCACCAUAUCCGGGAGUGCAUUGAAGAAGGGUUGAUCGAGGUUCAACAUGUGAACACGAAAGACCAACUUGCCGAUAUUUUCACCAAGUCCCUCGGUCGACAGAAGUUCAUCGAGAUGAGGAGAAAAGUCGGAGUGCAAGAAGUGAAGUCAAGCAACAAGAUUAAGGAGGUGAAUGUAGAUGUUAAUCAUGUUGCUAAUGUAGGAUUAGGAAAGAAAGCCAAACCGAGUCCUAGUAGUAUUAGGAUUCCUAGUCCUAGUCUAUUUCCAUAGUCCCUUGUGGACGUGUAUAAAAUACACCCUAGGGGUGUUGAUUGUAACACCAGAAAAACGAAAAGCAAUACAAAGCAAAGGCUCGACACGGGCCUUUAGCCAUCAAAUCCAUCGAUCAGUUUUAUUCGUGUCGCUAGUUACGCAAGUUCCGUCAAGUAGCCGGCCGAAGCAAGAAUCGCGUAGGCACGCCUGUACAGCUGCAUACGCACGUUUAAAAGCCAACAGGGGGAGAGGAAGUGUGUGGAUGUGUGUAGUAGCUAAGAUGGCACAUAUCGGAUAGAUUGACACUUGGCACAUGCAAGCUCAAAAAAAAAUUGGGUGGCUCGAAUUGAGUGUAGUGGAUCAUUUCAUCCCUAUCACCGCAUGUGACAUUGUAUAUAUCUAGGACAGUGAUACGCAUUGGGCCUGCCUUUGUUGGAGUGGAUCCCUUCCUGGUCAAUCUGUCUGCAUGUAUCCGUCGAUCUCUUUGAAUUCCUAUGCAUUAUUCUACUUCACUAACAUAACAUGGAAACGACUUGAAAUUAGCGUAGCUAUAGGACACUGGUCUGGUCACCACAUACAUUUUUUGCUCCUAUAUCCUCUCCAUCUUAUUGAUGAUCAUCCAACUAAUGCCUUUGGUUUUCUUUUGAUUGUGUGGACAAAAAAUAUGGUAACUAAAAAUGACUCCCUUGUGUUUACAUGGUAAAAGUUUUAUCUCGUGUCAUAAACUAACAUAGUGUUUUACUGAGUGCGGACGUUUGGAGCUCGGCCUCCAUGGAGGCCGAAAUUUUUGAAUAAUUCAAAAUUCAAACUUUUUGGUUUCAAAAAAAUCUGAAAAAAAUAUGAAAGUAAAGAAGGAUAUUAUGCGUAUGUGUGCAAAUAUUUAGGAUGAAAUGCCUUGAAAUACGAUCUGCACAAAAAAGACAAAUUCAUGACCUGAAAUGAUGAAUAGUGUCAUGUGUAAAAAAGCCUCAGAUUUGUCUUUUUUGCACAGCCCUCAUUUCAAUGUAUUUUUUCUGAAAAUUUGCAUACAUGUGUGUUACGCCUUCACUUAUCCCUGUAUUUUUUUCAUAAUUUUUUGAAAUGUAAAAAUAUGAAUUUUCAUGAAAUUUGAAUUUCAAAUUUAAAGGCCUCCAUGGAGCUCGGCCACCAAAAGCAAUUUCCGUGUUUUACUCCCUAUGUUUCUAAAUAUAAGUCUUUUUAAAGGUUUUACUAGGAAACUACGUACGGAUGUAUAUAGACAUACUUUAAAGUGUAGAUUCAUUCAUUUUACUUUAUAUGUAGUCUCUUAGUGAAAUCUCUAAAAGGAUUUAUAUUUAGGAACGGAGGAAGUAGAUACAAAUAGCCCUUAAGAUUAUGUAUUUCUUUUCUUGCUCAUUCUCCUCUGCGAGAUUGUCACUGCACACCGCGUGGCCCGAGGCCAGUUAGCAAGUAGCCCUUAAGAUUAUGUAUCUCUAAAACCUUCGAGGAGCGUUGGCCCGAGGCUAGUUAGCAAUUUUAGCCAUUGGAGUAUAUGCAUGUCUCCCCCAUGAGUGACAAACUGCUUCCGAUCAUGUCUUGGAAUGUCCGAGGCAUAGACAACCCCGCCAAGCGAGCUGCCAUCUGCGAGAUUGUCACUGCACACCGCGUGGCAAUACUCUGCCUGCAGGAGACUAAGAUCACUGAUUGGUCCCCUAACAUUAUUAGCAAGAUUGGGGGAGCCUCCCUCACUAACUGCAUUGUACUGACGGUGAUCGGGGCCAGUGGUGGGGCGGCGAUACUCUGGAAUAGAAACCUGGCCACGUUCACCUCCCAUGUUGUCGGAGUUUUCGCAAUUAUGGCAAAGGUCACCCUGCUAGGACAGCCACAAGGCUUCUGGCUCUCCUCUGUCUACGGCCAUACGGAUGACGCCAGAAAGGAAAACUUCCUCCUGGAGCUGUCCCACUCGGCCCCACCACCAGCAGAACCAUGGCUUAUUAAUGGAUAUUUCAACCUCAUCUACGAAGCAUGAGACAAAGACAACCUCAACCUAAACCGUAGAUUGAUGGGCAGGUUUAGAACAGCCAUCGAUGUCGCAGGUUUGAAGGAGAUCAAAUGGAAAAACCGUCGAUACACUUGGAGUAACGAGCUUCGUGACCCCACCCUAGUCAGCAUCGACAAGUUUUUCUGCAAUCAAGCCUAGGAAUGCAUCUUCCCCUCUUCUUCACUAAUAGCGGCCUCUACGGCUACUUCCGAUCACUGCCCGCUGCUCCUCGCCGACACCAGCGCUGCGCCUCGCUCCGCUAUUUUCAAGUUCGAAAGCUUCUGACCAAAUUUCCCCCACUUCCACGCCACAGUAGAAAAUGUCUGGAGUAGACCAGUGCAGUCAACUUGCGCCUUUCAAUGACUACAUACAAAAAUGGUGCGAGUGGCGCGCGACCUGAAAGUUUGGAGCAAAUCCUUUUUCAGCAAUGCAAAGCUGCAAUUUCAUAUAGCUGUCGAGCUGGUUCUUCGCCUGGACGUAGCACAUGAGACACGUCGACAGACGGACGUUGAAUUCAGCCUUUGGAAACUGCUGAAUCUGCGCCUCCUUGGCCUUGCGGCGGUGGAGCGCGCCAGAAGAUGCCAGGCAUCCCGUCUAACUUGGUUACGGGUAGGCAACGCGGGAACAAAAAAUUUCCAUGCAAAAAUGAGAUCACGUAGACGUAAGAACUUCAUCCACAGCCUCCAGGUAGGCAAUGAGAUUGCCAUGGCGCACGAACAAAAAGAGGCGGCAAUCUACCAGCAUUUUAACGACAGCUUAGGCACCAAAGUUGUUCGUCCCCUCGACAUCAACUGGAGUAGUUUAGAUAUGCCCUCGGUCCAAGGUGGAGGCCUAGACAAUCCCUUCUCUGAAGCGGAAGUCUGGGAGGCGAUAAAAGCUUCACCAUCUGAGAAGGCCCAGCUCCCGACGGCUACAUAGGGAUGUUCUUCGGGAGCUGUUGGCAGCACAUCAAAGCAGACGUCCUACUAGCUUUCAGCAGUUUUUACCACCUCGCGGGAGGGGACUUCGAUAAGCUAAAUACUGCCAUGGCAGUACUCAUCCCCAAAAAAGAUGGCCCCAAAAAAAUUCAAGAUUUCAGGGCAAUCAGCCUGAUACACUCAUUCGCAAAACUAAUAGCUAAGGUGCUCUCUAUGCGGCUCUCUACGGUGAUCGGAAAUCAUUAUCUCGCCGGCACAAUCGGCGCUCCUGUGCUCCAAGUUUACACAGGAUAGUUUCCUAUAUGUACGAAAUGCGGUUAGAUAUCUACACCGAAAAAAGAUACCCGCACUCCUGCUUAAGCUAGACAUCGCCCAAGCUUUCGACAACGUUUCCUGGGAGUACUUACUAGAGCUGCUGCAAGUGCUAGGCUUUCCGGCACAAUGGCGGGACUGGAUCUCACUGCUUCUCAGCACAGCGUCAUCAUCCUUUAUUCUCAACGGGACGGUAGGCCGCCACAUUUGUCAUCAUAAGGGCAUGCGCCAGCGCAUGGAGACCCGCUCUCGCCCCUUCUCUUCAUCAUUGCCAUUGACCCCCUACACAGGCUGCUAGCAAAGGCGACCGAGCUUGACAUGCUCGCCCCCUGCCGGGUAGAGACAUCCCUCUUCGGGUUAGCCUCUAUGCGGAUGAUGCAGUAUUUUUUGCCAACCCCAAUAGAUAGCAGAUCGACACCCUGCUAGACAUCCUACGGGAUUACGGACACGCAACUGGGCUGCGUGUGAACCCCGCAAAAUCAACUGUCUCCGCUAUCCGAUGCGACGGGAUCAACCUGCAAGAAGUUCUGCAAAAUUUCAGGGGUGAGACACUAGGGUUCCCGGUGAAAUACCUGGGCCUCCCGCUAACUCUCUCGAGACUGCACCUUGUCCACAUCCAGCUCAUCCUUGACCGGUAAGGGCCAGACUAGCAGGAUGGAAGGGGAGACUGCUGACCAUAGCUGGCAGACGACUCUUGGUUUGCCGCGUACUAACCGCUUUGCCGACUUUUGCCUUGUCGGUGCUGCGAGCACCGAAGAAAAUUCUAGAUGAAGUAGACAAGGUUCGACGUCGUUUCCUAUGGGCACAAGAGGAAGAAAUCGGCGGGGAAAAAUGCAAAGUAAGCUGGCCGUAGUCUGCUCUCCGGUUGAAAAUGGAGGACUGCGAAUUUUGGAUAUGACACGUUUUAGUAGAGCGCUCCAGCUGCGCUGGCUUUGGCUGUCCUAGACAAGCCACGACAGGCCAUGGAAUGGCAUGCAACUGCCAUGUGACGAUGGCGACAGGGCUUUUUUAGCGCCUCCACGGUUGUUACAUUGGGUAAUGGAGCAAUGGCAUAGUUCUGGCACUGCUCAUGGACCGUUUUGGGGAACCUGAAGACAACUUUCCCAAAGCUAUUUAAACACAUCCGAAGAAAGAAUAGAUCGGUGAGAGAGGCACUGCAGAACAACAACUGGAUAGCGGAUCUCGCUCACGGGGACACACUGCAUAUUUGGGAAGAGGCAGUCAGGUUGCACAGAUGGAUACAAAUCAGAAAUAUUCAGCUUCAAGAGCAAGUAAGAGACACCAUAAAAUGGACACACGAGGCAUCAGGAAUGUACACAGCCAGCUCUGCAUACAAGGCCCAUUUUCAGGGAUUCUUGAAAUCAGAUCUCAGGAAACUAAUUUGGGGCACUUGGGCACCUGCUAGGCUGAAGUUUUUCGCAUGGCUGCUUCUUAAAGAUAGGCUGUGGGUGCAAUGGCCCCCUACAAAGAAGGGGGUGAACAAAUGGAUACUUCUGCUAGUUAUGCCUUCAAAACUUGGAAUCAUCGGUACAUUUGUUCUGGCAGUUUGGUGGAGCCACGUCCACAAUACAGCAAGCAACUAGUAAUGCAUGAUGCUGACAGCCUUCGUAGGGAAGAUGAAUCCGAGGAAGCCAUCGUUUCAGUAAGCUGAAUUAUUCGUUCAACAGAAAGACAAAAAAUGCAUCCACAAUUACAAAUAAAUACUCCCUUCAUACGGAAUCACUUGUUGUAUAAAUGGAUGUAUCUAGACGUAAUUUAUUUGUAGAUACAUCAACUUUCACCCAUUUCCUCCGACAAGUAAUCCGGGACGAAGGGAGUAUUACUAGAGACAUAUGUGAAACAUGUCUUUUACAUUGUAUUUACUUGGCAUUACACAGGUUGUCAUUUUUCUGAAUAGACCUGGUCAGGCUUUACGAAGUUUAACUUUACAAAAAGUUAUAUGUAUUAUUGCAUCAAAGGGAGGGGUUGCUUAUCACUACUAAUACAAAGCCCGGGCGUACAGUGCUGAAAAGUACUUCCUCCGUCCUGAAAUAAGUGGCUCGACUUUGUAUAAAACUGAGUCAUUUUUGAGUGACUUAUUUUGAAAUGGAAGAAGUACUUAUUAUGUGUAUAAAGGUACACGUGUCAACUCUCUGCAUAGUUGAGUAAGUCGACCGUUGUAACAGCCGAGUACAUCGCUUGCUGUCACGCAUAUAUGGCUUCUAUAGAAAGCAUAGCUAGUCGCGCUAACUCUGCCACUUGUACAUGUUGCCAUAUCGGCUCGAUGGACCACCGGUCAGGCUUAGGCGUCGCGCUCACGACAUCGAGGUUACAGCCAUCGCCUACGUGUCGUUCAUUAAAGAGAAAGCCAGAUGUAAAAGGGAUUGAACAAGUCAGACGGAGCAACACCUGGCAUGUGCCAUGGCCAGGAGCUUGGGGUCAGAGAAUUUUGGGUGGCUUGAAUCGAGUCGAGUGGACCAUCCCAACAUCACUACCACCUCAUGCAUUAUUGCACUUCACUGAUGCAACAUGGAAAGGAGUUGUAAUUAGCUUGGAUAGGACAGUGACAAGACCACGAACAUGGAAAAAUGGAUGUAUCUAAACAUUAUUUAGUUGUAGAUACAUCAAUUUUUAUCCAUUUUCCCGACAAGUAAUCUUGGACGGAGAAAGUAUUACUAGAGACAUAGGUGAAACAUGUUUUUUACAUUGUAUUUACUUGGCAUUACGGAGGUUGAUAUUUUUCCGAAUAGACUUGGUCAACCUUUACAAAGUUUAACUUUACAAAAAGUUAUACUAUGUAUUAUCGCAUGUAAGGGAGGGAUUGCUUAUCACUACUAAUACAAAGCCUAGGUGUGAAUUACACGUGUGCUGAAAGUACUCUCUCCGUCCCCAAAUAAAUGACUCAACUUUGUAUCGAAGUUUGUAUAAAAUUGAAUUAUUUUUAGUCACUUAUUUUAGCACGGAGGGAGUACUUGUUAUGUGCGUAAAAGCACACGUGUCAACUCUUUGCAUUGUUGAGUAAGUCAACCAUUGUAACAGCCAAGUACAUAGCUUGCUGUCACGCAUAUAUGGCUUCUAUAGAAAGCAUAGCUAGUCGCGCUAACUGCUGCCACUUGUACAUGUUGCCAUGUCGGCUCGAUGGACCACCGGUCAGGCUCGGGCAUCGAGCUCACGACCUCGAGGUUACAAUCAUCACCUACGUGUCGUUCAUUAAAGAGAAAGCCACAUGGAAAAGGGAUUGAUCGCGCCUAGGAACACGUCAGGCGAAGCAACACCUGGCAUGUGCCAUGGCCAGGAGCUUGGGGGUCAGAGAAUUUUGGGUGGCUUCAAUUGAGUCGAGUGGACCAUCACAACAUCACUACCACCUCAUGCAUUAUUGCACUUCACUGAUGUAACAUGGAAAAGAGUUGUAAUUAGGCCCUGUUUGGUUUCAAUAAGUCACCUGACUUAUAAGUCAGGUAAUUUAAAACCAGUGACUUAUAAGUCACGCCUGUUUGGUUGUCAUCUGACUUAUAAGUCACCUUUUCAUGCAAAAGUGAGUGACUUAUAAGUUUUAAAUUGGGGUGGAGCAACUUAUGGCUUAUAAGUUGGGAUGACUUAUAAGUUGGGUUUGUUUGACAAAAUAAGUCACUUUUUAUAUUUUUCAACUUAUAAGUUGGUGAUUUAUUUGGAACCAAACAGGGCCUUAGCUUGGAUAGGACAGUGACAAGAUAACCAAAUACCUCUCGUCUGAUCCUACCCUCUUCAUAUUGUUAUUGAUCAUCAAUUCAUCACCCACCCAAUGUUGUUGGUUUUCUUCCCGUUAUGUGGUCACAAAAUGAUUUCCUAGUCGGCAUGUUAAGACGUUCCAUCUCAGCAGUGCAGGUGCGGACACGUAGUUGCCCACUGGGCGCAGACGAGGACAGGGGCCAGAUUGAUUGCUGACACGUGGAGUCAUCCACAGCCAGAAGCAUGCAGCUAGGUUCCAUUCAAAGCAGAGAAAAUUGGAAGAAAAGCUUUGAACGAGCAAAGGUCUCCAUCCUAAUUUCAACAGAUCUCUGUAUUAUUGUGCUAGCAUGAGAUGAUGUUGUGGAUGACUUAUAUGUGGAGCUGAAGCUACUACUAACUGGUCGGUCUCUCCUGAACUUGUUGCCUGCUCAACUGGCUGCUGACUAGAAUGUAUCCCUGACGAGGGUGACUCAGCACGGCGUGGAUGUCAUGUGACGUGCAGCAGGGAUCGAAUGAUCAAAAUCGAACAUAACCCUUUUGGUUCAAAUUCAUGCCGGUGUCCGUGCGCGUCCCUCCAACACCUUCUACGCCGAGAUCCGCUCCGGCGACAUGCGCCUCGGCCUCGACACAUUUCCGAUGAGGCUGCCCGCGCGUACGACACGACAGCGUUGCGCCUCAACCGGCCUCGUAAGGACAAAAAAAAUCCGAGGUGAUGACGCGGGAAUGGACGCAGCGGCUGACGCCUUCCCCACGGGUUGUCACCGAAGAGGACCGUCGCCAGAACCGAAGGCGGGAGCGCUGCCUCGGCAUCUCUAAGAUAGACGAACAUGCCAUGGCGGCAUAACGCCAACGGUUCCUGCAGGACGUCCUCGACGAGCGCGCAUUCUUCGAGCAAAGAAGGACAGAAAGGAGGGCGGUGCUACCUGCCUAUCGUAAGGACAGGCGUACGCGGAAGCAACCCACACUCUUCAAUAUGGAGCUUAAGGGAGCGUCGAGUUGGGACUCGAACGAUGAACGGUGGGCUGACGGCUUCAUCACGACGGAGGAGUCGAACACCAGCGCGCCGAAGGAAGGCAACGAGGAGUAGUUUCUUAUCUUUUUUAUUAUGUACGUUUUUAUCUACGAUGAACUAUCGAUGAAGGAGUAGAUUCUUAUCUUUUUUAUUACGUAUUUUUUUCGUAGAAUGUACAUUGUGCCCUAUAAAUCUUAGCGCUUUUGGUGGAGUGACGAGUGUGAUUUUUUUUCAGCAUCUGGUGAAGCCAGUGCUCUGUGACGCAUAAAAGAAUGUUAUUCCUACCCUACAAAUUGUUUUUAAAUGCGGGACGGUUAGGUGGCUGUUGAAAAUGCUCUGAGUGAAUGAGUCCGACAACGCAUAAUCCGAGCUGGAUAACAUGCAUGGCUUGGACGUAUGAUGAUUAGUGCUGACACCCUGGGCCCACGGCGGCCAAUGGCGACACGCCAGGUGGCCGUUAACGGAUGGCAUGUAGGCUAUAAAAGACAGGUGGAACUCCUCGGCAAACACGCACAGAUUCUUGCUAAUCGAGAAAUCACUUCCACUCUAAUCCAUCUCCCCUACGUUUCUGAUCGAUUUCUUCCAUGUCAAUGGAGACGAGAGACGGCAGCUCGACGACCCCGGCACUGCUGCCGUGCUCCUACUCCCCGCUGCCGGACGACGCCGAGGCCGCCGUGGUGCGCCACGCCCGCCGGAGUGCCGGCCCGUUGUGCGCCGCGCUGCUGGCGGCGUCGGCAGCCGUGCUCCUCGUGGUCACCGCGCUCGCCGGCGUCAGGUUCGCUGGCCAGCUGCCACUGCCAGCCACAGGCGUCGCCAUGUCCGGCCACACGACUACGGCGGACGACACGGUCACGAUGAGAAGCAGCAGCAGGGGCCCUGAGUCCGGCGUCUCGGAGAAGGCGUCCGGCGCCGCAGCGCACGGCGGCAUGUUUGGUGCCGACGCCGGCGGCAACGCGUUCCCGUGGAGCAACGCCAUGCUCCAGUGGCAGCGCACCGGCUUCCACUUCCAGCCCGAGAAGAAUUGGAUGAACGAUCCCAACGGUACGUGUUAACGCCAUGCUCGAGUGGCAUGUUGUUGCAGUGAUCUCUUCUCUUUGAGACGAUUCCACGAUGAAACCAUGUCGAUUUCGUUGCAAAAUUUCCUUGCUAAUAGAGAAAUGCAAAUGCAGGUCCCGUGUACUACAAGGGAUGGUACCACCUCUUUUACCAGUACAACCCGGACGGUGCCAUCUGGGGCAACAAGAUCGCCUGGGGCCACGCCGCCUCCCGCGACCUUCUCCGGUGGCGCCACCUCCCCGUCGCAAUGUCCCCUGACCAAUGGUACGACAUCAAUGGCGUCUGGUCGGGAUCUGCCACUGUCCUCCCCGACGGCCGCAUCGUCAUGCUCUACACCGGCUCCACAAACGCGUCGGUCCAGGUCCAGUGUCUGGCCUUUCCGACCGACCCCUCCGACCCUUUGCUCGUCAACUGGACCAAGUAUGAGAACAACCCGGUGAUGUAUCCGCCACCAGGAGUUGGGGAGAAGGACUUCAGGGACCCAACCACUGCGUGGUUUGACGGCUCCGACGACAUGUGGAGGCUCGUCAUUGGCUCCAAGGAUGACCGUCAUGCCGGCAUGGUGAUGACUUACAAGACCAAGGAUUUCAUGGACUAUGAGCUUGUCCCUGGGUUGCUUCAUCGCGUGCCGGGGACAGGUAUGUGGGAGUGCAUCGACUUGUACCCUGUCGGCGGCGCGAGGGGCAUCGACAUGACGGAGGCCGUGGCUGCGGCGUCCAACAAUGGUGGCGGCGAUGUUUUGCACGUGAUGAAGGAGAGCUCGGACGAUGACCGGCACGACUACUAUGCGUUGGGAAGGUACGAUGCGGUGAAGAACACAUGGACGCCAUUGGACACUGACGCCGAUGUCGGCAUUGGGCUGAGGUAUGACUGGGGAAAGUUCUACGCAUCCAAGACGUUCUAUGACCCGGCAAAGAAGCGACGCGUGUUGUGGGGCUGGAUCGGCGAGACAGACUCGGAGCGCGCGGACGUAGCCAAGGGAUGGGCCUCCCUCCAGGUACCUGACAUUUUCAUCAUCUUCUUCUUGCACAAGAUGGCAAAGUCAGUUGAUUGAGUAACCUCCAUGAACUGAUUCUUAAUACAAUUUGUUUCGUUGGUGAUUUGCAUCAUUAGUAGGGUUGCAUGCACUUUUUGUCGGGUUCCACACACAGACACAUCGGCAUGGCACAGUCAGGGUGUGGGCCAUGGUCAUACAUGCAAAUAAUGGCAGCAACUUUUUUUGAACAAAACAGCAGCCACUUUAGAUGAAUCAAUGCAUACAUAGAUAACAGCUAUCGUUGCAGCUCAAGUUAGUUGCGUGCCCAUGACUCAUGACCCAUAUGGCAUAGUGGCGUUCAACAUUAACAAUCUGGUACAGCUACCAAACUCUGAAUUCGUAUAAACAAUUUCUGCUGCUAGUACCAACCAAACAGGGAUUAGACAAGAAAAAGGAAUGUAAAUAUUGGCAAUGAUUGCUGCUAAUCAAUACACUAUUUCUUUGCUCUCACAACGAUUGGUGCCAACUACCAAUAAGAUACUUUGUUGAGUAAUUAAUUAGUGUAAAUUGCUCAUUGUUUCGUUGUUAUUGUUGCAGUCGACCCCUCGGACGGUGGUGCUAGAUAACAAGACAGGGAGCAACCUCCUGCAGUGGCCGGUGGAGGAGGUGGAGACGCUCCGGACCAACUCCACCGACCUCGGCCGGGUCACCAUCGACCACGGCUUCGUAAUCCCUCUCAGCCUUCACCGCGCCACACAACUUGACAUCGAAGCCUCAUUCCGUCUUGACCCGCUCGACGUCGCCGCUGCCAAGGAAGCGGAUGUCGGCUACAACUGCAGCACCAGCGGCGGCGCGACUGGACGGGGCACGCUCGGUCCCUUCGGCCUCCUCGUGGUGGCUGAUGCCAGGCACCACGGUGGUGAAAUGGAGCGGACCGCUGUCUACUUCUACGUCGCGAGAGGCCUCGAUGGAGGCUUGCACACACACUUCUGCCAUGACGAGACGCGCUCAUCUCAUGCCAACGAUAUUGUUAAGAGGGUCGUAGGCAAUAUUGUUCCCGUGCUCAAUGGCGAGAUGUUUUCGGUGAGGGUGCUAGUGGAUCAUUCAAUCGUUGAGAGCUUUGCAAUGGGCGGGAGGUUGACCGCGACGUCACGUGUGUACCCGACUGAGGCCAUCUACGCCAACGCUGGGGUAUACCUCUUCAACAACGCCACCGGCGCCCGGGUCACCACCACGAGCCUCGUCAUCCACGAGAUGGACUCCUCCUACAACCAGGCCUACACUGCC
Molecule: long non-coding RNA, 158036 nt
Filed under: Hordeum vulgare
Lineage: Eukaryota; Viridiplantae; Streptophyta; Magnoliopsida; Poales; Poaceae
Description: long non-coding RNA (HVUL_LNC014571)
Source: RNAcentral